AAUUAAGCCAGAUGUUGUUAUAUAUAACACCUUGUUUAUUGGCCUUUUUGAAAUACACCAGGUUGAGCGUGCUUUCAAGCUGUUUGAUGAGAUGCAAUGUGAUGGCGUGGCAGCUGAUACCUGGGCAUAUACAACCUUUAUUGACGGGCUCUGCAAGAAUGGUUAUUUUGUAGAGGCAGCUGAACUAUUUCGUACUUUGAGAGUACUCAAGUGUGAACUUGGUAUUGGAGCAUACAGCUGCCUCAUUGAUGGAUUGUGUAAAAUAGGCAAACUGGAAACUGCUUGGGAACUGUUUCAAAGUUUGCCUCGUGUAGGCCUAAUGGCAGAUGUUGUAACAUAUAACAUCAUGAUCCAUGGGCUUUGUAAUGAUGGGCAAAUGGACAAGGCACAUGAUUUAUUUCUUGAUAUGGAAGCAAAGGGUGUGGAACCCGAUUUUGUCAUAUUUAAUACGCUUAUGCUGGGUUUCAUCCGCUGUAAUGAGACAUCAAAAGUUAUUGAACUCCUUCACGGAAUGGAUAAGAGAAAUGUAAUGCCAGACGCAUCUAUACUUUCAAUUGUUGUGGACUUGCUUGUAAAGAAUGAAAUUGGUUUAAACUCGAUUCCACAAUUCAAGAGACAAAAGUAAGCAGACGGGUUGAAUCUUGAUUUAGUAGUGCGUCUCUUCUGCUUUAAAACCAGAUCUGGGGAAUCCCAUUCUUAUUACAACGUGUGAAGGAGUGUUGUGUAUUGUUGGCAUGUUCCCAGGUUCUGUUCAUGGAUUCUGUUUGCAGACAUGGCCGACUCUUUGUCUCAUCAGAUAAGUUUCAAAUAAUUCUGGCAACGUUUUGUUGUAAAAUUACUUUUUUAUCAUUUAAUUCAUAUGUUUUCCUUCUAUAAUGCCUCUUUCGCAUUUCCUGCAAGUGCAAAAUUUUUGAGCUCUUCCUCUUAGACCUCUUUUUCUUCUCUAAAUAGAUAAAAUGGCAUUUCAUUGUUCUCUUGCGAGGUUGCUGGUUUAUGCUGAAACUUUCAGUUAGUUAAAUUGAUUGUCUUUGAAAUUGGAACUUGUAGUUGAACUAGUUUGCAUUUCGAAUAUAUGAGAUUACCAAAUGUAACGGGAAUUGGUGCCGAAUUGAUUAUGUUAUCAGGUUUUUCAGUCUGUGUUCAUCUUUUAUUUCUGUUAAUAAUUAAUAGCACAGCUUGUCUUCUCUGCUUCUUUGGUUCCUGUCUAUUGUCAAAUAUAAACUUGUAAAGACAUUUUGUUUUGGCAUGGCACAUGCUAGAUUUUGUUUUUGGUUUGAAUGACACUACACAUCUAAGUAAUUGUCCAGAUUUUUUUCAUUCCUAGUGACAUGGCACUCAAUUGAAUGGUGACUCAUGUAUCAUGAUUGUGUGUGUUGGUAUUUGUUAUACUACGUGUUGGCAAGACAAAGUUAACCCUUUUUUUUUUUUUUUUUGGCUUUUGGAUUUUGUUUCAUUAUAUAUAUAUAUAUAUAUAUAUAUUGUAUACCGUUAUUAGCUUCGACAACUUGAGUUGCAGUCUUGUGAGUUUAGAACCUGCCAAAGUAAGCAUACACAUGACAAUGAAGAAUUGAAGAUUGUGAACGGUUAUUAGCUAUUGUUGCAAGUUUAGAACCUAUAAAUUGUAUACAGUUAUUAGCUAUUGUUGGAGCCUUAAGUGUGAACUUAUCAUCGUUGCCUACAGUUGCCUCAUUGAUGAAUUGCGUAAAAUAGGCAAACUGAAAAUUGCUUGGGAACUGUUUCAAAGUUUGCCCCGUACAGGCCUAAUGCCAAAUAUUGUAACAUAUAACAUCAGGAUUCAUGGGCUUUGUGACGAUGGGGCAAAUGGAUAAGACACAUGAUUUAUUUCUUGAUAGACCAUUCUCAGGGCACAAAGGGUGUGAUGCCCAAUUGUGCCAUAUUUACUAUGCUUAUGCGAAAGAAUGAGACAUCAAAAGUUUCUUCACUCAAUGGAUAAAAGAAAUGUAAUGCCAGAUGCAUCUAUAGUUUCAAUUGGUGUGCGCUUACUGGUUAAGAAUGAAAUUAGUUUAAACUUGAUGCCAGAAUUCAAGAGACAGUUCAUUAGAUGAGUUGAAUGUUGAUUUAGUAGCCUUGAAGUUUUGAAAAUGUUUCCUGAUGGAUAAAUUGAACUUGUAUGCACACGUGUGAACUAAAAGAAAAAUGAUAUACCAUUGUGGAAUCGAAAUUCUUUUGAAUGGAAAAAAGUUUGUCAGGAUCGCCUGAUUUCUAAUUGAUUUUAAGGGAAAUUAUCAUCGGUAUACCCUUAAAUGUCAUUGGUAUCAAACGUACUACAACACUUUUCGCUUAUAUCACUCGUAUACCCUAAGUUGACAAAAGAGUUCUGGCGUCCAACUUUCCGUUUACUACCGUUAAGAACUUAACAGAAUUUGAGCAAAAUGACUAUUUUACCCUUUAAACUCAAAAUGAGGUAAAAAAAUAAAUUUGCCUUGAAAAUUAAUGUAAAUUUUCAAUACACAAAUUUUUUUUAUUUUGUUUUUAACAAUACAUUUUUUUAUUAAAAAAAUAUGAAUUAUUAAUGGUACAGAUUAUUAACAAUUAUCCAUAAAAAAUAUUCAUCUUAUACCAUAAAAAAUUAUUAACAACAUCUUAUUUAUAAUUAUACAUAUUAUAUCAUAAAAAAUUCAAGUUGGAUCUUGGAGGAGUAGAUCUUCAAUAAUUUAGGUUAAAUUUUGGAGGAGUAGAUUCGGUUGUAAAGUAUGUUUUUUUUAAAGCAAUUAUUAACAAUUAUCUGAUAAAUGGGAUGACAUGUCAUUUUUAUCAAAAUAUAUCAUAUGACAUGUCGUUUUUUACUAUGUAAAUGGGAUGCCAUGUCGUUUUUUAAAAAAAGACUAGAUUACCCUUAUGAUGUCAGCGCUCACAAACGGCAGUUAACGGAUCGGUGGAUGGCAGAAGUGUUUUGUCAAUUUAGGGUAUACGAGUGAUACACUUGAAAAGUGUUGUAACACGUUUGAUACUGGUGUCAUUUAAGGGUAUAUAAUUGAUAAUUUCCCUUGAUUUUAAUAGAAAACGUGCUUUAAGCAUGAGGUAAUACUAUAAAGUUUUUUUAAGAAAGGUUAUAAAUUCCAGUAAUUGAGUCUAAAUUUGAUAUUAUAUUCAUAUGGUAUAAGGUAGAAUAUUAAUUUUAUCAGUUAUAAAAUUUACUAUCUAAUAGAUGAACAACACUUAACAGUCUCAUUACAUUACCAUCAGUUACUCCACUCUCUUUUCCUUCUCCUUCUUCUAAUGUAAUAACUUUAUACUUGCAGAUUGGUUCCUCUGUUUCCAUGAGGCACUAAUAAUAAAUCCACUGUGAUAACUCUUGAGUAUCUACCACUUCGUCUGUAAUUAAAACUCAACAACUCAGAUGAAAAACUUAAAACUAAAAGAGAUACCCAACUCGCAAGCGACUUUCGCAGCCCUAUGGGCUACUACCCUUUCAUUCUAGAUUCUUGCUUAGAGAGAGAGAACUUGUGAAGAAAACUUCUAUCAGUAGGAGAGCGCUUACAAAGUAGAUUAUUUUAUAUUUCUCUAGACUGACUUUUUUACUUUAUCAAAGACAAAAGCAGCAUAAACAAAGACAGAAGAUUAACAAAAGCAUCAAUUGCCAAAGAGUGAAGAGUAUUAUUAUAUUUUAAGAACAUAGGUUAUGACCAACUUAAAAGAAGCAGUUAGGGCUUGUUGGAUAUCGUUUUAAUAGCCUUAUUUUCAUUUUUGUUUUGGGAGUAUAAAUAUAAUACAUAUUCAGUGGGUUGAAUCUAAAAAAUAAAUUAUAAAACAAAGAAUUGAUAUUCACUUUUAUAGUUAUAAAAUUAAGAACCUGUUGAACAUGUUCUCAAACAAAUUACAAAUUAAAUUAAAAACAAAACCCCAAAACAAAAUCUAAAAACUUAUCUUCCUCUCCCAAAAUCUUAUCCCCUCCCUCUCGUUAUCUCAUCACAACGCUGCUUUCUUCAUGGUUGAUACUUCUCUUUUAACCACAACCCACUUGAACUGUGCACUCAUCUUUCUCUCCCCUUCCCUUUUAUCUAGGUCUACUUCACAGCUCUCUCCCUCUUGGUGGCUGUUACUUGUUCAUCAACUGCAAUCCAUCGUCGCAAGGUACGACAUUGGAAUAUUUGACCAAAAACAUGUCAGGACAGAGUGAUGUCUAUCAUGGUUUAUUGCUGCAAGUACAUUAUUUUCUUUGUACUAAAGUGAAUCUUUGAUGUAUUUAUUAAAUUUGGUGGAGCAAUCUUAGUUAAUUUUGAUGAUUUAUAUAUGCAUUUAAUUUCAUUUUUAAUAAUUCAUGUGCAGGAAAUAUGGAUUAUGGGCUUUGCUUGGACUGAUGGUUUGCGCAAUUUCAUUUGGAAUCAAUCAGCUUCAAGGAUAAACACUCAUCCUUUCUUGUGCAUGGGACUUGCUUUUCUUCCAUCCAACAUUUUGGUUCUUUUUUUCUAUGGUAGUAGUUUUAUGUUUUGUGUUGGUGGGAAACUUCAUGCUGCAAUUUUGUCAAACUCUGUUGACAUACCCUAAUCAGUAAUGACUUUGCUGCAUGGCGAAAGCAUAAGCUCAUAGUUGACAUUGUUGUCAUUAGAGCUUGUUUCUAUAAAAUAAGUGUAAUUUGAAAGUACAUUGUACACUAAUCAAUUUGAAUUAUCCCCAACAAGUUUUGAUCAUGCUUGAUGCAUGAUGUCUAUCAUUUAAUUUUUUUUAUAAUUAUUUUGUUUAACUUAUAUGUAUUGUAAUACAUAGCUUAAUUAUAGUGUUAAAACAAUGGCAAUGUAAUUUUUUUUUAUUAAUGCUAAUACUAAAACUUUAUCAUCAUGUAAUACUUUAUAAUUGUUUUGUUUAAAUUAUUUAUGGUAUGUCUGCGUAUUAAUUUAAUAAACAAUUAGUUUUUACUAAAAAAGUAUGACUUACAUUUUUAGCAAAAACUGUUCAUGAAAAUAGUACUACCGAAUACAUUUUCUCUAUUUUUAUCUUUUUUAAUUGUGUUUACCGAACACAUGUUACUGUUUUCAAUUUUAAAAUACAAGAUAUAGAAAAUGAUAUCAUAUGCUUAUUUAAUUCAAAAUGCAGCAACUGCCAAACACUAUAUUUAUUCUCAUUUUUGUUUUUAGAAAAUAUUAAUUCAGAAACAAUACUAAACAAGAACUUAGUUUUAGUACGAAUAAUGUUGUGUUAGUUAUAUAGGCUUACAUGCACCCUUAGAUUUAUUGAAAGUAUCAAACCAACCCCCUAGUUACCGUUGACUGAUAUCUAACCAGUUGACCGAUGUUGACUCUUAAAAGUAACUAUAACAUCUAUAUUGUAAUCUCACUUUAUUAACUAAUAAAUUUUAAAAAUAUAAAUAGAUCAAUAAUAACAAAAUAAUUAAAGUUGAAAUCCAAGAAAUUACCCAAAAAACCAUACCUAAACCAAACCUGAAAACCAAAAUGCAUAAAAUUUCAUUAAUUUAGGUUGUGACAAUGAGUAGUCCACAUUAUAUGAUGAAGGAACAACUUUUGUUAUUUUACCAAGUUAUUAAUGCUAUGUUUACUUACUGGAGCGGGCGUGAGAAGUGUAGAUUUCUCUCACUCUAGAGUUUACUUGCAUAUUCUAAGAGGUGUGGGAAUCCCACUUCUUUGAUCCCACCCAAUUUUAAAGUAUGGAGUGUGAUUCCCACUCCCAUGAGGGAAGGUCCACUCCCAUAACUUUCUUUUUUACCUUUCUUUUAUUAAAUUUACUACAAUCAUAUUUAGUAAAAUAAAACAAAUAACAUCAUAUUUAUUUAAUAAAUAUUAUUAUAUUAUUUUAUAAAAUUCUAUUUAUUAAAAAGAAUAAUAUUAAUCUUAUUUACAUAAAAUUAUUAUUAUAUUUAUUUAAAAAUAAUAGUAUUAUAUUUAUUUAAUAUUAAUAAUUAAUAAUAAUAAAUAGUUUAUUCUAAGAAAAUAUUAAUUUUGCACUAUAUUAUUAAUAAUUAUGUUUCAUUUGUGUUGCUCUUAUCAAUAAUUUUUAAUUUACAUAAUUAAAAUUAAAACUAAUAAAAAAUUAUGAUUUACAUAAUUAAUGAUAUUAAUAAUUAUUGUUAAUUUACAAAUAUAAUGAAAUAAAUAUUUUAUUUCAAAUAUAUUUUUUAUUAAUUUUGUAAUUAAAAGUUACAAUUCUUUAAAUAAAGGUAAAACCAUAAUUUGAAACCAUUUACUCCCCUUCUCAUUCUAGUGAGAGGAAACAACUUGCUUCCACUUCACACCAUCAAUCACAAGAUUCUCACUUCUCAAGAUUUCCACUAUAAUCUAAAAUGUAAACACUGUCUAUAACAUCAAAUAAAAUUCUUAAUUAAGUAAACCAUAAGGUGCUUGCGUAUAAAAAAAAUUAAUAAUAUUAAUUUUCAUAAGAAUUUAUGCUCGUAGUAUUACUUUACUUUUUAUUAACCAUUGCUUCAACUUAUGGUAGAUAUUAAGAGAACAAUAAUAAUAGAGCUAUAAAUGUUUGCGUACUAUCAAUCAACUUAACACUAUAAUUACCAACAAACCCUUAAUACCACAAAUAAUUAAAUUAUUGGGGUUUUAAAAUGACUCUCCAGACUUUGCAAGACUUCUUUAUAUGUAGGUGCCAUGGUUCCUAUAAGUAAUAUCAGCCACACUUUUUGUUAUUGUUAAACAAAAUUUAUAGGUACAAUUUGUGAAUUUGUACAAAAUGUGGUAUUAUACAUUUGAAGCAUGAACCGACAAGACAAUGUUGUGUUAAUAAUAAAGAAAUAAAAAAAAAUUGUAUAAAAUACAGAUGUUGUAGUGUAACUUGGAUUCUUUUUCUUUAUGAUUGCACCUAUCAUGUGAUUAUUAAAAAAACCAAAAAAAAAAGAACUCCUGAGAUUUUAAAAUUUUGUAAUUGUACUAUUUUUGGAUUAUCAGAAGACUUCCUCUCCUUAAAGAUGCCCUUAAUCCAUAAAUGGUCCAAAAAAUAAUUCAUGAAAUGAAUUUAUUAUUUUAGAUAAGUUUCAAGUACGCAUACCUUUUAUAGCUCCAUAUUGCAUAACUCCUCAUUUCAAUCAAUGGAUGCAUUUGUUUACUUUUUCUUUUUUGUAAAUUUUUGAAUGGUCGUAAUUCUAUAGAUAAUUAAUUAAGUGUUAUUGCUUUCAUUAUUUUGUAGAUGCAUAUGAUGGGUGGGGACGUUGGGGGACAUGGAUCUCAAUACACUAGAGGGCUAUAAUAUUUAUUCUUUAAGAGGAACCACAACCAACAACAAUGCUUUAAGUUCCAUUUCAUGUUACUUUUGUGCACUAGAUUGCAUAAACAACAUUUAUUAUCCAAGGUCAGCCUCUCAAAGACUUUGGUUACAAGACAAAGCAUGGGAUUGCGGCCAAAAUUUUCUUGCAGUGAAAGGCUUAGAAGCUGAUGACAGCUGCUGAAUUGUGGGCUCCAAUGGUUUUAAUAUUAUUCUCUUAAAAACAUAUGUGUUGAUUAGAGACGAGAAGAAGAGGAUGAUCUGAUUCAGCCAGUUGUAGAAGAAAGAGCACGCAGUGGAGUUCAGAUUUUGAAUUCUCUUGUUAAAUUGUUUUUAAUUUACUACAAGGUAGAAUACGUUGCAUUGUUAAAAAAUACUUUGAACAUCCUAUUUUUGUAUUACAAAUAUACCAAAAAUUAAAUUAAUUUUUUUCUUUAUUAGUAUAAACUAAAUUUUGCCUGAAUCCUCAUCCUUGUAAGUGGAAUUUUAUUGUGAAACUAAUAGUCCUUCCUAGUUGAACUAACUAUCACUUUGAACAUAUGUGUCAUCUCUAACAACAGCUUCCAAACCUACAGUUGCCUGCUUCUUAGCAUUAGAAGCAGUAUCCGCAUUGGCUUUCAACCAGCCAUAAUUAGGAGGAGGGCACCGUUGUUUCUGUUUGUCAAUUUCCUUCCUUGAACCAUAAGCCAUAAUUAGGAGGAGGGCAAACUUCCAAAUAACAUUCAAAAUGGUGUUGUGAAAAAUUUUCACCCUUUUGGUAAUAAAAAAAAACUUUAUUUCUAGUUCUCUAUUAACAAUCUUACCAUUAAGUUCUCUCUUGAGUAGAAACAUCAUAUAUAUUAAUUUAUUGUUAAUAUAAAAAAAAACUAAAUAUUUAUAACUUAAAAGAUAAGUGUUGAAUAGAGGUAGUCUCACAGAAAAAAAAAGUAUUUCAAAGCAGUAGUGAUAUCAGAAUUUUUUGUAAUGAUACGAUAGUAUCACACUAGAUUUUUUUCCGCAUUACAAAAAGUUUGUAUUCAAGAAUAAAUUAGCAAUAUCAGGAACAAAAAGCCUCCAGGACAUGUCAUAUUAAUUUUGUGAUAUAUUAGUUGGUGGAUCUUCUUUCCACAUUACAAAAAAUUAGAAAUGCAAUCUAAAUCGAUAUCAAUUACUAAUUUUAUAUUGAAUGGGUCCUACAUGAAAAUAAGGGGUAUUUUUAUAAUUUAAGAAAUUAUUAGCGAUUUACCCUAAGUUUACUUUGUGUCCAAAAAUACUAUGAAAACUUUAACUUGUUUAGUUUUUUUACCUUAAUUUAUAAUUUAUAUCAAUCGCUCACUAAAAAGAUAGAAUAACAUCAUAAAAUGACAAAAUAAAAACAAACACAAAUGACAAUACCAAUCAUUUUAUAAGGAUAAUCAAGUCAUUUCGGCACCAAAUUACAUAUUCAAUUAUUUUAAAUAUUAUAAAUUACUUUUAGAUUGAACCCCGGUCAUUUUAAUAAUCAUGGCCAUUUAACCUAUCUAAACAUGAUAUUUCGAGUAGACUUAUGUUUGUGUAGGAAGAUAAUGUAAAAAAAGUGGCACUUUUAUUCAACUGAAUAAAUUUCACAAUUUAAAUAAACAAAAGGAUAAAAUUUCAUAAUUAACUAUUAUUUGAACUAAUUGAUUCGGGAGCCAUGAUUUGUAGCGGUCCCAAAAGCAUAACAUUAUUGUGAGUAAUGUUAUUGUGAGAUAAAUUAUUAAUUCUCGUACUUGCAAAAUAAACGGCAGAAUGCGGUUUAGGGACGGAUUAUCGAGGCAUUUGUUAAUAUUCGGAAAUGAAAAGAAAAGGGCAAAUAAAAUUUUAACUUAUUAUUAUUAUUAUUUUUAAAGAUUGUAACUCAUAUGAUUAGACAAAUAAAGGAGCUAAAGGCCACUUGGCGGCUUCACUAGGAGCUGUUUGAGUUUAAUUCUAUUGGUAAAUGACAAUAGUGGUUAUUUUAUAAGGAUAAUUCAAUCCUUUUGGCACCAAAUUACAUAUUAAAUUAUUUUAAAUAUUAUAAAUUAUUUUUAUACUAAGUGAUGGAUCUAAUUAUUUUAAUACUCAUGACAAUUUAAUCUAUCUAAACAUGAAAUUUUGAGUAAAUUUAUGUUUGAGUAGGAGGAUAAUGUAAGAAAAAUUGACACUUUUAUUCAACCGAAGAAAUUUUACAAUUUAAAUUAGAAACGAUAAAAUUUAAUAAUUAUUGUGAGUAAUGCAUUCUACUUGUAAAUAGUCGGUAUUGGAAGGAAAAGGGCAUAUAUUUCUCUCCUAUUUUGGUAAUUCUCUUCUUCUUCAACCCCAAAUAAUCAAAAGCUCUCCAAUGGCUUUCGUAUCCACAACUCGUCCAUUUCAUUUUACUUCAAUUUCUGUAUCAGCUCUUAGAUGUAAUUUCUCAUCUUCGUUCCCUCAUACCGGGAAACCCACAUCUUCAAUUUUGGAAAAUGAACCCUCCUAUCCGAAUACAACAGCUAAACUGAAGGAGUCGCUACGACUGACGGUCAAAGACCGAGCCUCACUCGAAAAAUUCCUCAGAGAAAGGUUCAAAUCAUCCGGUGAAGGUGAUAUUACUACUAUUACUCCUAAUGAAGCCUUUUGUAUCUUUGAUUACAUGCUCAAUAUGCGCCCUUCUCCGCCUCCUGUCUCUUCCUUUAAUAUUUUGUUUGGUUGUCUUGCUAAGAAUAAACAUUAUGAUACUGUCCUUUCACUCUUCAAGAGACUCAAUUCAACUGGGUUGUUUCCAGAUCUUUAUACGUACAAUAUCUUGAUUAACUGCUUUUGCAAAAUGGGUCGAGUUUCUCCUGGUUUUGUUGUUCUUGGGAGAAUCCUCAGGUCUUGUUUUACUCCAGAUGCUGUGACCUUUAAUUCUUUGAUUAAAGGUUUGUGUGCGGAGAGUAGAAUCAUGGAGGCUGCCGCAUUGUUUACGAAACUCAAAGCGUUUGGUUGUGAGCCUAAUGUCAUUACGUACAGUACUUUAAUUAAUGGAUUGUGUCGAACUGGCCAUACAAUCGUUGCUUUAAAUUUAUUUGAAGAGAUGGCUAAUGGAAAUGGGGAAAUUGGUGUUGUUUGUGAGCCAAACACUGUUACAUACACUACUAUUAUAGAUGGUCUUUGUAAGGAAGGUUUUGUGGACAAGGCCAAGGAACUGUUUCUGAAGAUGAAGGAUGAGAAUAUUAACCCUAACGUGGUUACUUAUAACUCUUUGAUUCACGGUUUUUGUUACGCUAAUGAUUGGAACGAGGCGAAGUGUUUGCUUAUUGAGAUGAUGGACCAAGGGGUACAGCCUAAUGUUGUGACUUUCAAUGUCAUCAUGGAUGAGCUCUGCAAGAAUGGAAAGAUGGAUGAGGCAAGUCGGUUGUUGGACCUGAUGAUUCAAAUUGGUGUGCGUCCAAAUGCUUUUGUCUAUAACACAUUAAUGGACGGGUUUUGUUUGACAGGUAGAGUUAAUCGUGCGAAGGAACUAUUUGUUUCUAUGGAGAGUAACAGGUGCAUGCAUGAUGUUUUUAGUUACAGUAUUUUGAUAAAUGGUUACUGCAAGAAUAAGGAAAUAGAGGGAGCGCUAAGCCUUUAUAGCGAAAUGCUCUCCAAAGGAAUUAAGCCAGAUGUUGUUAUAUAUAACACCUUGUUUAUUGGCCUUUUUGAAAUACACCAGGUUGAGCGUGCUUUCAAGCUGUUUGAUGAGAUGCGGCGUGAUGGCGUGGCAGCUGAUACCUGGACAUAUAGAACCUUUAUCGAUGGGCUCUGCAAGAAUGGUUAUAUUGUAAAGGCAGUUGAACUAUUUCGUACUUUGAGAAUUCUCAAGUGUGAACUAGAUAUUCGAGCCUACAACUGCCUCAUUGAUGGAUUCUGUAAAUCUGGCAGACUCGAAAUUGCAUGGGAACUAUUUCGUAGUUUGCGUCGUGGAGUCCUAAUAGCAGAUGUUGUAACAUAUAACAUCAUGAUCCAUGCGCUUUGUGCUGAUGGGAAAAUGGACAAGGCACAUGAUUUGUUUCUUGAUAUGGAAGCAAAAGGUGUAGCACCCGAUUGUGUCACAUUUAACACGCUGAUGCUAAGUUGCAUCCGCAAUAAUGAGACAUCAAAAGUUGUUGAACUCCUUCACAGAAUGGAUGAGAGAAAUGUAAUACCAGAUGCAUCUACACUUUCAAUUGUUGUGGACUUACUUGUAAAGAAUGAAAUUAGCUUAAACUCGAUUCCACAAUUCAAGAGUCAAAGGUAAGUGAGUUUAAUAUUGAUUUAGUCGCAUGUUUUUUCUGCCUGAAAACCCCGAUCUGGAGGAUCCCAUUCUUAUUACAACAUGUAAAGGAGUGUUGUCUAAUGUUGGCAUGUUCCUAGGUUCUGUCCAUGGAUUCUGUUUGCAGACAUGGCUAACUUCUUGUCCAACAGAUAAGUUUUAAAGUCUUUCGACUUUAUGCUGUAAAAUAACUUUUUUUUUUUUUUUUUUUCAAUUCAUGAGUUUUCCUUCUGUAACACAUACUUCUCAUUAGCUUGAAGUGCAAAUUUCUUAGGCUUUUCCUGUAUGGCCUCUUUUUCUGCUCUAAAUAAAACGGCAUUUUAUUUCCCUGUGAGGGUAUAAGGUUUAUCUUUAAACUUUCUGUUAGUUAAAUUUGUUGUCUUUGAUAUAGGGAACUUCCAGUUGAGCUGAUUUGUAAUUCGAGUAAAUGAGAUUACCAACUGUAUUGGGAAUUGAUGCCAAAUUAAUUAUGUCAUCAGGUUUUUCAAUCAUUGUUCAUCAUUUAUUUCUGUUAACAAUUAAUAGCUGCCUCAUUGAUGGAUUGUGCAAAAUAAGCAAACUGAAAAUUGCUCGGGAACUGUUUCAAAGUUUGCCUCGUGCAGGCCUACUGCCAAAUGCUGUAACAUAUAACAUCACGAUUCAUGGGCUUUGUAACGAUGGGCAAAUGGAUGAGGUACAUGAUUUAUUCACGCUUCUGUCUAUAACACGUUAAUGGAUGGGUUUUGCUGGACGGGUAGAGUUAACCAUGGGGAGGAACUAUUUGUUUCUAUGGAGAGUAUGGGUUGCAAACAUAAUGUUUUUAGUUACAGUAUUUUGAUAAAUGGUUACUGCAAGGAUAAGGUUGGGUGUGCUUUAAAACUGUUUGAUGAGAUGCGGCGUAAUCAUGCGGCAGCUGAUACAUAUAUAUACGGUACCUUUAUUGAUAUGGAAGCAAAGGGUUUGGAACCCAAUUUUGUCAUAUUUAAUACGCUUAUGCUGGGUUUCAUCCGCAAUAAUGAGACAUCAAAAGUUAUUGAACUCCUUCACAGAAUGGAUAAGAGAAAUGUAAUGCCAGACGCAUCUAGACUUUCAAUUGUUGUGGACUUGCUUGUUAAGAAUGAAAUUAGUUUAAACUCGAUUCCACAAUUCAAGAGAAACAAGCGAAUGAGCUGAAUGCUGAUUUACUUGCAUGUUUUUUUUUGGCCUAAAAUCUGGAUCUGGAGAAUCCCAUUCUUAUUACAACAUGUGAAGUUGUGUUGCGUAGUGAUGGCGUGUCCCCAGGUUCUGUUCAUGGACUCUGUUUGCAGACAUGGAUGACUCUUUGUUUCAUCAGAUAAGUUUCAAAGCCUGGCAACUUUUUGUCGUAAAAUUACUUUUUAUUUUUCAGGUCAUGUGUUUUCCUUCCAUAAUGUUUCUUUUUCAUUUUCUGGAAGUGCAAAGUUUUUAUGCUCUUUCUGUAUGACCACUUUUUCUUCUCUAAAUAGAUAAAAUUGCAUUUCAGUUUUCCUUUGUGAGAAGGCUACUAGGUUUAUGUUGAAACUUUCUGUUAGUUAAAUUGAUUGUCUUUGAUAUCUAGAACUUCUAGUUCUACUGUAUUAAAAAAAUAAAAUAAAAAAGAACUUCGAGUAUAAUUAUGCAUCAGGUUUUUCAACGUGUUCAUCUUUUAUUUCUGUUAACAUUUUGGCUUUGGACAUGCUGGAUUGUUUUUGGUUUCAAUGAUACAAAACAUCUAACUAAUUGUCCAAAGUUCUUCAUUCCUUGUGACAUAGCAUUCAAUUGAAUGGUGACUCAUGAAUCAUGAUUGUGUGUUUUGGUAUUUGUAUACUAUGUAUUGGCAAGACAAAGUUUGUUGAAACUUGAGAAACUUUUCUCCGCCUACCAUUCUUGAUUCAUAUUCUUAUGCUAACAAAUCUUGAUCAUGAUGAGUCUCCUCUUUUCUUUACAACCCACAAAUAAAGUCCUGGCCAUAAGCCUCAAGGCCUAUUGGCUAUUGCAGCGGUGAGUUCACUCUCAGGAAUCAGAUCUUUCAAAUUCGAGGAAAUUUGAAAAAAUUGCAAAUGUCUACAAAGCAAAUGUGAUCUAAAGGUCCUUUUUGUUAUCACUCACACAACAUUACUCAAGAGUAUCUAUGUUUUACAGUUGGUUCUGUUGUGAAAUAGCAUUUCUGAUUAUUAUAGAAGACAAUUCUUCGACGCAUGUAUUUGAGAUGCGUAUAGAGCGUUGGAAUUAUAUGCUAAAGUAAGCGUGCAAAUGACAAUGAAGAAUUGAAGAAGGGGAAGGGUUUACUUGUCAUUUUGUUUUGGAAAGCAAUGCGUUUUAUGCGGCGAUUUUUUUUUUCUCUACGUUGUGAAAAAAUUUAACUGAUUUUGAAGAUCCUUAAAGAUCGUCCAUCUUGGUUCUGGCUUUGUUGCAGCCUUGAAGUUUGCAAAACGAUUCCUGCUGGAUAAAUUGAACUUGUAUACACACAUGUGAACCAAAAGAAAAAUGAUACAUGCACCGAAAUACUUGUUAAAUAGAGAAAAGUUUGUCUGGAUAGCCUGGUUUUGAAUUGAUUUUAAUAGAAAACGAGCUUCAAGCAUGUGCUCCAACUACUCUGGCAUGAGGUAAUACUAUAAUUUUUUUUUUUCUUUAAUGAGUGAGGCUAUAAAUCCUGAAUUCCAACUUGACAUGGCAUUAAUCUGGUGAGUGGCAGAAUAUUAAUCAAACAGAGGGGCUAAUAUGCUUUCUGGAAUAUGAUCCGCUGGCAACCGGAAAGCCAAGGAAUUAAUUAUUCCAUUAUUAAUUCCAAUGGCAUCGUUGUAUCAGCUAAAAAGCACAAGAUAAAACAGAUCUACGCACUUGCCCCAUUUAUUUAAGCAUACUGUUGGUUUAGCAUUUGCUUAAAUUUGAAAGUAGAGUGUUUCCAUGCCACAUUGCCAUGACAUUGGUGAUUGGCCUACAUUUUUUUUUUUUUUUUGUGUAAUCUUUUUUGGUUGCAGUAAUAAAAUGUUAAUCCUUUCUUCUCAUGAAUGUUUUCUUGAACUGAAAUGUUAAUAAUUUCUUCAUGUUGAGGCAUUAAACUACUACAGACCUAGGGUGGCAAUAUAUGGAAGUAAAUGGUCGUUUAGUAGGACCCUUUAAUUAGGGUAUUAGCUGCUCAAUUUGGAGAUCUCAUGGACCAACAAUUUAUCUGGAAUGUCACAUUCACAUAUUUGAUUGAAAAAGGAAUUAAGGAAUUUCAGGUGGCCCGGAAACGCAACCGACUAUACCCGGCAAUGGCAGAAGACAUUAUAGAUUAUAGAUUAUUGAGUUAAAUAUGAAUGGUGGGAUUUCAGGUGGCCUAAAAAGUUAAACAUGAAUGUUCUAUUUAAGGUGCUCUGUAACUCGUAGUUCAACAAAAAGUUUUAAAACUAGAUAUUAAAAUGGUGGGAUUUUGUCUUUUAUCUCUUGUUUCUCUUCCCUUAAUCGUUUCUUGGCAUGUUUUAUCAACUCUUCCCUUGGGUCAUUUUGUAGGACGGGUUACACCAGCUAAACACAUGGGAAGGUUAUGUAGACUGGACUCUGGAGGAAUAAACCUGCCCUGAGAGGCCGUCAUGGGGGCAUGCUUUGCUGCUUGUUUUGUCUUGGGUCUGUCUAUUUUUCCUAUUACUAAAGCACAUUUUCCACCGUUUUCUCACAUGCUUACCAUCAUGUAAAAACCUUAGCUGCUGCGUACGAUUAAACGUUUACACUUUAUAGUAAAAGAAAUUACAUAUUAAGAGAAAUAUUAUAUUUGCAUGUUGAUAUGAAUUAGCACUAGAAACAUGAGGCUUGCUAAUUAGAAUUGUUAUAUUGUCGAACUCAGCUGUGGAGGUACUGGAGAAUCCAGUAUAUCUGGCCAAUGCAAGCAACCUUGUGCUGUAUCUUUCAAAAUUUAUGCAUUUUUCAUCAUCCAGCUCUGCAAACAUAGUUACCAAUUUCAUGGGUUCCUCUUUGCUCUACUUGGCUUUUUAGCGGUUGCUUUCUUCAACACCUACAGCAUCUAUGUCAUAAGUGCGGCAAUAGAAUUCACGGUAAGUUUUUUGUUAGGAUCAAACUUUUUAACUUGUUAUAUUUUUGUAAUUUCUUACUAAUAAGGGAGAGUUGCCUAUUUUUAUCCGAUUAUCAUGCCUCAUACAAUUUUCUUGGGAUUUGCUUCGAUGCCUCUGUGACUCACUAUGAAACUCAAAAACUUUCUAAAACUAGCUCCAAAUACACAUUUCUUUGGAUUAAACUUCAUCUGGUACUUCCUCAGCAAACCAAAGGUUUCUUUCAAAUGCUGCACGUGGUCACUCGAGUUGUGAGAUUUUGUGAUAAUGCCAUCCUUAUAUGCCUCCAUUAUGUUCCCAAUCAGCAGCUUGAAGAUCUUAUUCACGAAUCUCUAGUAUGUUGCUCAUACAUUUUUCAAGCUAAAGAACACGACAUUAUAACAAUACAGCCCUUGGUUAGUAACAAAAGAAGUAUGCUCCUCAUCCUGAUCGAACAUCGGUACAUGGUUGUAAUCCAAAAAGGCAUCUAUAAAUGGUGGUAAUGGUUUUACUGGAUGGUCUAGUGGUUCUAAUCAUACUGGUUUUGGUUCUCAAAAUAGAGGGCUACUGUCAACUCCAGGACGUGGGAAUUUUUCCUCUUCGCCAAAUUUCAAUCCUGGUAAUGGUCCUAUCAACAAACCCCCAAUGGGUCUUUUUCCUUUUGGUAAUCGGAUUCAAUGCCAAAUCUGUCAGAAAAUGGGUCACUCAGCUAUUGAUUGCUACAAUCACAUGAAUCAUGCAUAUGAGGGUCGUAUCCCUCCCCAUCGGCUUUCUGCAAUGAUUUCUACAUCAACAUCUUUUGGUUCCCCAAAUUGGUUAACAGAUACUGGUGCUAAUGCUCAUAUAACUCCAGAUAAUGGGAAUUUAAUGCAUCCUCGUGAUUACAAUGGUCAGGAUACCAUCGGUGGUGUCGUCGGUGGUUCAGGUUUGCCUAUUAAAUCCAUUGGUCAUUCUUACUUAUCUGCUAAUUCUUCCACUUUUCUUUUAAAUGAUGUUCAUCAUUGUCCACAAGCUUCCCAUAGUAUUUUAUCCGUUCAUAAAUUUGCUAAUGACAAUCAUUGUAGUUUCACCUUCUUUCUUGAUUAUUUUGUUGUAUAGGAUCUGACAACGAAGAAGACAUUUUUCCGCGGACUGAGCAGUAAUGGUCUUUAUCUAUUUCCUGGUCGAAUUUUUCAACCUAGUCAUCCAUUUGCUUAUGUUGGUGUUUGUAGUGAUGCUCGAAUUUGGCAUUCACGGCUUGGACAUCCUUUGUCCGUAGUUUUAAAUCAACUUAUAUAUUUUAAUAAGCUACUCAUUUUAGGAUCUCGAUCUUUAUUUUUUUGUUCGUCAUGUCCUUUAGGAAAGAGUCAGAAAUUACCUUUUACAUGUUCUUUUUCAGUCUCUCAUUCUCCUUUGGAAUUAAUACAUUCUGAUGUUUGGACUUCUCCUAUUCGUUCUAUUUCUAGUUAUAAAUAUUAUGUUAUCUUUAUUGAUAAUUUUUCCAGAUAUGUAUGGCUUUAUCCUAUGCGAUUGAAAUAUGAUGUUUUUAUAAUUUUUAAAACUUUUAAAUCGUUGGUCAAAAAUAUGUUUUCCACUACUAUUAAGUCACUUCAAACUGAUGGUGGUGGUGAAUAUGUUAAUCAUCAGUUUAAGGAUUAUCUAAAUACUCAUGGCAUUAAUCAUCGUCUCACAUGUCCUCAUCAUCCUGAACAAAAUGGUAUUGCUGAACGUAAACAUAGACAAAUUGUUAACAUGGGCUUAACUUUACUUGCACAUGCCUCCAUGCCUACUACUUAUUGGACUAAAGCUUUUUAUACAUCUGUAUAUUUAAUCAAUCGUCUACCAUCUCAAUCUUUAAAAUUUCGAGUACCGUACUCUUUACUAUUUUCUAAAACUCCUCAAUAUGAUUUUUUAAAGAUCUUUGGAUGUGCAUGUGUUUUCUUGGGAUACUCAUUCAAUCAACAUGGAUAUCGUUGUUUGCAUAUUUCCUUCAGGCACUGUAUUUAUAUCUCGUCAUGUUCUUUUUAAUGAAAAUUUAUUCCGUUCGUUGACCAUGUUACUACUAGGCCUCCGGGGGUGAGUACUUCAAUGUCAGAUUCUACAGGACUUAAUAUUCUUUGGAUUAAUGCUAAUACUUCACAUUCAGCUCUAACAGAACCUACAUCACAAUCUCCUUCCCAAGCCAAGUCACCAUCUUCAUUUAAUUCACCUUUACCCCAUUCCUUAUCAUCUCCAAUUAAUUCUCCAUCAUUACGUUCAAGUGCCUCUUUAUCUUCCUCCACUCCACUCAUCUCAAAUACAAAUUCUCUUAGCCUUAAUUCGACCCCCACUAAUUCAAGUAAUAAUACAAUUCCAGAAUCAUUAUCUUCACCUACACUAACACCAUCGAUGCCCUGUGAUAAUAUUAUCUUCUCAUCCAAUGGUCACUCGAGCAAGAGCCGGUAUUGUGAAACCAAACCCAAAAUAUGCAAAUGUAGUUACUAAUGAUGCUGUUGAGCCUAAUGGUUUUGUACAGGCAAAUAAGGAAUCUCGUUGGCGACAGGCAAUGGGUGAUGAAUUUAAUGCUCUUCAAAGAGCUGGUGCUUGGGUAUUAGUUCCUCUACAUCCAUCUUACAAUGUCCUUCUAAAUAAAUGGGUGUAUCGAAUUAAGCGAAAAGCUGAUGGAAGUAUUGAGCGUUAUAAAGCUCGUUUAGUUGCUAAUGGUUUUCAUCAACAACCUGGCCUUGAUUUUGGUGAGACGGUCAGUCCAGUGGUUAAUCACAAUAUCAUUCGUCUCAUUUUAGCUAUAUCUGUUACCAAUAGCUAGUCUAUUCGACAGUUAGAUGUGCAAAAUGCUUUCCUGCAUGGUUAUUUACAGGAGGAUGUCUAUAUGCGCCAACCUAUUGGUUUUGUUGAUCCACAAUAUCCAACUUUUGUGUGCAAGCUUCGCCGAUCUCUCUACAGCCUUAAACAAGCUCCUAGGGCAUGAUUUCAAUGUUUCUCUAGUCAUUUAGAACAAUUGGGCUUUCAUGAAUCACUAGCAGACUAUUCUCUAUUUAUUUAUUCACAUGAUUCAGUGCUUUUAUAUUUACUUAUCUAUGUUGAUGAUAUUUUAAUUACGGGAAAUAGUUCAUAUCAUAUUUCUCAAAUGAUACAUCAUAUGAGCAAAUUAUUCUCUAUGAAAGAUCUUGGUCCUGUACAUUAUUUUCUAGGUAUUGAAGCUACUCAAAUAGCAAUGGGGCUCCACUUGUGUCAAACCAAGUAUAUUCUAGAUCUUUUACAUAGCACUGAGUUCCUUCAUUCAAAGCCUAUGACAACACCAACAAUGAGUGGUCGUCGUCUCAGUCUGUUUGAUAGUGAUUUACUUUCAAAUCCCACCGAAUAUCGUAGUGUUGUUGAUGCUUUGCAAUAUCUUAUAAUCACUCGUCCGGAUAUUUCAUUUGCUGUUAAUCAGGUUUGUCAAUACAUGCAUCGUCCUACAACAACUCAUUGGUGUGCAGUUAAACGCAUCUUGCGGUAUUUGAAAAGUACAACCACUUAUGGUCUGCUUUAUUCAUCUGGUUCAAUGGAACUACAAGCCUUUUCUGAUGCCGACUAUGCUGGUGAUCCUGAUGAUCGAGUAUCCACAGGGGGUUCUUACAUAUUUAUUGGACCUAAUCUCAUUUCCUGGAGUUCUAAGAAGCAAAAAAGGGUUUCUCGUUCCAGUAUUGAGGUUGAGUACAUACAGCUUGCAUAUACAACUGCUACUUUAUCUUGGUUUCGAUCUUUGUUCAAAGACUUACAUAUUCCUCUGUCUUGUCCUCGCAUGUGGUGUGAUAACAUAAGUGCCAUUUCCUUGGCCUGCAAUCCUGUGUUUCAUGCCCAGACUCGUCAUGUAGAGGUUGACUAUCACUAUGUUUGAGAAAAGGUUAUUCGUGGAGAGCUUGAUGUUCGUUAUAUCUCUACUCUCGAUCAACUUGCCGAUUGUCUUACUAAAGGCCUGUCUACUUCUCGCUUUCGCUAUCUAAUUUCCAAGCUUCCAAUUCGUUCUUGUCCUGUCAGCUUGCGGGGGUGUGAUAACGAUAAAGAUAAAACUUAAAAUAUUCUUAUCGUUAGUCUUGUAAUUAUCUUUGUAGUUAUCGUUUGUCUUGUAAUUAUCCUUGUAGUUAUCUUGUAAGCUAAUGUUUAUCAUAUGUAUUCUUAGCUUGUACAUAAGUUUGUUUGAAGUCACUUGGAAUUUAAAAAAUCCUAUGCUUCAAUAUAUUAUUAAUCAAAUCCCCUUAUAUCUUGGUAAAAUCUUUUUUACUCUUUCAUUCGCAAGGAGCUGGAUGAUGGCUGGAAAUAAGGAAAUUCAUUUUUUUUGUUUCACCCCAAUUGUUCUUGUAUUUGCAUAUUGCCAUAUAUCAUAAAAUACAAAUUUAUGUAUGUCAAAAUGAAAUCGAUCUUAAAAAAAAAAAAGAUCUCGCGUUACUGCCGCUCACACACCCCCAUGCCGCAGCUGCUAUUAAUUCUGUUUGGCGCACCAGCAUUACAGCUUCUAGCUUUUCUUUAUUCCUUAAGUUGAUAUUGUUCCUCUUUAUAGGCUUCAAGUUAAUGUCGUCUUCAGUCAUUCUAGAGUCGCUUACUUUUGAUCUGGCUAUUGUUGUUUCUACCUCCUUCUUCAUUAAUUGCCGUCAGCCGCAUAAGGGAAGGAUGUAAGUUUAUGUUUACGAUUCCUAAUGGUGAUGAAUAAGACAUGGCGUAAGAGAUAUGUUAACUGAAUUUAGUGUGUUUUCUAGGAUCAUAUGCAAUACAUAUGUAUUUCUUGUAUAAUUGUUGUUUGUAUAUUGUAUUUCAAUCGGGCAUGGCUAUCUUUGUCUUACUCUUGUACAUUUCUAUUACUUUAGAUAAUUAUUAAGGUGUAGAUGGCUUUCACGGAUAAAUAAUAAGCCAUUUUAGGAGCUUUUCGUGUAAAAAUAUAGAACUUAUACUGUUGAAAUGUCGAGUAUACUUAGUAGUUGAUAUUUGUUUAUAUUUUUACAUUAAUCUGGGAUGGGAUUUGAACUUUAUAACCGAAAUUGAAUCUAAACCAAAAUUAAGAUAAGAAUAUUCAAACUAAAUCGAUCCAAAAUGCAAACCUAAACCAAAUUGCGCUAAAUUAAAUUUGAUUUAGUUUGGUUUGGGUUUACUCUCUAAACCUGAUUGGAUUGACUUCUCUAACCCAAUUAAGUUUGAGCCCAAAUUGAAACCUAAACAACCUGAAUCGAAGCCCGAUUUGCCCACCCUUAUGAUACGAACCCAUCCAAAAAAUAACGCAACCCUAAUCAAUUUAAUCUCCAAGAUUAAAUAGAAGCGCUACCCAAUGCUCAAUGAAAGCAUGAACCUUAGUAUGUGAGGACGCUACAAUCAGUUAUGGAUGAUUUGAUUAUAAGUUAAGAGUUUGAAUGACACAAAAAUUUGAUAAAUUUAAAGAGUUUGUUUAAGAAUAAAAAAGAAUUAAUUCUCUCACCAAUUGCAUCAAAAUUUAUUUGUCUUUGUUUAUUAGAUGCGAGUACAUUAUAUAGAAUUGGUUACAAAAAUUUUUAGAAAUAAAUCCUAAACCGAAAUCAAAUUGGAAUCCUAAUCUAAUGCAAAUAAGAAAAGAAUUUUAAUUAAAUCAGAAUCCUAAUCAAAGCAAGUAGGAAAGAAUCUAAAUCGAGUCAAAAUUAUAAUCUAAGUAAAUAGGAACGAAUUUAAAUUACACCAAUUAAAAUAAAAACUCAACAAUUAAAAUAGAAAUAACUUAUUGUUUCUCUACCAGCCUCAUCCAGAAAUGAGAAAGUAUUCAAAAAGAAAAGUAGUAUAUUUUUCAAAUGGAAAAGUAUUUGAAAAAGAAAAAUAAGAUAUUUUCCCGCCGUAAUGUGCAAGCCAACUUCUUAUUUUAUGGAAGUGAUUAUUUGGAAACUUUAAGAGCCGUAAUCAUGCAUUUAUCACGUGCAAUUCCUUUAAUAGGCCUCCAUAAAUUUGAUUGAGCCUCAAUUACUUGAAUAAACACAUUAAACGCUUCUUUAAAUUUGUUUGUUCGAGCUUUAGUGACAGGUCCGAUGAUAACUUGAAUAGGAUCUGAAUAUAUCUAAUCCCACAUACUUAUGAUAGUUUUGUCCUCAAUCUCAUCAUUUUACUUCCAUAAUCUCGACCCAAUCUUUAAAUUUUUUUCAUGCUAGCUUGACUUUACUAUGACUGCCUUGAGAUUUUCAACUGGUUUUUAUCUCCCUUUCUUGAAAUCUGUUUAAGUGUCAAGUUAUCUACGUGGCUUCUUUAGUCGCGGACACAUAAUAGCACCUAACAAUUCUCUAGUCACCCUGUACAACUUUCGCCACACUAUUUACUCAUUCUUUGAGUGCCAUGUAAUGGUUAGACAUCAUGGACUUGCUAAUCCUCAUAAAGGGUCUUCCAAAAAUUAUUUGAUAUGGGCUGUCUUCCUCGACUAUUAUAAAAAAUCUGGCAUGAUGGUCUUUUCAAAUGGUCUGGAGCCGAUUGUUACUAGCAGCUCUAGGCAUUAAUUUUCUUCUUCUAUGUCCUUUCAAAGAACUGUUGGUGUGCUUGUUGGGUAAAAAUUCAAAUGCUAUGGGUGUCAAUGUGUAAGUGUACACAACAAGUAAUAUAAUGAUAAGUAUUCAAGAUUAUCUCCACAGGAGUUGAUGUUACGGAAAUUACUACAGCAACUUUAACAAUUCUGUUUGAAGUGAAAGUAGAUUGAUUAAUUAAACUAAUAAACCACCUAAUAAAAUGCAAUAAGUAAAUAUGCAGAAAAGCAAACUCUCAUGUCAAACACAAAAAUAAAAUCAAUAGGAAUGAAGUAGUUGAGUGACUAAACUCUCUUAAUGGAAUUGACUAUUUCUUGCAAAUUUCGAUCCAGUUGCUACAGCACUGGGCAGAAUCCUCAUGCAUCAUCAGCUGUCGCAUGUUAGAUGUCUUAUAUCUAUAUGCAACCUAACAAUGACCAAUUGUUAUGCCAACAUAAUAUAUAACAUUACACAUUUAGGUUCUAUUACCCUAUAAGGUGAAUCUCUAUAUCUUGUUCAUCACUAACAUAAUAUAUGACCCUUUUUGGAAUCAAGUUGAACUCAAUUUAGGAACUCAAUCUAAAACUAAAUAUUAUUCUGAUAUGUUCCACUAAGAUAGGUCAUUUUGUGGCUCUUUCCUAGCUUGUAUCAUUAAGUGGGUGGUCAGCCAAAAUAAUGACUUUAAAUAAACACUAUCACAACAAAAUGUUAUAGCAAACAUGCAGCCAGGGACAUAGCCAGGAUUUUGAUCGAGUUGGGGCACAUUUAAAAUAAAAAAUGACUCGAAUGCGCGAUUGCUCGUGUGGUAAAUGUGGGCCCCACAAACUCUAAAUGGGAGCUUGCCACAUGUACAAUCGUGCUCCUUAUAGAGUGUCUCUGCAUGCAUCUAAUUAAAACGCUAUUAAAAUAUAAUACACUUCUAAAAAUUUAAAUGGCAAUAUAUAACAUUACAACUAUAAUAUUCAUUGAUAAUAAAUUUACUUAGUAUAAUUAUUCUCAGUGAAAACUCCUCAAUGAGAUUUUAUGAGUUGAAAAUAAUGCAUUAUCAAUAUAAGUAAAAAUAUAUUUUUCAAUCUACAAGACUAGGUUAUAACUUAAUUUGCUCUUAAAAUCUUUUAAUAAUAACAAAAAAUAUUUAUAUAUUGCAACACACAAAACAAAAUGAAUGCUAGAUAAAAUUCUAGAUUUUAAAACUAGACAAAAGAUUAUCAGAAAAUUAAAAAUUAGAAUUGGGUAGACUUACAACUUAUGGUUCAAUGUCGAAAGACCAACUAUUUAAUUUGGCUUGAAUAGAAAACAAAAAGAUUAAAGACUGGUCCAUUAACCAUUUUACUAACAUUUUGUUGUGAUUUUUUUUCAUUUUAAUAUUUGUUCUUGUGUCUUUAAUUGAGUUUCAUGAAAUGUUAAUAACUAAUUAAAUUAUUUAUAAUUAGAAAUUUAAACUAGGGACAAUAUGAAAUAUUUCAAAAUUACUAGAGUCAAUUUCAAAUUUUACAAUUCAGUUGGGGUAUUUUUCAUAAAUAACAAAUAAAAUACAAAUUUUUAGUAUAAUUUUUUUAAAAAAAAUUUAAAAGGCAGCAGGGGCAUGUGCCUCAGCUCGUCCCAUGCUGGCUCCGUCUCUGCAUGCAGCAACAUAUAAAUUCAGUUAAAGAGCCAUUAAAGUUGUUUAUCACUCAACCACAAGGAAUAUUAGUUCAUGAUUUUCAAAAGGAAACUAAACAACAAAGUUUCAGCCGGCAAAUACAUUCUCAUGUCAAAAAAUUAAACAAUAAAUCAAAAUAAGAAUAAGAAAGACUGAAUUCCAAUUGAUUCCAGCAAACUUCUCCACUGAUGCAGUCUUGAUUCUUGCUCCUGAAAUCUAUUUUUCCUUGUUUCUUUUCUAUUUAUGAUCUUGGUUGACGGCCUCCUUUUUUUCUUUUGUACAUGUGCCUAUGUUAUAGUACAAAAUUAGGGUAAAUGGAAGUUUAGAGCGCGCAUCUUCCCGAUUAGGAAAUUGUAGAUUGCAAUCCGUUAAGUAUCUUGCGCGAAAUCUUCUCCGUCAUUGUUCCCAGAUUGUUACAUCACGGUUUGCUACAACAAUAGCUACAGUAUAUGCACUGUUCCAAAUUUACUCCAAUUCUUCUAUAGCCGUAUUCUUUUGUCCUUUUUGCAAACCCAUUGCUACAACAUCCUUCCCAUGAAAAUUUAACUUUGGGUUACCUACAAUUAUACAUGUGUUUUAAGGACAUAAUUAUUAGAAAUCAAGCAAAUUUUAUUAAACUUAAACUAAAAUGAAUGUUAAUGUAAACUAUCAUUAAAUGCACUAAAACACAUCAAUUACCCUCUAAGUAAUCUUGAUUUAAGUUUAAAAGUAUCAUGAUAAUCUUAUUUCAUAGAGUUAUCAAUGCUCUAACUUCAAGUCGCGCGAAUCUAUAAGGAUUCUUAUGAAUUCUUUGCUCGUUACAUUAGCUUUUAACACCAAAACAUCUUCAUGCAAGUAUAGUAUCCCUUCCUCAUCGUAUUAUGUCCAAAUGAUUGGAACUUGCUUGGUUCUUGCUCAUUUUUUCAAUAAAGCAUUGAAGAGAAUAUCAUGACUUGUUAUUGCAUACCUUUUGUAGUACUUCUAGGCUUUGUUAGAGUUAUUUACAAGAGUUGGCCCUCUUACAAUAACUCUAUCUACUGGCUCUUCAAAAAUCAUAUCACCAGUAUUCUUUUUUGCUGUAUGCACUGUUGAUCUGUCAUUGGAUAAGAACUGUCAAUAUACUUAUUCAAAUAAUAAUUUCUUACCAGAACUUCUACUUAUUUUUUUAAGUCGUGACACUGUGGUUUGGUGUGGCCAUGGGUGUUAUUCAUCGCAUUAUCCUAUCUCUUAGAAAAUUUUGGCAAGUAAGGACUAGUGAAGGUAGGUUUGGGUUUUGGUUUAGUUGACCUUAUAUUUUGAGUUGGGUUAACUUGGAUCGUUAUAGUGAGGAUGGCUAUCAACUAGUUAUAUCAUUUCAAGUAGCUCUAUUUAGAGAGGGGUGGGGUUAAUUUCUUUUUACAUAGUAUGGGGAGAUAAGAGUGGCCAAAAUCGAAUUUAGAUUGGAUUCGGAUCAAUUUGAUCAUAUAUUAAAUUUUUCGGAUUGAUUAAAAAAACUCAUCUGAAUGUACUGGAACUUCAAUCUAAUAUGAAUAUAUUUGGAUCAGAUGAAUAAUUUGGCUUAAGUUAGAUUUGGAUCGGUUUGGUAAAUCUCAAAUUUAAUUUUAAUUUACAGGUCACUAAACUCAAUGGAUAAGACAUAAUUUGUAUAUCUCUGUAAUAAACAUUCAAUUUUGAUAUUCAACUACAUAGAUAGAAGAAAAAUAAGUCAUUUACAUUACAAUUGUGGUGCAUAUCACUGAAAAUUAUCAUAAUAAUUCAUAUUUUUCCAAACAAAAUUAAAAGAAACCAUAAUUUAAACAACAUAAUAAGCAAAUAGAAUUUCUAAAGAAAAGGAAAAAGAGUAUAUGUAAGCUAGAAAAAGAGAAAUCAUGUAUUAGAGAAGAAAAGAGCAUUGUUGCACAAAAACAACUAAUACCAAAACUAAUAAAAAAAAUCUCAUAUUCAUUUUCCAAUUUUCUCAUAAGCUUACGCAAUUCUUCCUCUUCUACUCUUCAAAAUCAUUUGCCAAUUUUCUCAAUUUUCUCAUAAGGUGAUCUCUGGACUUGUGAUGAGAAAAUUACUUGAGUAACUUACGGCUGCUUAGGUUUGGGAUUUUGGGGAAAACAAGUUAGGUUUACACAUUACAAACUUCACUAGUCAAAUUGUCGAAUUACAUCCGAAUUAGAUUUGAUCCGAUUAUAAUCUCAUCGGAUUGGGUUGUUUCUAUUUAAUCAAAUUACAACAAUAGUCCAUAUUCAAUUUGAAUAUAUUUGGAUUGAAUCAAAUCCAAUCCUAUGCUGACCCUUAUGGGAAUAAGUAGCCGUCCUUAUUAUGACCGCUCUACUCACUGAUGGUUUGUCAUGAUGCCUAACUAGUCCACUUAUUUUUUAGCUCUCCUUUCAUUUCGUUUUAACUCCUCAAGUUACUCGUCUCUAACUCUUGCUGCUUUUUCCUCCUCGAUUUCAAUAUCCACCUUCACCUAGUCAUAAGCAGCCGAAUAAGAGUUUAUUAUUGGGUUCCUUAAGUUAUACCAUAAUUGCCCUAUCUUUACUCCCUCUUUUAAUCCCUUCAAGGCCUGAAGAUGAUUGAAAGCUCCAUGGUCAAGGAUUGUUUGGUGAUAUAUCUUGAAAAAUCUCUUAGAGUUUGAUUUUCUUCUUACUCGAGCCUCAUUGGCUCUAUCAUGUCAUCCUUUGGUGUUAUUGCUCCUAAAAAAUGUUCAGCAAAGUCUCCAUGCAAUUGAUCAGAAGUUCUGAUGCUUCCCUAUGGCAAUUUGCGAUACUAAUCAUGUGCAUGCUAUUCUAAUGUCAAUGGAAACACUCCACACCACUGUAGUGGUGUCAAACCAUGUACUCUAGUCAUCUCAUUAAAUUGUUCUAUAUGCAUAAAAGGUCACUCUUUCUGGAAUAUUUUAGGUUCAAAACUAAUCCCUUGAUAUUGUUGUGCUCAUGAUUUUUGCUGAGAGUAAGAUUCAUUAUCCAUAAUUAUUCUCCGGCUCAGUGCUCUUUCAAUCCUAUACUUCUUCAUAAUUCGUGCUAAUCUAUGCACCUUAUCUUCUAAUUUCCCAACGCGACUUGGGUUCUACACCCUUAUCUACUUGUAGUCAGCGUUCUGUUUAUUCCAUAGAUUUUCACCGAAGUAAGUUUGGUUGCUCUCCAAAAAAAAAAAAAAAGAAAUCACCUAAUACUUUCGGGGCAAGGCAAGCUUCCAAAUAACAUUGCAAAUGAUUUAGUGAAAAAGCUUUCAUCUAUUCCGGUAAUUUAGAAGCACUUUAAUUCAAUUCUCUCUUAAGAGUCCUAUCACUUUAGGAUGAUUUUUAAGUAAAAUCCUUGUAUAGAUUAUAUUUUUGUUAAUAUAACAAACACUAAAUAUUUAUGAUCUGAAAGAUAGUUGUUGAAUGGAGAUCGUUUCACACAAAAAAGUAUUUAAAAAGAAUGUGGUAUUGUAAUAUUAAAUAAUUUUUUGUAGUGAUAUAAGAGUAUCACACUAGUUUUUUUUUUUUUUUUUUUUUUGCAUUACAAAAAAUUGAAAAUAAGAUCUAAGUAAUUUCAAGAAUAAAUUAGCAAUAUUAGGAACAAGUUUUACGAAAAGCUUCUGGGACAUGUCAUACAAAUUUGUUAUAUAUGACAGUCUCUACUAGAUCUUUUUUCCACAUUACAAAAAUUAGAAAUGAGAUCUAAAUCGACCAAUUAUAAAUUUUAUAGUGAGUGGGUCCUAUAUGAAAACAAGGUUUUUUUUUUAUUAUAGUGUAGUCAAUUAUCAGCCAUCUACCCUAAGUUUAUUUUAUAUUAAAAAAUACUAGGAAGAUUUAAUUUGUUUAGUUUUUUACUUUAAUUUUAUAAUUUGUAUUAGUUGUCUACUAAAAGGGUCCGGCUACGGUGCAAUGGUGAUACGGUACCACCGUUGCAUUCAGUCGUUGGAUCCACUUGGAUGAAUGGAUCCAGUGAGAUCCAACGGCUGGAUGCAACGGUGGUACCGUACCACCGUUGCACCAUAGUUUUCUCCCUACUAAAAAGAUAUAAUUAUCCUUACUAAAUGACAAAAUAGAAACAAAUACAAAUAAAAACUGCGGUCAUUUUGUAAGGGUAAUUCUAUCUUUUUAGCAUCGAAUUGCAUAUUAAACUAUUUUAAGUACUUAAAAUAAUAUAAGUUCUUUAUCAAAUAAAUAAAAUUUUAAACUAUGUAUUUACCAAAUAUUUUAAAAUCACAGCUCUUCUACUACAUCUCCAAAUAAAUUCUUAAAAUCAUAAAUAACUAAAUUAAUGGGGUUUUAAAAGGACUCUCCAGACUUUGCAUGAUUUCUUUAUAUGUAGGUGCUGGGUGAUCAUGUUGGUUCCUAUAGGUACCAUCAGCCACACUUUUUGUUAUUGGUGAAAAAAUAAUUUUGGGUACAAUUUGUGAAUUUGUAUAACGUGCGGUAUUAAACAUUUGAAACAUGCAAUGACAGUAAUCUAAUCAAUAAUUAAAAAAAAAUUGUAUAAAAUACAUAUGUCGUAGGCAACUCGGAUCCUUUUCUUUAUAAUUCCAUAUCAUGUGAUUAUCAAAAAACUUCUUGGGAUUUUUAAAUUUUGUAAUUGCACUAUCCUUGAAUUAUCAAAAGACUCUUGAUAAUGUUCUUCUUCUUAAAGAUUCCCUUAAUCUGUAAAUGGUCCAAUAAUUAGUUCAUAAAACGAAUUUAUUACUUUAGACAAGUCUCAAAUAUACAUACCUCUUAUAACUCCGUAUUGCAUAAUUCCUUACUUAAAUGCAUUUGUUUCCUUUCUCUAAAUUUUAGAAUGGCUCUGUCUACUAAAUUUCCUCUUUAAAUUUGACUGCCAACUGGGAAUUUUGCCAAAAUUUCCACCCCAUCUUACUCUCUGAAAUAUGUCCUCCACGUUACUAUAGCAAAUUUAACAUCUAGGAUACUGAAAACAUUUUGUUUUAAUUUUUAAAUCUUUAGCUGUUGAAAAUAGGUCUUUAGCUGCUCAUCAGGAGAAAAUUUUCAUCUAAAACUUUUUUUGAUAAGGCAAGCUUCCAAAUAACAUCCAAAUGGUUUGGUGAAGGUUUUUCACCUUUUCUGAUAAUCCAAAAGCACCUUAUUUCUAGUUAUCUCUUAACAGUCUUAUUACCUCAGGUUCUCUCUUUAUUAAGUAAAACCUCAUAUAUAUUAAUUUGUUGUUAAUAUAAAUAAAAAUUAAGUAGUUGUUUGUUUUUUCAACUUAACGAAAAGUUUUCAUUCAUUAAAUUAUUAUCCCAAACUUUUUAGCUUUUUACUUAAUCUAAAAAGUAUGAAUAAUAUCAUUAAAAGAUAUUUUCCAAAAUAUCUCUAUCUAAUUAAUUAAUUUUCAUCAUUAUCCGAAUAAAAUUUAAUAAUUAGUAUUAUUACUCAUCUCUAUAACUUAUGAUAAUAUAGUGGUAGACUAUUACGAAUUUUACCAUCUUAUUUUCUUCAGAUUUGAAUUAUUUAUCUUCAUAAUUUUUUAUGACUAUUCUUAGUAUAAAAACAUCAUAAAUUAUAAUAAAAUGGAUUGACAUAUACUAAUUUAGAAUAUUAAAAGGUUGUGUUCAAUUGAAAAUAAUUUAUGUUAUGAUGAUAUAUUAUCUUUUAUAUGUUCUUUGAAAUGUUUAUUAUUUGAUGAACAUUUACAAUAUGUUAGGACACAAAUGUAGAAAUACUAAUUUUUAGAUUUUUUUAAGUUAAAAGAUAAACAACUUAAUAUUUAUUUUUAACGAUUCAAUAAAAAAACAAACAUAUAAUUAAGAUUUAGACAUUCAACUCUAUUCAAAAUUCAGACUAAUUCACACAUAUUUAGAUUUCAGACAAGAAACAUAUGCCACCUAAAUGUUUAUGACUUAAAAUUAUUUAAUAAUCAUGGCACAUUUAACCUAUCUAAACAUGAAAUCUUGUGUAGACUUAUGUUUAAGCAAGAGGAUAAUGUGAGAAAAUUGACACAUUAAUUUACAAUUUGUAGGCCAACUGAAUAUUUUUUGUUUGUUUUUUUAUUUUGAUAAUAAAACAAGCCUCGCAAGAGCUUAGGUUUUUAGCCAACUGAAUAAAUUUUCCCACUCAAAUUAGAAACAAUAAAAUCUAAUAAUUAUGAGCCCAUCAGACAAACAGUGAGACAUCAUAUUGUUAAUACCUACUCGUAAAAUUAACGGGAUAACACGGUUUAUGCGGACAGAUUAUCAAGGUAUUGUUAAUACCUUCUGUAUCGGUAUUUCUUUUUUUCUUCUUCUUCAACCCCAAAUAAUCAAAAGCUCUCCAAUGGCUUUCGUAUCCACAACUCGUCCAUUUCAUUUUACUUCAAAUUCAAUAUCAGCUCUUAGAUGUAAUUUCUCAUCUUCGUUCCCUCAUACCGGAAAACCCAAAUCUUCAAUUUCGGAAAAUAAACCCUCGUAUCCGACCGCAACAGCUAAACUGAAGGAGUCGCUACGACUGACGGUCAAAGACCGAGCCUCACUCGAAAAAUUCCUCAGAAAAAGGUUCAAAUCAUCCGGUGAAGGUGAUAUUACUACUAUUACUCCUAAUGAAGCCUUUUGUAUCUUUGAUUACAUGCUCAAUAUGCGCCCUUCUCCGCCUCCUGUCUCUUCCUUCAAUAUUUUGUUUGGUUGUCUUGCUAAGAAUAAACAUUAUGAUACUGUCCUUUCACUCUUCAAGAGACUCAAUUCAACUGGGUUGUUUCCAAAUCUUUAUACUUACAAUAUCUUGAUUAACUGCUUUUGCAAAAUGGGUCGAGUUUCUCCUGGUUUUGUUGUUCUUGGGAGAAUCCUCAGGUCUUGUUUUACUCCAGAUGCUGUGACCUUUACUUCUUUGAUUAAAGGUUUGUGUGCGGAGAGUAGAAUCAUGGAGGCUGCCGCAUUGUUUACGAAACUUAGAGUGUUUGGUUGUGAGCCUGAUGUUUUUACAUACAAUACUUUGAUUAAUGGAUUGUGUCGAACUGGCCAUACAUUUGUUGCUCUAAAUUUAUUUGAAGAGAUGGCUAAUGGAAAUGGGGAAUUUGGUGUUGUUUGUAAGCCAAACACUGUUACAUACAAUACUAUUAUAGAUGGUCUUUGUAAGGAAGGUUUUGUGGACAAGGCCAAGGAACUGUUUCUGCAGAUGAAGGAUAACAAUAUUAACCCCAAUGUGGUUACUUAUAACUCUUUGAUUCACUGUUUCUCUCAUGCUGAUGAUUGGAAUGAGGCCAAGUGUUUGCUAAUUGAGAUGAUGGACCAAGGGGUACAGCCUAAUGUUGUGACUUUCAAUGUCAUCAUGGAUGAGCUCUGCAAGAAUGGAAAGAUGGAUGAGGCUGCCGCAUUGUUUACGAAACUUGGUGUGUUUGGUUGUGAGCCUGAUGUUUUUACAUACACCACUUUGAUUAAUGGAUUGUGUCGAACUGGCCAUACAAUUGUUGCUCUAAAUUUAUUUGAAGAGAUGGCCAAUGGAAAUGGGAAAUUUGGUGUUGUUUGUAAGCCAGACGCUAUUACAUACAGUACUAUUAUAGAUGGUCUUUGUAAGGAAGGUUUUGUGGACAAGGCCAAUGAACUGUUUCUGCAGAUGAAGGGUAAGAAUAUUAACCCCGAUGCGGUUACUUAUAACUCUUUGAUUCACGGUUUUUGUUAUGCUAAUGAUUGGAAUAAGGCCAAGCAUUUGUUUAUUGAGAUGAUGGAUCAAGGGGUACAGCCUGAUGUUGUGACUUUCAAUGUGAUCAUGGAUGAGCUCUGCAAGAAUGGGAAGAUGGACGAAGCAAGUAGGCUGUUAGAAUUGAUGAUUUUGAGAGGAUUGAAUCCCAACACAUCUACUUAUAACACAUUAAUUGAUGGUUAUUGCUUAACUGGUAAAAUAGAUUGUGCUAGGGAAUUAUUUGUUUCUAUGGAGAGUAACGGGUGCAUGCAUAAUGUUGUGAGUUACAACACAUUAAUAAAUGGGUACUGCAAGACUAAGGAUGUAGAGGAAGCUUUAAAUCUUUAUAGGAAAAUGCUGUCUAAAGGAAUUAGGCCAACAGUUGUUACAUAUAACACCUUGUUUCAUGGCCUUUUUGAAAUACAGCAGGUUGACCAUGCUUUAAAACUGUUUGAUGAGAUGCAGCGCAAUGAUGUGGCUGCUGAUACCUCUACGUAUAAUACCUUUACAGAUGGGCUCUGCAAGAAUGGUUAUAUUGUAGAGGCAGUUGAAUUAUUUCGUACUUUGAGAAUUCUCAAGUGUGAACUUGAUAUUCAAGCCUACAACUGCCUCAUUGAUGGAUUAUGUAAAUCCGGCAGACUUGAAUUUGCGUGGGAACUGUUUCGUAGUUUGCCUCGUCGAGUCCUAAUGGCAAAUGUUGUAACAUAUAACAUCAUGAUCCAUGGGCUUUGUAACGAUGGCCAAAUGGAUAAGGCACAUGAUUUAUUUCUUGACAUGGAAGAAAAUGCUGUGGCACCCAAUGUCAUCACAUUUGGUACACUUAUGCAUGGUUUUAUCCGAGUCAAUGAGCCAUCAAAAGUUAUUGAACUUCUUCACAAGAUGAAGGAGAAAAAAGUAAUGCCAGAUGCAUCUAUAGUUUCAAUUGUUGUCGACUUACUUGUAAAGAAUGAAAUUAGUCUGAACUCACUUCCGUCAUUUCCUGUCCGAGAGCGACAGGGGGAAGUUGAUGAGUCAAAUGUCAAGUAGUAGCAGCAUGUGUUUUGAGCCUAAAAACCUGAUCUGCAGCAUCUCAUUCACAUUGCAAAAUGACGUCGCCUGGUGACAGCAUGUUCUCUCUGGUACUGUUCAUGGAUUCUUGAUUGUUCUCGUGAUCAGAAGAGUCUCAUUCAUAUUACAAAUCCUGAUCUGGACAAGCUAGCAUACGUGAUCACCAACUGCACAUGGUUGUUGAUGCCAGAUUAAGUAUGGUAUCAUGUCUUUCAACUUGUUAUUCACUAUAGUCUUUCACCCUCUGUCUUGUUCUCUCUUAAUGACCCAUUGCUUUAGAAGCUAAUGAAUUAGUUGAAGCUUGUCACUUUAUUGGCACUGACUAUCAUUUAUGCUUUGAAUUUACAGCAUAUUUUAUCCUUACUGUACUCUUCGCAUAGUUACCUUUGAGGGCUGCUAGUAUGUAAAACUAAAAGACCUUAUAUAAGCUUUUCAGUGUAUAUCUGUUCUGUGAAAUGAUUCAUUCUGCAAGGCCCUAGGCUUAUGACUCAUCUAUGAAAUGAUUUACCCUCACCUGCACACAGGCAUUUGUCCCUUUCGAGCAAUCUUCAAACAAUGUGAAAAAAAUGCUUGAAACACGACACAGACUUCACUGUUUACAUGAAAAGCGGCAGAAACUUGUGAAAUUACCGAUUAAAAAGUACCUACUGUGAGGAAGAUGCUAUAAAACUCACUCGGAAAAUGUAAAAUGGUUAACAGACAUCCACCAGAAGCACAAUUCAGAACAUGGGCUGCUUUUGGCUGCCCGGCUUUCAGAAGUCAAUAUUUAGAUGAACUUUGGGGAGAUUAGGAUCACCAGUCAGUCAGAUUUAGAUAGAAAGUGAGAGAUUGCUAUUGCCGAGUCAUUGCUUCUAUCCUAAAUGCUUUGAUCUACCUGAAAAGUAUAUAAAUAUCGGGGUUAAAACAGAGCAGUUGAAAUCGUAUUGAUGAACUCAACUGAGAUAAAUGAUAAAAGAAAACUAACCUACAUUCUGUACAAAACUCGCCCAUCUUCCUUUAAGAGCUGACUUCCCAAGAAGAGAUCACCACAAUAGUUCACAUCAACAGUCUCCACUUGAGAGUUUUUAUAACCACAAUAUUCAUUCCAUUCAAACCACAUCCUUGAGAUCAGUUCCUUCUUCAGGAGACUCGGCAGCAACCAAUCUAUAUGCAUAAGCUUUCUUUGUUUGGCCUGGCUGGAAAGCCCAGCCGAUUGCUUGGCGGAUUUCUGAUGGAGUACAGGGAACAUCCAGAAUAAUGAUCCAAAUUUUUGUGGACUUACAUGUAAAGAAUGAAAUUGGUUAAACUCGAUUCCACAAUUCAAGAGUAAAUGAGUUUAAUCUUGAUUUAGUAUCAUGUCUUUUCUGCUUUAAAACCAGAUCUGGGGAAUCCCAUUCUUCUUACGACAGGUGAAGGAGUGUUUGUGUAUUGCUGGCAUGUUCCCAGGUUCUAUUCACGGAUUCUGUUUGCAGACAUGGCUAACUCCUCGUUUCAGAUAAGUUUCAAAGUCUGGCAACUUUUUGUUUCAAUUCAUGGGUUUUCCUUCUAUGAUGCAUCUUUCUCAUUAGCUGUAGUUUCAAAUUUUUUAGGCUCUUCCUGUAUGACCUCUUUUCUUCUCCAAAUGGAUAAAAUUUGUUUUUCAUUUUUCUCCUGCGAGGGUACAGGUUUAUGUUGAAACUUUCUCUUAGUUAAAUUGAUUGUCAUUUGAUAUUGGAACUUCUAGUUGAACUAGUUUGCACUUCGAAUAUAUGAGAUUACCAACUCUAAGGAAUUGGUGCCAAAUUGAUUAUGUUAUCAGGUUUUUCAGUCUGUGUAAUUGUCCAAAUUUUUUUCAUUCCUAGUGACAUGGCAUUCACUUGAAUAUGAAAACCUACGUGUUCGCAAGACAAAGUCUGUUGAAACUGACAAACUUUUCUCUAUGAAUAUUGAAGACAAUAUAAUAAGAUAAAAUUAAUCAAAAACAUCUAUACUUGACAGGGCUGGAACGUCUGUUAUUAGUCCUCGCCUUCCAUUCUUGUUUCAUCUUCUUCUGCUAACAAAUCUUGAUCAUGAUAGUCUUCUCUUUUCUUUGCAACCCACAUAUAAAGUCUCGGCCAUAAACCUCGAGGCCUAUUCUCUUUUGCAAUGGUGAGUUCACUCUCAGGAAUCAGAUCGAAUUUGAAGAAACUGCAAGGGACUACAAAGCAAAUGGUGUGAAGCUCCUUUCACUUAUCACUGGCACAGCAUUACUCUGGCAAAUGGUUUAAAAUACCAUUCGCGUUGGAAGUUCAAUCAUUACUGUUUUUUUUCCCCCUCUUUUUACUUGCUCUUGCUAUUUUUGUUGUCUGAAAUUAUCUGAAGUUCCAUGCAUGCUCCAAUAGAACGAGUAAUGUAAUGUAGGUGCUGACCAACUCCAAAUAAGUAGUUAGUUGCCUAGUAGUUGCUUUCCAUGAAAUUUGUUUUUGGUAUGAAUAAUGUUGUCUUAAUUUUACAAGCUUCCGUGCAACCCCUCAUUUAAUAUUAGAUUUAUCCGUUGAUUGAUGCUGACUCUUGAAAGUAAUAUAAUAUUGUAUAAAUAUAAUGAAAUCUCACUUUAUUAAUAAAUAUAAUUUAAAAUAAAAAAUAAAAAAUAACUAAAGUUGAAAACCAAGGAGCAACUUCUAUCCUCUUAGUCUCUUACCAAGUUAUUAAAUAUAGAGCAGACAAAGGUAUAUGUAUAAUAUAUAUAAUUUUCUUCAUGAUUCAAAAUCAUAUCUCAAAUGUCAAAUAAAAUUCUCAAUUAAGGGUGUUCGGGGAUUAGAUUUUACGAAUUUUAUAUUAUUAUCGGAUAAGAUAUAAUAUGGUAUUAAUGUAAUUAUAUUUUAACUUAUUUAUUUAGUAGUAAGUACUAAUGUCAUAUUUAUAAGUUUUAUUUUUAAUUAAAUAAAUAUUUUUUAUUAUUUUUAGAUUCAUGAAUUUUUAUAGAUUUACAUAAGUAGAUUCAUAUUCAAUCCACCGAUUACAAAUUAUCAAAUUUUCAAUCUAAUUUAAUCUAUCAAUCUAUAAAUUAUUUUAAAUAUUAUAAAUUAUUUUUAGACUGAGUGAUGAAGGGUCAUUUAAACAAUCAUGGUCAUUUAAUCUAUCUAAUCAUGAUAUUUCGAGUAGACUUAUGUCACAUUUAAUCUAUCUAAUCAUGAUAUUUCGAGUAGCACCCGAUUGUGUCACAUUUAAUACGCUGAUGCUAGGUUGCAUCCGCAAUAAUGAGACAUCAAAAGUUGUUGAACUCCUUCACAGAAUGGAUGAGAGAAAUGUAAUACCAGAUGCAUCUACACUUUCAAUUGUUGUGGACUUGCUUGUAAAGAAUGAAAUUAGCUUAAACUCCAUUCCACAAUUCAAGAGUCAAAGGUAAGUGAGUUUAAUAAUGAUUUAGUCGCAUGUUUCUUCUGCCUGAAAACUCAAUGUGGAGGAUCCUAUUCUUAUUACAACAUGUAAAGGAGUGUUGUCUAAUGUUGGCAUGUUCCUAGGUUCUGUCCAUGGAUUCUGUUUGCAGACAUGGCUAACUUCUUGUUCAACAGAUAAGUUUUAAAGUCUUUCAACUUUAUGUUGUAAAAUAACUUUCUUAUUAUUCAAUUCAUGAGUUUUCCUUCUGUAACACAUACUUCUCAUUAGAUGGAAGUGCAAAUUUUUUAGGCUUUUCCCGUAUGGCCUCUUUUUCUGCUCUAAAUAAAAUGGCAUUUUAUUUCCCUCCUGUGAGGGUACAAGGUUUAUGUAUAAACUUUCUGUUAGUUAAAUUGGUUGUCUUUGAUAUAGGGAACUUCCAGUUGAGCUGAUUUGUAAUUCGAGUAUAUGAGAUUACCAACUGUAUUGGGAAUUAAUGCCAAAUUAAUUAUGUCAUCAGGUUUUUCAAUCAUUGUUCAUCAUUUAUUUCUGUUAACAAUUAAUAGCACAGCUUGUCUUCUCAGCUUCAUUGGUUCCUCUAAAAAAUAAUCUUGUAAAGACAAUUUUUUUUUUUUGGCAUGGUAAAUGCUAGAUUGUUUGUGGUAAAUACAAAAUUGAUACAAUCAACUUGUAUGAUAAGUUUUAAAAGUUUAUUCAUAUUUAUAUUACAUAAUUAAAAGUUCAUUCAUAUUUAUAUGAGAUAUCUAUUUUAGGACACAGUUUAAUAAUCAUGGAAACUAACCAUUUAAUAACAAUUAUGGUCGUUUAACCUAUCUAAACAUGAAAUUGUCAGCUGGCUUAUCUUUGAGUAGGAGGAUAAUGUAAGAAAAUUAAUAUUUUAAUGUACAAUUUGUAUGCCAAGCGAAAAAUUUCACAAUUUAAAUUAGAAAAAAUAAAAUUUAAUAGUUAAAUAUUAUUUGAGCCAAUUGACUAGUGGGACAUUAUUUGUUACUGUCCAAAAAGCAUAACAUUAUUUUGAUAAAUGGUUACUGCAAGAAUAAGGAAAUAGAGGAAGCGUUAAGCCUUUAUAGCGAAAUGCUCUCUAAAGGAAUAAAGCCAACAGUUGUUACAUAUAACACCUUGUUUCUUGGUCUUUUUGAAAUACACCAAGUUGAGCGUGCUUUAAAACUGUUUGAUGAGAUGCAGCGCAAUGGUGUGGUUGCUGAUACCUCUACGUAUAAUACCUUUACUGACGGGCUCUGCAAGAAUGGUUAUAUCGUAGAGGCAGUUGAACUAUUUCGUACUUUGAGAAUUCUAAAGUAUGAACUGUGGUGUCCAAUUUCAUCACAUUUGGUACGCUUAUCCAUGGUUUUAUCCGAAUCAAUGAGCCAUCAGAAGUUAUUCAACUUCUUCACAUGAUGAAGGAGAAAAAAGUAAUGCCAGAUGCGUCUACAGUUUCAAUCGUUGUCGACUUACUUGUAAAGAAUGAAAUUAGUCUGAACUCACUUCCGUCAUUUCCUGUCCAAGAGCGACAGGGGGAAGUUGAUGAGUCAAAUGUCAAGUUGUAGCAGCAUGUCCUGUCCAUUGCUUCAAUCCUAAAUGCUUUGAUCUACCUGAAAAGUAUACAAAUAUCGGAGUUAAAACAGAGCAGAUUAAAUCGUAUUGAUGAACUCAACUGAGAUAAAUGACAAAAGAAAACUAACUUUUCCUGUUCAAAGCUCGCACACCUUCCUUUAAGAGCUGACUUUCCAAGAAGAGAUCACCACAAUCGUUCACAUCAACAGUCCACUUGAAAUUUUUUAUAACCACAAUAGUCAUUCCAUUCAAACCACAUCCUUGAGAUCAGUUCCUUCUUCAAGCAAGUGGGAUGGUCUUCCUCUUGAGGAGACUCAGCAGCAACCAAUCAAAGCACAAUAAAGGUAACAUCCAGAAUAAUGAUCCAAAUUUUUGUGGACUUACAUGCAAAGAAUGAAAUUGGUUUAAACUCGAUUCCACAAUUCAAGAGUUAAUGAGUUUAUCUUGAUUCAGUAGCGUGUCUCUUCUGCUUUAAAACCAGAUCUGGGGAAUCCCAUUCUUAUUACAACAUGUGAAGGAGUGUUUGUGUAUUGUUGGCAUGUUCCCAGGUUCUGUUCACGGAUUCUGUUUGCAGACAUGGCUAACUCCUCGUUUCAUCAGAUAAGUUUCAAAGUCUGGCAACUUUUUGUUGUAAAAAUAACUAUUUCAUUAUUCAAUUCAUGAGUUUUCCUUCUAUGGUGCAUCUUUCUCAUUAGCUGUAGUUUCAAAAUUCGAGCGAAUUUGAAGAAACUGCAAAAGACUACAAAGCAAAUGGUGUAGAGCACCUUUCACUUAUCACGGGCACAGGAUUACUCUGACUUUCUGCAUUUUACUGUUGGCUAUGGUUUGAUGCAUUAUUUAUUGUUCUCAAAUACCAUUCUCGUUGGAAGUUCAAUCAUUACUGUUUCUUUUUUCCCCCCUUUUUACUUGAAGUUACCUGAAGUUCCAUGCAUGCUCCAAUCGAACAAGUAACGUAGGUGCUGACCAACUCAAAAUAAGUAGUCAGUUGCCUAGUAGUUGCUUUGCAUGAAAUUUGUUUUUGGUCUUAAUUUUACAAGCUUUCAUGCAACUCCUAAUUUGUUGGAAGUAUUAACUCAACCCGUCAUUUAAGGUUAGAUUUAACCAUUGACUUAUGUUGACUAUUAAAAGUACUAUAAUAUUCUAUAAAUAUAACGAAACCUACUUUAUUAACAAAUAUAAUUUAAAAUAUAAAAAAUCAAUAAUAAAAAUAACUAAAGUUGAAAUCCAAGGAGCAACUUCUAUCCUCUUACCAAGUUAUUAAAUAUUAGAGUAGAUAGAGGCAUAUACUUUUCUUGAUGAUUCAGAAUCAUAUCUUCAAAUAAAAUUCUCAAUGAUUGCAGGCCUCAAUACCAUUAGGAUGAACUAGACCAUCAUGAAUUUUUGCGCAUCUUGCAAGGUCCAAUUUCUCCAAGUUUAUGAUCAAGCCAAAAAAUGUCAUAAUUCCUUUUAUAGUAAUUUCAUAGUGUUUACUAAACUGUAAUAGAAAUGGAUUGAAACACAAAUAGGGAUGGCAAUGGGGAGGGGGGAGGGGACCAACAUCCCCGUACCCAUCCUUGAUAUUUUGUAUAUGUCCCCAUCUCCUUCCUAUCCCCAUCAGAAUUACUUGAGGGGAUUCCCGUCCCCUCCCCGAAUAAUAACAGGGAAUCUCCGAGGGUCCCCGAUCCCCAAAUAACUGAUAUAUUUGUUUAGUUUUCAAACUUAAUUUAAUCAUAUUAAUGUAAAAAUAUAUAAAAUAAAAUGAAAUGAUCAUGAAUGGGCCUUAUAUUUCAUUCCACUCCUUCAAACUUUUGGUAUAUAUAAUAUUCAAAUAAUGAUUUUCAAAACAAAAUUCAAAUAAUGUGAUUUUUAUACAAUAUUGACGUGAUUGUUGUCCAUGAGUAACGAUACCUACUGAUCACCGACUAUGAUGCAACAAAGCCGCAUGUGUGGCUGCUAGUUGACGUUGCGACGAGUUAGGCUACUCGGACACUGACAACGUAACGUGCUACUGGGCUAUGAUGAGAUGAAGACGAGUUGAGUGCUUACUACUGCAUGAAUAAUUUGGAAAUGAUGAGCAAGACUGUGAGAAAGUAAUUUAGAGUUUGAUUUGUGAGUUAUAAGCUUGUGGGAUUGUGUGCUUUUGGUUGUAAUUAAGUCUAAAUUAUAUUAAACAUUUUAUAUUAACUAAUAUUUAUUAUUUGUAUAAAUAUUUUGAUAUUUUUUAUUUACACCAAUAUUUUAUAUUUUACAAUUUAAAAUUUAUCGUUUAUUGACUAAUAAUUCUAGAAAAAUAAAAAUAAAAUAAAAUAUUAAAAUAGGGAAAUGGGGAGGGGACGGGGAUUCCACCUCAUCCCCAUCCCUUCCCUGAAUAAGUAAUUGGGUAAAAAAUUGUCCUCGUCCCUUUCCCGAAUAAGAAGUGUGGUAUAAAAUCGUCCAUGUACCCUCCCCAAAUGGAUAAAAUCCUCAAGGGCCCCAUUCCCAUGGGGAUUUCUGCCAUCCCUAAAUUAGAAUAAAUUAUUUACUUAAACUGUAGGAAUUAGAAUCAAAAUAAACUGGAUUGUCAUUGAUGUGUCUAUUUUGUCUUGGAAUUGAAAUCAAAAUGAGUUACAUUUUAACAACUUACUAAAAAGUGCUUAAUGAGCUAUUGUCAUAAUUAUUAUUUUAUAUUUUAAUUAUGGUAAUUAUUUAUUCAAAAAUUAUAAUAAUUAUUAUUGUUAAUAAUAUAUUCAUAUAUUAAUUAAUUGAAAAUUAUUUAAAUUAAUUAAUUAUUAAUCAAUUAAUAUAUUAAUUGAUUAAUUAUAAUAAUACAUUAAUUAAUUAUAACUGAGGACAAAAUAGAUACUUUUUAUUUUGUGAGGGGGUAAAAUGGUCAUUCCAAGGAAUGGGAGACUCAUUCCCGCCUCCCUUGGGAAUUAAUCUUCCAUUUGCCAUUCCCAAAUUGCGGUGGACUCAACGAUUUCAAUUCUGAUUCUUGACUCUAUUUUAUGAAGUAAAUGCUCUCAAUAAUUUCGAUUCCCCAAUCCGAAGAAGUAAACGCACAGUUACUGUUUCUUCUAAAGCUCAAACUUGUCAGGUUUGAGAUACCUGAUAGAUACUUCAGUCAUGCAUCCACUCCAUCAUAAGACAAACUGAAAGUUAGAAAAAAAAGGGACAAUUCAAGGAAAAUGCACACAAGUGAGGUUUCAAAAUUAAAGUAGACACUUCAGCUGCAAAUCAGCAUACACAUACAAUGGAGGUCAUACAAAUAUCAUUUCUAUAACCGCCCUACUGUAUUCUUGAAUGAAGAUGGUUUAAAGUCAAGUAAUAAGAUAUUUAAACUUAAGCAAAACAAUACAAUUAAAUUUGCUGGAACUUAUGAGUAACUUAAUCUCAUCUCUCCUCCUAAUUUAAUUGGACAGGCGUAAAUUUUCCAUGUUAAUAUGGAUGAAGUAAAUUUUCUUUUUAUAAUAUAUCUAUGCAUUAAAAAAAAUUAAUAAUAAUAACUUUUACAAGCAUUUAUGCUUGUAUUAAUACUCUACUUUUUACUACACGAUUGCUUCAGUAUAUGGUGGAUGUUAAGAUAACAAUAAUACUAGAAUUACAAACACUUGCAUACUAUUAACUAACUUAACACUAUAAUAUUGUUUACGGUGUAAGCCCUCGAGGUGAUGUUAAUAUGCCAAAGAUUUAAAAAUAUUAGUUCUAGCUUUUGAAGAAAAAUAUGCUUUCAGUCAGAAGGGAAAAAAACGAAAAAAAAAAAAAAAAGCUUUCUAACAAGAUAUCAAAAUGGUUAAUAAGAAGAGCAGUAGUAAUGGGGUAAAAGCUCGUUUAAUCCCUAUAUUUUGAGGUUAGUACUUGUUUAGUUCCUAUAUUUUUAAAAAUGCUUCAAAACAUCUUUGCCGUUAAAUAUUGACACCCCUGCCGUUACUUUGUAUUCCUUUUAGCUUACUUUUACAAUAUUACCCUUUUUGCAAUAUUGUUUCUUUUUUUGGACAUUAAUAAUAAAUAAAAUUACCAAUUUAACCCCAAAAAUAAAAUAAAGACAAAGAAAAUAUAUAUUAAUCUUUGUCAAAACUAUGUCAAAAAAAUAAAUAUUGUAAAAAAAAUUAAACUACUAAUUUUUUAGACAUUAAUAAAAAAAAAUAAUAUAUUAACUCCUCGUGGAGUAUUCAAAAAAUUAAUAUAGAUUUUUUUUUGUUUCUAUUUUACUUUUUUGGGUUAAAUUGAUAAUUUGAUUUUUCUUGUUAUUAAUGUUUAAUAAAGAAGAAAUAUUAUUAUACGAGGGUAAUAUUAUGAAAGUAAGUUAAAAAGAACAAAAAAUAACAAUAAGGGUGUCAAUACUUAACGAUAACGAUGUUUUAAGACAUUUUUAAAAAUAUAGAGACUAAAUAGAUAUUAAUCUCAAAAUAUAAGAAAUAAACGAGAUUUUACCCGUAAUAAUGUUACGAGGGGGUUCAAAUGGAGGGGGACAGGUAUUUCCAAAUUUGUAUCCAUUAAUUUUUUUAAAACUCAUAUCUGUCACUUACUUGUUAUUAUUUUAAAUAUCAAACUUGUCAACCCUUAAGAGGAAACAUGUAUUUAACGGACUUUGCGCGGCUAAUUCUCAUCAUUCGCUACUCUAAAUUUUAUUUUACAGAUUUGCCCAUCAUUUACAACAUUUAAUUAAAUACACUUAAAUUAUAUAGAUUCAACGGUUCAACCUUCAUAUAUCACAUGAAAAGAAUACUGAAUUUUUAACAUCUCUCAUCAAGAGAUUGUACUGUGUUUACUCAAUUAGAUACCAAGUUUAUAUUCCAACUAAUGUGUUAAUAGUAUUUGAAUUAAAAAUGAUAAAACUUAAUAAUUAAUUAUUGCUUAAGUCAAUUAAAUAGUAUCAUAUCAUUUGUUUGAAAAAAAAAUCUUUGUUGUUUCAAGAGUAUUAAUCCUUUUUCAUUUACUUAUUAUCAUUACUAUCUGCAACUAAUCAUAAUGAUUUGCAUCAAUAUGUGAUUGUUUUUUUUACUCCAAGAACAGCUUUUAAAUGCAAUUUCUCUUCUUCCCCACUCACCCUUGAAAACCCACUAUUUGUGUACUUCCAAAAACGAUUUAUUGCUGACCGCCAAAGACCGAUACUCACUGGACAAAUUCCUAAAAGAAAGAUUCAAAUUCCAAUGUCUUAUACCUAUUUGAUUUGCAGUCCUUGUUAUGCUAAUGACUAGAAUGAGGCAAAGUGUUUUUUAAUUGAGAUGAUGGAUCUAAGGGUGCAGCAUGAUGUUGUGAUUUUCAAUGUUGAUCAUAGAUGAGCUUUGUGAAAAUAGAAAGAUAGAAGAAGCAUUUAGGUUUUUAGAAUCGCAUCAAUGGAUGGGUUUUGCUUGACCUAGGGAACUAUUUGUUUCUGUGGAGAAUAAAGGGUGCAGAAAUGACGUUGCUAAAUACAACAAGUUGAUAAAUGGGUAAUGCAAGAAUAAGGAAGUAGAGGAAGCGUUAGGCCUUUAUAGCGAAACGCUUUCUAAAAGAAUUCUCCUAGAAUAUGUUGAGGGGAUGGGGCAGCUGCCCCCAUCGCACCCUAAGCCAACAGACUCAAAACUGUAAAUGAAAGAAUCAUGAUGAUCUGUUUUGGUUUGUGAGAUGUUAGAGGAGGAGGAUUGACUAGUAACGGGGAGAUGUUUGGGUUUAUAAGGUGGUAGGUCACUCCACUUAAAAGGCUAGUCUUUUGGGUUAGAUACUUAGAAAUCUUAUGCUAAGUCCCCCCAACAAGCGGUAUCAGAGCUAGACCCUAGUAGCCGGAAUGUAGUGGUGGAACAACUCAGGUGUGUCGGACGAAAGGACCUGAGUCCGGCGGUGGUUUCGUCCGAAGGGGGGAUUGUUGAGUUGUAUCCCACAUUGACUAGUAAAAGGGAGAUGUUUGGGUUUAUAAGGUGGUAGGUCACUCCACCUAAAAGGCUAGUCUUUUGGGUUGGAUACCUAGGAAUCUUAUGCUAAGUCCCCCCAACAAGUGGUAUCAGAGCUAGACCCUAAUAGCCGGAAUGUAGUGGUGGAACAACUCAGAUGUGUCGGACGAAAGGACCGGAGUCCGACAGUGAUUUCGUCCGAGGGGGGGAUUGUUGAGUUGUGCCCCACAUUGAUUAGUAAAGGGGAGAUUUUGGGUUUAUAAGGUGGUAGGUCACUUCACCUAAAAGACUAGUCUUUUGGAUUGGAUACCUAGAAAUCUUAUACUAAGUCCCCCCAACAUGGACUUUCUUCUAAAGAAUGAUAUCCGUUUAAACUCAAUUCCAGAAUUCAAAAGCCAAAAUUGAAUAUUGAUUUAGUAGCAUGUUUUUCUGCCUGCUGAAAAUCGAAUAUGGAGGGUCCGUUUCAUUAUACCAAAUGUGAAGGAGUGUCACGUUGUGAGGGCAAUGUAAUAUCCUCGCCAUCUGGUUCAGUUCACCAAAGAAACUUCCCCAUUAAUUUCUUGAAAAAGUUAAGUUCAAACUGUAAAUGAAAGAAUCAUGAUGAUCUAUUUUGGUUUGUGAGAUGUUAGAAAGAGGCCAUUGUUAAAUAGACAUGAAUGCUGGAGAAAACUUUAUGUUCUUUUAUUGAAUUAAGUUGAUCCUACUCGAUCUCUGCAUUUUGGAUUCCUACUUCAGAGUCGAAGAAGUGAAAUAUGGUGUGAAAAAAUUGUAUGCUUAAGUUAAUUUGAAUCCUUGUUAUUUAAUAAAAGCUCAGCUUCUUUCAAUCCGCACCUACGGUGGUCAUUUUUUUUUAUAUAUAUGGCGAGUAAUAAAUAGAUAAGAAGUAAUGUUUUUAGAACACACAAAAUAUUUUUAUUUCAAACACUAACAAAGUUGCAGACAAAAUAUUUAAAUAAUCUUGAUGUAUGUAUCUAAUAGCGUGUUUGUUAAGUGGAAAUAAAAAUGAGGGAAUGAGAUACAUUAACUUAGCCCAAGUGGUUAGAGCCACUCCCUCACAAAUGUGGGGGAAGUGGUUCGAGCCUCCGCAGACGCAUUGUAGGAAUUUAAUUUAAAUGUCCUUUCUUAGAGUUCCAGAACUUGAGUGAAGUCAGUCUUUCUCCCAGAUUGGGGCCCAAGUGGUUAGAGCCACUCCCUCACAAAUGUGAGGGAAGUGGUUCGAGCCUCCUCCGCAGACGCAUUGUAGGGAUUUAAAAAUUUAAAUGUCCUUUCUUAAAGUCCCAGAACUUGAGUGAAGACAGUAUUUUUCCCAGGCUGGGAGUUGACGUCUCUCGAAUAUUUGAGAGGUGAAGGCAGUCUUUCUCCCAGACUGGGAGUUGACGUCUCUCGAAUAUUUGAGAGGCUUAAAAAAUCUAAGCGGUGCCAUAUCAGCAUUGAUGUCAACAGGUCUCAGUAUAUAUAUGAUUGUACAUAUCAGUUAUACUCUCAUGUAAUAUGAGUUGUAAUUUGAGCAAUAGUCUCAUGUUAUAAAAAAAAAACUUAUUUACUUAUAAAGAGAGAAGGAGGAUCGAGAAUUAAAUUUGCUGGCCUCACAUCAAUUUAUGACUAACUCUUGGAUUUCUAAUUUCUAAAGGGGGUUUGGAAUCUAAAUCUCAUUUUCAAGACGGAUUAUACUACCCCCGCCCAAAUGUAAUAAUUUUCAUUUUGUCCUUCUUUUAAAUAUUUAAAAAAUAAAUAAAAAUCGCAUGAGUACUGUGCAAAGAUCGAUUGUUACUGAUACUCCUCACGGAUAUUUGUAUUACUGUCGGUCAUUGUUGUUGCAGUUGCUGCCUGUUGUCGCUGCUACUAUCGAUCAUCGUUAUUGCCUACUGCUAUUGAUUGCCGGUUAUAAUGAUGAUUAUUCUUGCCUCAGUUAUUGUUGAUGUUAUUAUUACUCGCACCGAAUUACAUAUUAUUAAAUUAUUUUAAAUAUUACAAAUUAAAUUAUUUUUAAAUGAGUGAUCAAACCUGAUCAUUUAAUAACCAUGGCCAUUUAACAUAUUUAAACAUAAAAUUUCGUGUCAAAUUAUGUUUGAGUAUAAGGAUAAUGUAAGAUAAUUGGUACUUUAAUUUACAUUUAUGUGCCAACUGAAUAAAGUUCGCUAUUUAAAUUAAAUUAGAAACGGUGAAAUUUAAUAAUUAACUAUUAUUUAGCCAUUUAAACGCAGAGACACAAUUUGUCACGGUUCCAAAAGCAUAGCAUCAUUGAAAAUACCGUAUCCCACUUCUCUUUUUCUAUUUUGGUAAUUCUUUUUUUCUUCUUCAACCCCAAAUAAUCAAAAGCUCUCCAAUGGCUUUCGUAUUCUCAACUCGUUCAUUUCAUUUUACUUCAAUUUCAAUAUCGGCUCUUAGAUGUAAUUUCUCCUCUUCGUUCCCUCAUACCAGAAAACCCAAAUCUUCAAUUUCGAAAAAUGAGCUUUCAGAUCCGACUACAACAGCUAAACUGAAGGAGUCGCUACGACUGACAGUCAAAGACCGAGCCUCACUCGAAAAAUUCCUCAAAGAAAGGUGCAAAUCAUCAGGUCAAGGUGAUAUUAAUCUUAUAACUCCUAAUGAAGCCUUGUGUAUCUUUGAUUACAUGCUCAAUAUGCGCCCUUCUCCGCCUCCUGUCACUUCCUUCAAUCUUUUGUUUGGUUGUCUUGCCAAGACUAAACAUUAUGAUACUGUCCUUUCACUCUUCAAGAGACUCAAUUCCACUGGGUUGUUUCCGGAUCUUUAUACUUACAACAUAUUGAUUAAUUGCUUUUGCAAAAUGGGUCGAGUUUCUCAUGGUUUUGUUGUUCUUGGGAGAAUCCUCAGGUCUUGUUUUACUCCAGAUGCUGUGACCUUUACUUCUUUGAUUAAAGGUUUGUGUGCGGAGAGUAGAAUCAUGGAGGCCGCCGCAUUGUUUACGAAACUUACAGUGUUUGGUUGUAAGCCUGAUGCUUUUACAUACACCACUUUGGUUAAUGGAUUGUGUCGAACCGGCCACUUUGAUUAAGCCUGAUGCUUGGGAACUGUUUCAAAGUUUGUCUCGUGUAGGCCUAUUGCCAAAUGUUGUAACAUAUAAUAUCAUGAUCCAUGGGCUUUGUAAUGAUGGGCAAAUGGACAAGGCACAUGAUUUGUUUCUUGAUAUGGAAGCAAAAGGUGUGGAACCCAAUUGUGUCAUAUUUAAUACGAUUAUGCUGGGUUUCAUCCGCAAUAAUGAGACAUCAAAAGUUAAUGAACUCCUUCAGCGAAUGGAUAAUAGAAAUGUAAUGCCAGACGCAUCUACACUUUCAAUUGCUGUGCACUUACUUGUAAAGAAUGAAAUUAGCUUAAACUCGAUUCCACAAUUCAAGAGUCAAAGGUAAGUGAGUUUAAUACUCAUUUAGCCGCAUGUUUCUUCUGCCUGAAAACCCAAUCUGGAGGAUCCUAUUCUUAUUACAUGUAAAGGAGUGUUGUCUAAUGUUGGCAUGUUCCUAGGUUCUGUCCAUGGAUUCUGUUUGCAGACAUGGCUAACUUCUUGUUCAACAGAAAGUUUUAAAGUCUUUCAACUUUAUGUUGUAAAAUAACUUUUUUAUUAUUCAAUUCAUGAGUUUUUCUUCUAUAACACAUCCUUCUCAUUAGCUGGAAGUGCAAAUUUUUUAGGCUUUUCCUGUAUGGCCUCUUUUUCUGCUCUAAAUAAAAUGGCAUUUUAUUUCCCUCCUGUGAGGGUACAACGUUUAUGUUUAAAUUUUCUGUUAGUUAAAUUGGCUGUCUUUGAUAUAGGGAACUUCCAGUUGUACUGAUUUGUAAUUCGAGUAUAUGAGAUUACCAACUGUAAUGGGAAUUGAUGCCAAAUUAAUUAUGUCAUCGGGUUUUUCAAUCAGUGUUCAUCAUUUAUUUCUGUUAACAAUUAAUAGCACAGCUUGUCUUCGCAGCUUCAUUGGUUCCUCUCAAAAAUAAUCUUGUAAAGACAAUUUUUGUUUUUUGGCAUGUUAAAUGCUAGAUUGUUUGUGUGUAUUGGUAUUUGUUAUACUAUGUAUUGGCAAGACAGUUUCUUGAAACUGACAAACUUUUCUCUAUGAAGAUUGAAGACAAUAUGAUAAGAUAAACUUUAACAAAAGCAUAGAUGCUUGCCAGCGCUGGACCUUUGAUUAAUAGUCCUCGCCUUUCGUUCUUGUUUCAUAUUCUUCUGCUAACAAAUCUUGAUCAUGAUUGUCUUCUCUUUUCUUUGCAACCCACAUAUAAAGUCUCGGCCAUAAGCCUCGAGGCCUAUUCUCUUUUGUAAAGGUGAGUUGAAGAAACAGCAAGGGACUCCAAAGCAAAUGGUGUAGAGCACCUUUCACUUAUCACGGGCACAGGAUUACUCUGACUUUCUGCAUUUUACUGUUGGCUAUGGUUUGAUGCAUUAUUUAUUGUUCUGAAAUACCAUUCUCGUUGGAAGUUCAAUCAUUACUGUUUCUUUUUUCCCCCCUUUUUACUUGAAGUUACCUGAACUUCCAUGCAUGCUCCAAUAGAACGAGUAAUGUAAUGUAGGUGUUGACCAACUCCAAAUAAGUAGUUAGUUGCCUAGUAGUUGGAAUAAAAUUCUCAAUGAUUGCGAGCCUCGAUAGCUUUAGGAUGAACCAGACCAUCAUGAAUUCUGGUGCAUCUUUUAAGGUCCAAUUUCUCCAAGUUUAUCAUCAAGCUAAAAAAUGCCCUAAUUCCUUUUCCAGUAUUUUCAUAAUGCGUUUACUAAAUUGGAACUGAAAUGAACUAGAAUAAAAACAGAAAAUGUAAAUUAGAAUAAAUUAUUUACUUGAAUUGUAGGAAUUAGAAUCGGAAUAAGCUGGAUUGUUAUUGAUGUGUCAACUUUGUCUUGGAAUCAAAAUAGAAAUGAGUUACAUUUUAACAACUUACUAAAAAGUACUUAACGAACUAUUGUCAUCAUUAUUAUUUUAUAUUUUAAUUAUGGUGAUUAUUUAUUCAAAAAUUAUUAUUAUUAAUUAUUUUUAAUAAUAUAUUAAUAUACUAAUUAAUUGAAAAAAAAAUUAAAUUAAUUAAUUGUUAAUAUAUUAAUUGAUUAAUUAUAAUAAUACAUUAAUUAAUUAUAACUAAAGACAAAACAUACAUUUUUUUAUUCUGUAACAGGGCAAAAUGGUCAUUCCAAAGAAUGUGAGUUAAAUUGUUUAAUUUAAUUUAUAUCUGUUGUAAUAUAUAGCUUAAUUAUAGUGUAAAAACAAUGACAAUGUAAUUUUUUUUUUAAUGCUAAUACUAAAACUUUAUCAUCAUGCAAUUUUUUAUAAUUACUAUUUUUUAAUUAUUUAUGGUAUAUUUGUUUAUUAAUUAAAUAAACUAUUAUUUUUUUAACUAUGACAUAAAUGUUUAGUAAAAACUAUUUAUGAAAUAGUACUACCGAAAACAUAUUCUUUAUUUUUAUUUUUUUCAAUUAUGUCUACCGAACACAUAUUACUAAUUUCAAUUUUAAAAUAUAGAAUAUAGAAAAUGAUACCAGACGCAUAUUUAAAAUCAAAAUACACCAAUUGUAAAAUUUCAUUUUCAUUUUCAUUUUCAUUUUUUUUUCAGAAAAUGCUAAUUCAGAAACAAUACCGACCAUAAACUUAUUUUUGGUAUGAAUAAUGUUGUGCUACUUUUAUAGAACUUACAUGCAACCUCAAAUUUAUUAGAAGUAUCAACUGAAACCCCUUUUACCAAGUUAUUACAACUAUAUUUACUUCUUGAAGUGGGAGUGAGAAAUGUGGAUUCCUCAUACUCCAGUGAUUACUUGUAUAUUUUAAGGGAUGUGAGAAUUCCACUCCAUGGGUUCCACCCAUUUUUUGAGUUUAUUAUUUUAUAAAAUUUCAUUUAUUAAAAAGAACAAUAUCAAUCUCGUUUAAAUAAAAUAUUAUUAUAUUUAUUUGAGAUUAAUGAUUAAUAAUAAAUAGUUUAUUCUAAGAAAAUAUUAAUUUUCUACUAUGUUAGUAAUAAUAAUGUUUCAUUUCUAUUGCUCUCAUCAAUAGUUUUUAAUUUAGAUAAUUAAAUUAAAACUAACAAAAAAUUAUUAUUUACAUAAUUAAUAAUAUUAAUAAUUAUUGUUAAUUUAAAAAUAUAAUGAAAUAAAUAUUUUAUUUUUCAAAUAUAUUUUUUUAUUAAUUUUUAAUUAAAAACUAUAAUUUUUUAAAUAAGGAUAAAACUGUAAUCUGAAACUACUUACUCUUGAUCCGAGACAAAGUAAACAUGUAAAUUGAAUUUUAAUUCCAAUUCCAUACUCCUAUUCUAGUGUAAGUAAACAAUCUACUCUCAUUCUACACUCCCAAUCUCAGGAUUCACACUUCUCAGGAUUCUCACUCUAUUCGAAAAUGUAAACGCUAACAAAAUGUAGACCAGACAUAGGUGUAUAUAUAUAUAUAUUCUUAAUCAAACAUCAAAUAAAAUUCUUAAUUAAGUAAACCAUAAGGUGAUUGCGCAUAAAAAAUAAUAAUAAUAUUAAUUUUCAUAAGAAUUUAUGCUCGUAGUAUUUCAUUACUUUUUAUUAACCGUUGCUUCAACUUAUGGUGGGUAUUAAGAGAACAAUAAUAAUAGAGUUAUAAACGGUUGCAUACUAUCAAUUAAAUUAACACUAUAAUUUGGUUUACCAUACAAAUCCUUAAUAUCAUAAAUAAUUAAAUUAUUGGGGUUUUAAAAUGCAGACUUGCCAUGGCUCCUAUAAGUAAUAUCAGCCGCACUCUUUGUUAUUGGUAAAAAAAAUUUCUAGGUACAAUUUGUGAAUUUGUACAACGUGCGGUAUUAAACAUUUGAAGCAUGAACUGACAAUGUUGUGUCAAUAAUAAAGAAAAGAAAACGAAUUGUAUAAUACACAGGUGUUCUAGUGUAACUUGGAUUCUUUUUCUUUAUAAGUGCACCUAUUAUGUGAUUUUUUUUUGAAAAAAGAAAAAGAAAAAAAGAACUCUUGAGAUUUUAAAAUUUUGUAAUUGCACUAUCUUUAGAUUGUCAGGAGAUUUUCUCUCCUUAAAGAUGCCCUUAAUCCAUAAACGGUCCAAAAAAUAAUUCAUAAAAUGAAUUGAUUAUUUUAGAUAAGUUUCAAGAAUGCACACCUUUUAUAACUCCAUAUUGCAUAACUCCUCAUUUCACUCAAUGGAUGCAUUUGUUCACUUUUUCUUUCUUGUAAAUUUUUGAAUGGCCGUAAUUCUAUAGAUUAUUAGUUAAGUGUUAUUAUUAUCAUUUUUUUGUUGAUGCAUAUGUGGGGUGGGGCCGAUUGGGGGGCAUGGAUCUCAAUACAGCAGAGGGCCAAAAUAUUUAUUCUUUAAGAGGAACCACAACCAACAACAAUGCCUUAAGUUCCAUUCCAUGUUACUUCUGUGCACUAGAUUGCAUAAACAACAUUAUCCAAGGUCAAAGUCUCUCAAAGACUUUGGUUACAAGACAAAGCAUGGGAUUGCAGCCAAAAAUUUCUUGUAGUGAAAGGCUCAUAAACUGAUGACAAUUGUCGGAUUGUUUUGGGCCUCAAUAGUUUUAAUAUUAUUCUCUUAAAAAUAUAUAUAUUGAUUAGAGAUGAGAGGAAGAAGAUGAUAUGAUUUAGCCAGCUGUACAAGAAAGAGUACGCAGUGGAGUCUAGAUUUUGAUUUCUCUUGUUAAAUUAUUUUCAAUUUACUACAAGGUAGAAUAAAUUGCAUUCUUAAAAAAUACUUUGAACAUCAUAUUUUUGUAUUACAAAUAUACCAAAAAUUAAAUUACUUUUUUUUUUAUCAGUAUAAACUAAAAUUUGCCUGAAUCCUCAUCUUUGUAAGUGGAAUUCUAUUAUGAAACUAAUAGUCCUUCCUAGUGCUAACUGUCACUUUGAACAUGUGUCAUCUCUAACAACAACUUCCAGACCUGCAGCUAGCUGCUUUUUAGCAUUAGAAGUAGCAUCCACAUUGGCUUUCAACUAGCCAUAAUUCGGAGGAGGGGACCAUUGUUUCUGUUUGUCAGUUUUCUUCCUUGAAGCAUACGCCAUAAUUAGGAGGAGGGCAAGCUUCCAAAUAGCAUUUCGAAUGGUAUUUUGAAAAUCUUCCACCCUUUUGGUUAAAAAAAAUAAAAACCUUAUUUCUAGUUCUUUCUUAACAAUCUUAUCACUUUAAGUUUUCCUCUUAAGUAGGAACAUCAUAUAUAUUAAUUUGUUCUUAAUACAAAUAAAACUAAAUAUUUAUGACUUAAAAGAUAGGUAUUGAAUGGCAGGCGUCUCACUCAAUAUAUAUAUAUAUAUAUAUAUAUUUAAAAGCAAUGGUGAUAUCAUCAUUUUUUGUACUGAUAUGAAAAUAUCACACUAGAUUUUUUUCUCGCAUUACAAAAAGUUUGAAUUCAAGAAUAAAUAAGCAAUAUCAAGAACAAUUUUUACAAAACGCCUCCAGGACAUGCCAUAUGAAUUUGUGAUACGAAAAAUAGUAUACUAGUCACUGGAUCUUCUUUUCCUCAUUAGGAAAAAUUAGAAAUGCAAUCUAAAUUGAUAUCAAUAACUAAUUUUAUAGUGAAUGGGUCUUGCACGAAAACAAGAAAUUUUUUUAUAAUAUAAGAAAUUAUUAGUCAUUUAUCCUAAAUUUAUUUUGUCUCAAAAAAUACUACAAAAACUUUAACUUGCUUUGUUUUUUUACCUUAAUUUAUAAUUUGUAUCAGUCACUCUCUAAAACGAUAGAAUCACUUCAUAAAAUGACAAAAUAAAAAUAAAUACAAAUGACAAAACCGGUUCAUUUUAUAAGGAUAAUUCAAUCCGUUUGGCUUCAAAUUACAAAUUAAAUUAUUUCAAAUAUUAUAAAUUAUUUUUAUACUGGGUGAUGGACCUAAUCAUUUUAAUACUUAUGACAAUUUAAUCUAUCUAAAUAUAAAAUUUUGAGUAGACUUAUGUUUGAGUAGGAGGAUAAUGUAAGAAAAUUUGGCACUUUUAUUCAACUGAAGAAAUUUUACAAUUUAAAUUAAAAACGAUAAAAUUUAAUAAUUAACUAUUAUUUGAACUAAUUGAAUCGUGCGCCAUCAUUUGUGUAAUGUAUCCUAUUGCAAAAUAAACGGCAGGAUGCGGUUUGCGUUAAUGUAUCCUAUUUUGGUAAUUCUCUUCUUCUUCUUCAACCCCAAAUAAUCAAAAGCUCUCCAAUGGCUUUCGUAUCCUCAACUCGUUCAUUUCAUUUUACUACAAUUUCAAUAUCAGCUCUUAGUUGUAAUUUCUCCUCUUCGUUCCCUCAUACCAGAAAACUCACAUCUUCAAUUUCGGAAAAUGAACCCUCAUAUCCGACUACAACAGCUAAACUGAAGGAGUCGCUACGACUGACAGUCAAAGACCGAGCCUCACUAGAAAAUUUCCUCAGAGAAAGGUUCAAAUCAUCAGGUGAAGGUGAUAUUACUACUAUUACUCCUAAUGAAGCCUUUUGUAUCUUUGAUUACAUGCUCAAUAUGCGCCCUUCUCCGCCUCCUGUCUGUUCCUUCAAUAUUUUGUUUGGUUGUCUCGCUAAGAAUAAACAUUAUGAUACUGUCCUUUCACUCUUCAAGAGACUCAAUUCAACUGGGUUGUUUCCAGAUCUUUAUACUUACAAUAUCUUGAUUAACUGCUUUUGCAAAAUGGGUCGAGUUUCUCAUGGUUUUGUUGUUCUUGGGAGAAUCCUCAGGUCUUGUUUUACUCCAAAUGCUGUGACCUUUACUUCUUUGAUUAAAGGUUUGUGUGCGGAGAGUAGAAUCAUGGAGGCUGCCGCAUUGUUUACGAAACUUAGAGUGUUUGGUUGUGAGCCUAAUGUUUUUACAUACAAUACUUUGAUUAAUGGAUUGUGUCGAACUGGCCAUACAAUUGUUGCUCUAAAUUUAUUUGAAGAGAUGGCUAGUGGAAAUGGGGAAUUUGGUGUUGUUUGUAAGCCAGAUGCUAUUACAUACAGUACUAUUAUAGAUGGUCUUUGUAAGGAAGGUUUUGUGGACAAGGCCAAGGAACUGUUUCUGCAGAUGAAGUAUGAGAAUAUUAACCCGGAUGUGGUUACCUAUACCUCUGUGAUUCGUGGUUUUUGUUAUGCUAAUGAUUGGAAUGAGGCCAAGUGUUUGCUAAUUGAGAUGAUGGACCAAGGGGUACAGCCCAAUGUUGUGACUUUCAAUGUGAUCAUGGAUGAGCUCUGCAAGAAUGGAAAGAUGGAUGAGGCAAGUCGGUUGUUGGACCUGAUGAUUCAGAUUGGUGUGCGUCCAAAUGCUUUUGUCUAUAACACAUUAAUGGACGGGUUUUGCUUGACAGGUAGAGUUAAUCGUGCGAAGGAACUAUUUGUUUCUAUGGAGAGUAUGGGUUGCACACAUACUGUUUUUAGUUACAGUAUUUUGAUAAAUGGUUACUGCAAGAAUAAGGAAAUAGAGGGAGCGUUAAGCCUUUAUGGAGAAAUGCUCUCUAAAGGAAUUAAGCCAGAUGUUGUUAUAUAUAACACCUUGUUUGUUGUCCUUUUUGAAAUACACCAGGUUGAGCGUGCUUUCAAGCUGUUUGAUGAGAUGCAACGUGAUGGCGUGGCAGCUGAUACCUGGACAUAUAGAACCUUUAUUGAUGGGCUCUGCAAGAAUAGUUAUAUCGUAGAGGCAGUUGAACUAUUUCGCACUUUGAGAAUUCUCAAGUGUGAACUUGAUAUUCGAGCCUACAACUGCCUCAUUGAUGGAUUAUGUAAAUCCGGCAGACUCGAAAUUGCAUGGGAACUAUUUUGUAGUUUGCCUCGUGGAGUCCUAAUAGCAGAUGUUGUAACCUAUAACAUCAUGAUCCAUGGGCUUUGUAACGAUGGGAAAAUGGACAAGGCGCAUGAUUUGUUUCUUGAUAUGGAAGCAAAAGGUGUAGCACCCGAUUGUGUCACAUUUAAUACGCUGAUGCUAGGUUGCAUCCGCAAUAAUGAGACAUCAAAAGUUGUUGAACUCCUUCACAGAAUGGAUGAGAGAAAUGUAAUACCAGAUGCAUCUACACUUUCAAUUGUUGUGGACUUGCUUGUAAAGAAUGAAAUUAGCUUAAACUCCAUUCCACAAUUCAAGAGUCAAAGGUAAGUGAGUUUAAUAAUGAUUUAGUCGCAUGUUUCUUCUGCCUGAAAACUCAAUGUGGAGGAUCCUAUUCUUAUUACAACAUGUAAAGGAGUGUUGUCUAAUGUUGGCAUGUUCCUAGGUUCUGUCCAUGGAUUCUGUUUGCAGACAUGGCUAACUUCUUGUUCAACAGAUAAGUUUUAAAGUCUUUCAACUUUAUGUUGUAAAAUAACUUUCUUAUUAUUCAAUUCAUGAGUUUUCCUUCUGUAACACAUACUUCUCAUUAGAUGGAAGUGCAAAUUUUUUAGGCUUUUCCCGUAUGGCCUCUUUUUCUGCUCUAAAUAAAAUGGCAUUUUAUUUCCCUCCUGUGAGGGUACAAGGUUUAUGUAUAAACUUUCUGUUAGUUAAAUUGGUUGUCUUUGAUAUAGGGAACUUCCAGUUGAGCUGAUUUGUAAUUCGAGUAUAUGAGAUUACCAACUGUAUUGGGAAUUAAUGCCAAAUUAAUUAUGUCAUCAGGUUUUUCAAUCAUUGUUCAUCAUUUAUUUCUGUUAACAAUUAAUAGCACAGCUUGUCUUCUCAGCUUCAUUGGUUCCUCUAAAAAAUAAUCUUGUAAAGACAAUUUUUUUUUUUUGGCAUGGUAAAUGCUAGAUUGUUUGUGGUAAAUACAAAAUUGAUACAAUCAACUUGUAUGAUAAGUUUUAAAAGUUUAUUCAUAUUUAUAUUACAUAAUUAAAAGUUCAUUCAUAUUUAUAUGAGAUAUCUAUUUUAGGACACAGUUUAAUAAUCAUGGAAACUAACCAUUUAAUAACAAUUAUGGUCGUUUAACCUAUCUAAACAUGAAAUUGUCAGCUGGCUUAUCUUUGAGUAGGAGGAUAAUGUAAGAAAAUUAAUAUUUUAAUGUACAAUUUGUAUGCCAAGCGAAAAAUUUCACAAUUUAAAUUAGAAAAAAUAAAAUUUAAUAGUUAAAUAUUAUUUGAGCCAAUUGACUAGUGGGACAUUAUUUGUUACUGUCCAAAAAGCAUAACAUUAUUUUGAUAAAUGGUUACUGCAAGAAUAAGGAAAUAGAGGAAGCGUUAAGCCUUUAUAGCGAAAUGCUCUCUAAAGGAAUAAAGCCAACAGUUGUUACAUAUAACACCUUGUUUCUUGGUCUUUUUGAAAUACACCAAGUUGAGCGUGCUUUAAAACUGUUUGAUGAGAUGCAGCGCAAUGGUGUGGUUGCUGAUACCUCUACGUAUAAUACCUUUACUGACGGGCUCUGCAAGAAUGGUUAUAUCGUAGAGGCAGUUGAACUAUUUCGUACUUUGAGAAUUCUAAAGUAUGAACUGUGGUGUCCAAUUUCAUCACAUUUGGUACGCUUAUCCAUGGUUUUAUCCGAAUCAAUGAGCCAUCAGAAGUUAUUCAACUUCUUCACAUGAUGAAGGAGAAAAAAGUAAUGCCAGAUGCGUCUACAGUUUCAAUCGUUGUCGACUUACUUGUAAAGAAUGAAAUUAGUCUGAACUCACUUCCGUCAUUUCCUGUCCAAGAGCGACAGGGGGAAGUUGAUGAGUCAAAUGUCAAGUUGUAGCAGCAUGUCCUGUCCAUUGCUUCAAUCCUAAAUGCUUUGAUCUACCUGAAAAGUAUACAAAUAUCGGAGUUAAAACAGAGCAGAUUAAAUCGUAUUGAUGAACUCAACUGAGAUAAAUGACAAAAGAAAACUAACUUUUCCUGUUCAAAGCUCGCACACCUUCCUUUAAGAGCUGACUUUCCAAGAAGAGAUCACCACAAUCGUUCACAUCAACAGUCCACUUGAAAUUUUUUAUAACCACAAUAGUCAUUCCAUUCAAACCACAUCCUUGAGAUCAGUUCCUUCUUCAAGCAAGUGGGAUGGUCUUCCUCUUGAGGAGACUCAGCAGCAACCAAUCAAAGCACAAUAAAGGUAACAUCCAGAAUAAUGAUCCAAAUUUUUGUGGACUUACAUGCAAAGAAUGAAAUUGGUUUAAACUCGAUUCCACAAUUCAAGAGUUAAUGAGUUUAUCUUGAUUCAGUAGCGUGUCUCUUCUGCUUUAAAACCAGAUCUGGGGAAUCCCAUUCUUAUUACAACAUGUGAAGGAGUGUUUGUGUAUUGUUGGCAUGUUCCCAGGUUCUGUUCACGGAUUCUGUUUGCAGACAUGGCUAACUCCUCGUUUCAUCAGAUAAGUUUCAAAGUCUGGCAACUUUUUGUUGUAAAAAUAACUAUUUCAUUAUUCAAUUCAUGAGUUUUCCUUCUAUGGUGCAUCUUUCUCAUUAGCUGUAGUUUCAAAAUUUUUAGGCUCUUCCUGCAUGACCUCUUUUUCUUCUCUAAAUAGAUAAAAUUUGUUUUUCAUUUUUCUCUUGCGAGGGUACAGGUUCAUGUUGAAACUUUCUGUUAGUUAAAUUGAUUGUCUUUGAUAUUCGAACUUCUAGCUGAACUAGUUUGCACUUCGAAUAUAUGAGAUUACCAACUGUAACGGGAAUUGGUGCCAAAUUGAUUAUGUUAUCAGGUUUCCCAGUCUGUGUUCAUCUUGUCUUCUCUGCUUCUUUGGCUCCUGUCAAAUAUAAACUUGUAAAGACAUUUUGUUUUGGCAUGGCACAUGCUAGAUUUUGUUUUUGGUUUGAAUGAUAUUAGACAUCUAAGUAAUUGUCCAAAUUUUUUCGUUCCUAGUGACAAGGCAUUCAAUUGAAAUGGUGACUCAUGAAUCAUGAUUGUGUAUGUUGGUAUUUGUUAUACUACGCGUUAGACAAACUUUGUUGAAACUGACAUACUUUUCUCUAUGGAGAUUGAAGACAACAUAAUAAGAUAAAAUUUAUCCAAAACAUAUAUACUUGAAAGGGCUGGAACGUCUGUUAUUAGUCCUCGCCUUCCAUUCUUGUUUCGUAUUCUUCUGCUAACAAAUCUUGAUCAUGAUAGUCUUCUCUUUCUAUACAACCCACAUAUAAAGUCUUGGCCAUAAGCCUCGAGGCCUAUUCUCUUUUGCAGUGGUGAGUUCACUCUCAGGAAUCGGAUCCUUCAAAUUCGAGCGAAUUUGAAGAAACUGCAAAAGCCUACAAAGCAAAUGGUGUAGAGAACCUUUUACUUAUCACGGGCACAGGAUUACUGACUUUCUGCAUUUUACAGUUGGCUAUGGUUUGAUGCAUUAUUUAUUGUUCUCAAAUUAUAUUCUCGUUGGAAGUUCAAUCAUUACUGUUUCUUUUUUCCCCCUCUUUUUACUUGAAGUUACCUGAAGUUCCAUGCAUGCUCCAAUCGAACAAGUAACGUAGGUGCUGACCAACUCAAAAUAAGUAGUCAGUUGCCUAGUGGUUGCUUUGCAUGAAAUUUGUUUUUGGUAUGAAUAAUGUUGUCUUAAUUUUACAAGCUUCCAUGCAACUCCUAAUUUGUUGGAAGCAUUAACUCAACCCGUCAUUUAAGGUUAGAUUUAACCAUUGACUUAUGUUGACUAUUAAAAGUACUAUAAUAUUUUUAUAUUUUAUAAAUAUAACGAAACCUCACUUUAUUAACAAAUAUAAUUUAAAAUAUAAAAAAUCAAUAAUAAAAAAUAACUAAAGUUGAAAUCCAAGGAGCAACUUCUAUCCUCUAACCAAGUUAUUAAAUAUUAGAAUAGAUAGAGGCAUAUACUUUUCUUCAUGAUUCAGAAUCAUAUCUCAAAGUCAAAUAAAAUUCUCAAUGAUUGCAGGCCUCAAUACCAUUAAGAUGAACUAGACCAUCAUGAAUUUUUGUGCAUCUUGCAAGGUCCAAUUUCUCCAAGUUUAUGAUCAAGCCAAAAAAUGUCAUAAUUCCUUUUAUAGUAAUUUCAUAGUGUUUACUAAACAAUAAUAGAAAUGGACUGAAAGACAAAUAGGGAAUGCAAAUUAGAAUAGGGAUGGCAAUGGGGAGGGGGGAGGGGACCAACAUCCCUGUACCCAUUCCUGAUGUUUUGUAUAUAUCCUUAUCCCCUUCCCGUCCCCAUCAGAAUUGCUUAAGGGGAUUCUCGUCCCCUCUCUAAAUAAUAACAAGGAAUCCCCAAGGGUCCCCGAUCCCCAAAUAACUGAUAUAUUUGUUUAGUUUUCAAACUUAAUUUAAUCAUAUUAACCUAAAAAUAUAUAAAAUAAAAUGAAAAUGAUCAUGAAUGGGCCUUAUAUUUCAUUCUACUCUUUCAAACUUUUGAUAUAUAUAAUAUUCAAAUAAUGAUUUUCAAAACAAAAUUCAAAUAAUGUGAUUUUUAUACAAUAUUGACGUGAUUGUUGUCCAUGAGUAAUGAUACCUGCUGAUGACCGACUAUGAUGCAACAAAGCCGCAUAUGUGGCUGCUAGUUGGCGUUGCGAUGAGUUAGGCUACUCGGCCACUGACAACACAACGUGCUACUGAGUUAUGAUGAGAUGAAGACGAGUUGAGUGCUUACUACUGCAUGAAUAUUUUGGAAAUGAUGAGCAAGACUGUGAGAAAGUGAUUUAGAGUUUGAUUUGUGAGUUAUGAGCUUGUGGUUGUAAUUAAGUCUAAAUUAUAUUAAACAUUUUAUAUUAACUAAUAUUUAUAUUAUUUGUAUAAAUAUUUUGAUAUUUGUUAUUUACACCAAUAUUUUAUAUUUUACAAUUUAAAAUUUAUUAUUUAUUGACUAAUAAUUCUAGAAAAAUAAAAAAAAAUAUUAAAAUAGAGAAAUGGGGAGGGGACGGGGAUUACACCUCAUCCCCAUCCCUUCCAUGAAUAAGUAAUUGGGUAAAAAAUCAUCAUCGUCCCUUCCCCGAAUAAGAAGUUUGGUAUAAAAUCGUACAUGUACCCUCACCAAAUGGGAAAAAUCCCCAAGAGCCCCCAUCCCCAUCGGGAUUUCUGCUAUUCCUAAAUUAGAAUAAAUUAUUUAUUUGAACUGUAGGAAUCAGAAUCAAAAUAAGUUGGAUUAUCAUUUAUGUGUCUAUUUUGUCUUGGAAUUAAAAUCAAAAUGAUUUACAUUUUAACAACUUACUAAAAAGUGCUUAAUGAGCUAUUGUCAUAAUUAUUAUUUUAUAUUUUAAUUAUGGUAAUUAUUUAUUCAAAAAUUAUAAUAAUUAUUAUUGUUAAUAAUAUAUUCAUAUAUUAAUUAAUUGAAAAUUAUUUAAAUUAAUUAAUUAUUAAUAGAUUAAUUAUAAUAAUACAUUAAUUAAUUAUAACUGAGGAUAAAAUAUAUAUUUUUUAUUUUGUGAGGGGAUAAAAUGGUCAUUUCAAGGAAUGCGAGAGUCAUUCCUGCCUCCCUUGAGAAUUAAUCUUCCAUUUGUCAUUCCCAAAUUGCUGUGGACUCAACGAUUUUCAAUUCCGAUUCUUGACUCUAUUUUGUGAAGUAAAUGCUCUCAAUAAUUUCGAUUCCUCAAUCCGAAGAAGUAAAUGCACAGGUACUGUUUCUUCUAAAGCUCAAACUUGUCAGGUUUGAGAGACCUGAUAGAUACUUCAGUCAUGCAUCUAAUCCAUCAUAAGACAAACUGAAAGUUAGAAAUAAAAGGGACAACUCAAGGAAAAUGCACACAAGUGAGGUUUCAAAAUUAAAAUAGACACUUCAGCUGCAAAUCAGCAUACAUAUACAAUGGAGGUCAUACAAAUAUCAUUUCUACAACCGCCCUACUGUAUUCUUGAAUGAAGAUUGGUUUAGAGUCAAGUAAUAAGAUAUUUAAACUCAAGACAAAAAAAUACAAUAAAAUUUGCUGGAACUUAUAAGUAACUUACUCUCAUCUCUCCUCCUAAUUUAAUUGGACAUGCGUAAAUUUUCCAUGUUACUAUGGAUGAAAUAAAUUUUCUUUUUAUAAUAUAUGUAUGCAUUAAAAAAAAUUAAUAAUAAUAACUUUUACAAGCAUUUAUGCUUGUAUUAAUACUCUACUUUUUACCACACGAUUGCUUCAGUAAAUGGUGGAUGUUAAGAGAACAAUAAUAAUAGAAUUACAAACAAUUGCAUACUAUUAACUAACUUAACACUAUAAUAUUGUUUAUGGUGUAAGCACUCGAGGUAAUGUUAAUAUGCCAAAGAUUUAAAAAUAUUAGUUGUAGCUUUUGAAGAAAAAUAUACUUUCAGUUAGAAGGAAAAAAAAAAAAAGAAGAAGCUUUCUAACAAGAUAUCAAAAUGGUUAAUAAAAAGAGCAGUAGUAAUGUUACGAGGGGGUUCAAAUGGAGGGGCACGGGAAUUUCCAAAUUUGUAUCCAUUAAAUUUACCAAAAAAAAAAGAGAUUGGAUUGUUUUUUACAUAUUCUUAAUGUCACUUACUUGUUAUUUUUUUAAAUAUCAAACUUGUCAACUCUUAGGGGAAACAGGUAUUGGGGAAACAUGUAUUUAAGGGACUUUGUGCGGCUAAUUCUCAUCAUUCGCUACUCUAAACUUUAUUUUACAGAUUUGCGCAUCAUUUAUAACAUUUAAUUAAAUACACUUAAAUUAUAUAGAUUCAACGGUUCAACCUUCAUAUAUCACAUGAAGAGAAUACUGAAUUUUUAACAUCUCUCAUCAAGAGAUUGUACUGUGUUUACUCAAUUAGAUACUAAGUUUAUAUUCCAACUAAUGUCUUAAUAGUAUUUGAAUUAAAAAUGAUAAAACUUAAUAAUUAAUUAUUGCUUAAGUCAAUUAAAUAGUAUCAUAUCAUUUGUUUUAAAAAAAAAAAUCUUUGUUGUUUCAAGAUUAUUAAUCCUUUUUCAUUUAUUUAUUAUCAUUACUAUCUGCAACUAAUCAUAAUGAUUUGCAUCAACAUGUGAUUGUUUUUUUGACUCCAAGAACAGCUUGUCAAUAACAUGAAGUUUAUUUCUGACCGCCAAAGACCGAUACUCACUGGACAAAUUCCUAAAAGAAAGAUUCAAAUUCCAAUGUCUUAUACUUAUUUGAUUUGCAGUUCUUGUUAUGCUAAUGACUAGAAUGAGGCAAAGUGUUUUUUAAUUGAGAUGAUGGAUCUAAGGGUGCAGCAUGAUGUUGUGAUUUUCAAUGUUGACCAUAUAUGAGCUUUGUGAAAAUAGAAAGAUAGAAGAAGCAUGUAGGUUUUUAGAAUCGCAUCAAUGGAUGGGUUUUGCUUGACCUAGGGAACUAUUUGUUUCUGUGGAGAAUAAAGGGUGCAGAAAUGAUGUUGCUAAAUACAACAAGUUGAUAAAUGGGUAAUGCAAAAAGAAAGAAGUAGAGGAAGCGUUAGGCCUUUAUAGCGAAAAGCUUUCUAAAAGAAUUCUCCUAGAAUAUGUUGGGGGGAUGGAGCAGCUGCCCCCAUCGUACCCUAAGCCAACAGACUCAAAAUUGGAUGGGAACUUUUUUCAUUGAUUAUUUCACGAACGCCCGAUUCCAAAUAUGUAACAUACAACAUCAUGAUUCAUGGGCUUUGUAACAAUGGGCAAAUGGAUACGGAAGCAAGGCGUACGACGCCCAGUUGUGUCAUGUUUACUAAGCUUAUGCGAAAGAAUGACACAUCAAAAGCUAUUGAACUUCCUCACUCAAUGGAUAAGAGAAAUGUAAUGCGGGAUGCAUCUACACUUGCAACUGUUGUGGACUUUCUUUUAAAGAAUGAUAUCCGUUUAAACUCGAUUCCAGAAUUCAAAAGCCAAAAUUGAAUAUUGAUUUAGUAGCAUGUUUUUCUGCCUGCUGAAAAUCGGAUAUGGAGGAUCCGUUUCAUUAUACCAAAUGUGAACGAGUGUCACGUUGUGAGGGCAAUGUAAAAUCCUCGCCAUCUGGUUCGGUUCACCAAAGAAACUUCCCCAUUAAUUUCUUGAAAAAGUUAAGUUAAAACUGUAAAUGAAAGAAUCAUGAUGAUCUGUUUUGGUUUGUGAGAUGUUAGAAAGAGGCCAUUGUUAAAUAGACAUGAAUGCUGGAGAAAACUGUUAUGUUCUUUUAUUGAAUUAAGUUGAUCCUACUCGAUCUCUGCAUUUUAGAUUCCUACUUCAGAGUCGAAGAAGUGAAAGAUGGUGUGAAAAAAUUGUAUGCUUAAGUUAAUUUGAAUCCUUGUUAUUUAAUAAAAGCUAAGCUUCUUUCAAUCCGCACCUACGGUGGUCAUUUUUUUAUAUAUAUGGCGGCUAAUAAAUGGAUAAGAAAUAAUGUUUUUAAAAGACAUUUUUUUUUUCAAACACUAAAAAAGUUGCAGAAAAAAUAUUUAAAUAAUCUUGAUGUAUGUAUCUAAUAGCGUGUUUGUUAAGUGGAAAUAAAAAUGAGGGAACGAGAUACAUAAACUUAUUUACUUAUAAAGAGAGUAGGAGGAUUGAGAAUUAAAUUUGCUGGCCUCACAUCAAUUUAUGACUAACUCUUCGAUUUCUAAUUUCUAAGGGGGAUUUAGAAUCUAAAUCUCAUUUUCAAGACGGACUAUACUACCCCGCCCAAAUGUAAUAAUUUUCAUUUUGUCCUUCUUUUAAAUAUUUAAAAAAUAAAUAAAAAUCGCAUGAGUACUGUGCAAAGAUGGAUUGUUCUUGUUAUUGUUGAUGUUACUAUUACUAGCACCGCAUUACAUAUUAUUAAAUUAUUUUAAAUAUUACAAAUUAAAUUAUUUUUAAAUGAGUGAUAAAACCUGAUCAUUUAAUAACCAUGGCCAUUUAACAUAUUUAAACAUAAAAUUUCGUGUUAAAUUAUGUUUGAGUAUAAGGAUAAUGUAAGAUAAUUGGUACUUUAAUUUACAUUUAUGUGCCAACUGAAUAAAGUUCGCUAUUUAAAUUAAAUUAGAAACGGUGAAAUUCAAAAAUUAACUAUUAUUUAGCCAUUCAAACGCAGAGACAAUUUGUCACGGUUCCAAAAGCAUAGCAUCAUUGAAAGUACCGUAUCCCACUUGUAUUAAUAUUCGGAAGAAUGGAAGGAAAAGGGCAUAUGUUUCUCUUCUUCUAUUUUGGUAAUUCUUUUCUUCUUCUUCAACCCCAAAUAAUCAAAAGCUCUCCAAUGGCUUUCGUAUCCUCAACUCGUUCCUUUCAUUUUACUUCAAUUUCAAUAUCGGCUCUUAGAUGUAAUUUCUCCUCUUCGUUCCCUCAUACCGGAAAACCCAAAUCUUCAAUUUUGGAAAAUGAGCCUUCAGAUCCGACUACAACAGCUAAACUGAAGGAGUCGCUACGACUGACGGUCAAAGACCGAGCCUCACUCGAAAAAUUCCUCAAAGAAAGGUGCAAAUCAUCCGGUGAAGGUGAUAUUACUUCUAUUACUCCUAAUGAAGCCUUGUGUGUCUUUGAUUACAUGCUCAAUAUGCGCCCUUCUAGGCCUCCCGUCACUUCCUUCAAUAUUUUGUUUGGUUGUCUUGCUAAGACUAAACAUUAUGAUACUGUCCUUUCACUAUUCAAGAGACUCAAUUCCACUGGGUUGUUUCCGGAUCGUUAUACUUACAAUAUCUUGAUUAACUGCUUUUGCAAAAUGGGUCGAGUUUCUCAUGGUUUUGUUGUUCUUGGGAGAAUCCUCAGGUUUUGCUUUACUCCAGAUGCUGUGACCUUUACUUCUUUGAUUAAAGGUUUGUGUGCGGAGAGUAGAAUCAUGGAGGCCGCCGCAUUGUUUACGAAACUUAGAGUGUUUGGUUGUGAGCCUGAUGUCAUUACGUACAAUACUUUGAUUAAUGGAUUGUGUCGAACCGGCCAUACAAUUGUUGCUCUAAAUUUAUUUGAAGAGACGGCCAAUGGAAAUAGGAAAUUUGGUGUUAUUUGUAAGCCAGACGCUAUUACAUACAAUACUAUUAUAGAUGGUCUUUGUAAGGAAGGUUUUGUGGACAAGGCCAAGGAACUGUUUCUGCAGAUGAAGGAUAAGAAUAUUAACCCAGAUGUGGUUACUUAUAACUCUUUGAUUCACGGUUUUUGUUACGCUAAUGAUUGGAACGAGGCGAAUUGUUUGCUUAUUGAGAUGAUGGAUCAAGGGGUACAGCCUGAUGUUGUGACUUUCAAUGUGAUCAUGGAUGAGCUCUGCAAGAAUGGGAAGAUGGAUGAAGCAAGUAGGUUGUUGGACCUGAUGAUUCAGCGUGGUGUGCGUCCAAAUACUUUUGUCUAUAGCACAUUAAUGGACGGGUUUUGCUUGACUGGUAGAGUUAAUCAUGCGAAGGAACUAUUUGUUUCUAUGGAGAGUAUGGGUUGCAAACAUACUGUUUUUAGUUACAGUAUUUUGAUAAAUGGUUACUGCAAGAAUAAGGAAAUAGAGGGAGCGUUAACCCUUUAUAGCGAAAUGCUCUCUAAAGGAAUUAAGCCAGAUGUUGUUAUAUAUAACACCUUGUUUACUGGCCUUUUUGAAAUACACCAGGUUGAGCGUGCUUUCAAGCUGUUAGAUGAGAUGCAACGUGAUGGCGUGGCAGCUGAUACCUGGACAUAUAGAACCUUUAUUGAUGGGCUCUGCAAGAAUGGUUAUAUUGUAGAGGCAGUUGAACUAUUUCGUACUUUGAGAAUUCUCAAGUGUGAACUUGAUAUUCGAGCCUACAACUGCCUCAUUGAUGGAUUAUGUAAAUCCGGCAGACUCGAAAUUGCACGGGAACUAUUUCGUAGUUUGCCUUGUGGAGUCCUAAUAGCAGAUGUUGUAACAUAUAACAUCAUGAUCCAUGCGCUUUGUACUGAUGGGAAAAUGGACAAGGCACAUGAUUUGUUUCUUGAUAUGGAAGCAAAAGGUGUAGCACCCAAUUGUGUCACAUUUAACACGCUUAUGCUAGGUUGCAUCCGCAAUAAUGAGACAUCAAAAGUUGUUGAACUCCUUCACAGAAUGGAUGAGAGAAAUGUAAUACCAGAUGGAUCUACACUUUCAAUUGUUGUGGACUUACUUGUAAAGAAUGAAAUUAGCUUAAACUCGAUUCCACAAUUCAAGAGUCAAAGUUAAAGUGAGUUUAUAUUGAUUUAGUCUCAUGUUUCUUCUGCCUGAAAACCCGAUCUGGAGGAUCCCAUUCUUAUUACAACAUGUAAAGGAGUGUUGUCUAAUGUUGGCAUGUUCCUAGGUUCUGUCCAUGGAUUCUGUUUGCAGACAUGGCUAACUUCUUGUCCAACAGAUAAGUUUUAAAGUCUUUCAACUUUAUGUUGUAAAAUAACAUUUUUAUUAUUCAAUUCAUGAGUUUUCCUUCUGUAACACAUCCUUCUCAUUAGCUGGAAGUGCAAAUUUUUUAGGCUUUUCCUUAUGGCCUCUUUUUCUUCUCUAAAUAAAAUGGCAUUUUGUUUCCCUCCUGUGAGGUACAACGUUUAUGUUCAAACUUUCUGUUAGUUAAGUUGGUUGUCUUUGAUAUAGGGAACUUCCAGUUGAACUGAUUUGUAAUUCGAGUAUAUGAGAUUACCAACUGUAUUGGGAAUUGAUGCCAAAUUAAUUAUGUCAUCAGGUUUUUCAAUCAGCGUUCAUCAUUUAUUUCUAUUAACAGUUAAUAGCACAGCUUGUCUUCUCAGCUUCAUUGAUUCCUCUAAAAAAUAAUCUUGUAAAGACAAUUUUUUUUUUUUUUUUUGGCGUGGUAAAUGCUAGAUAGUUUGUGGUCUGAAUGAUACUAAUAAUUGCCCAAAUUGCCAUGUAACAAGGAGUGUUGCAUAGUGAUGUCAUGCUCACAGGUACCACUCAUCAACAUGGCCAACGCUUUCGAUGCAGUCAUUAUUAUGGAAAUUCAAGAGUUCUCCUCCUAAGAGGUCUCUCUCUCGUUCUCUUAAUUUCCUUAUUCUGUUUUGGAAGUAAUGUAAUGGGAAAAUAGCAUUUAAUUUCCUUGUGUGUGACAUUUUCUUCUAUAAAUGCUAUAAAAUAUCUUUUUUUUUCAUCAUUGAUAUGUAUUACACAAUCAGAAGACUACUCGUAUUUAUAUGAAACAUCUACUUUAUGGCACAGUUCAGAUUUUUAUCCUUAUAAAUAUUGGAGGGAUAUCUUUAUGUUUCUUCUGUGAUAACGUUUCUGCGUGCUGCAACCUUUUUAUUAGAUUGAUAGAAUGUGAAUACAAGGAAAUUCUGUUUGAUAAUCUCGGCAAACCAGGAUUAAUAUGAAAUGGAGCGUCAUCAACAAAUACUUAGCAUAUUGCUGACUAUGAUUUGUUCUCCUCCCCUCAUUCUUUUUGUGAGUAGAAUUGGAUUGUGAAACUUGUUAUGUCAGCACAAGUGUUCUUACAAGUUGACGUAAAAUACACUGACUUGAAAUAAUGGCAUGGUAAUUGGUAUAGAUAAGCUAGCAUGAGUAUAUUUUGUCACCAAUUUCGCCAACCGCGUCUGGGUGUGGAAAUUAUAUUGCAUUUCUAAUGUCAUUUGAAAGAAAAACUUGCAAAAUUUGUAAUUUGUUAAAUCUGAACCGUGGUUCACAUCUACUCUUCCCGAACUUGAGUCAUAUGAUUCAAUUUUUUAGUGGGCAUGGCGAGAUAGAUUUCUACCAAGCCCAACCCAUUUAUCUACCCUUUUGUAAUUUUCUAUCAUGCAUAUAUUUAUAUUUUUGUAUAGUUAAUAUCUAAUUAUUUAUGUAUUUUUAUCGAAUAACUACUAAUUAUAUUUUUCUAAAAAAUCGGCAUGAAAAGUUCAACUUAAUAUUGAAUUAAAUUUUGAUAAGUAUAUGUCAAAUGUUUGGAAUUCUUUUUCUAGUCUUCAUGAUUGAUUAAUUGGAAAAUAAAUGUGUAUGUAUUAAAAUGGUAUUGGAUAAACAUGCCCCUAUCACCCAAGUUUUCCUUUGGAUAAUUUCCUAACUUGCAAGUUGAUAUCGAUGUUUAAAAAGAACCAAAAAAAAAAAAAAAAAAAUACAUUGAAAUCUUUAUAAAUUACUUCUUGACCUAAUAGUUGACACUUUCUCACCUUAUUCUUGAGGUUGAAGGUUUGAAUUUUCUUAUGUGGAUUUUAGGUGAACUACAGAAAAACAGCUUAUAUGAGACAUUUUCAAAAUAAGUAUGAAUGUGGUACUUAUUCAUCAGAUGGACAUAUUAAUGACGUGAUAAAUUCGUGUUAUGUAAAUUUUCCAGACUGUAUAUUUAUAUUAUAAUAUUAAAUAAAUAAAUAAGAAGAAAGAAAGGAAAAUGCAGCUUCCAAAUUUUUUCAUAGAUUGGCUAUAUGCACAAACAGCAAAUCAAAACAAAAAGAAAGGAUGUGACAUGACCUUACUUCCUGUUAUCCCAGUUAUGGAAUUCAAGUCAAUCUUUGAAGUAAUGCACUUUUAUUACUCUAUGACAGAGACAGGUCCAAGUCUUUCUUCCAAAUUCAUAAUCUUCAACAUUUCUCCAACCAAUCAAGCAAGGCUAGAGAUAGGUAACAUACAUUUUGAUGUACAUUUGGCUUUUGUAUCAUCUACUUCACUAGUGAUCCAUUAAAUGGAUCCACCAUUAACGUAAAUGCUAGUUUAACUAUUGACAGUGGAGCAAGUAUGUAUGUGGUCCCUACGCACAAGCAUACACGCCCAUUAAAGCAUUUACUCUCCUCAUCAUUGGAUAUGAAUUUUGUGAACUAUAUAUCUUUUUGGGGGUUUCAUUUAUCUUUCCGGUCUCUUAUGAUCAUUCACGGCUCCUGCUGCUGCUUCUUAUUGGCUCUUUGACAUCCUCUGUCUUGUUCUUGCUGUGUGUGUCAGCCACUAGCAACUGCUUCAAGCAAUGUGAGUUUGUUGCGUGAGCUUCCGUUUUGGUUAUUUUCAAUUAUUAUUUUUGUUGAUGGGUUUGUGAUUUUGUGCUGUAUUAUUACAGGAUUACACUGUUUAUAUGGAAGAGAGAAGAUAUGAUGAGCCUUAGCUGGUUCAGGAUUCGGACCAUCAGAUUCUUUCGGAUAUUCUUGGAAGGUUUAUAUUUCAAUCUCUUUAGCCGAAUUUACCUAUUAUAUUUUUAUCAUAUAAACGCUAUGCAAAAUGUUUAUGUUAAUGUAUGGCGAAAAUUGAAAAAUGGAAAAUAAAAAUAUUUGUGCUGCUUUCACUAUUUAUCUAUGUUAAUCUGUUUGAUAAAAUGAAGUGGAUGUCAUUAUUUCCAUGCAUCAGUAAUUACAAUCCAUAUUAUGCUCUUGCUAGUCUGUGCUCCAUUUGAACAUCGCAACGAACUUAUUUACUUACAUAUAUUUUGUGCUUUCUGGUUGGAAAUUGGAAGUUUUAACCAAUUUCUGAUCAGAAACAGCCCUUUUGAGUGCUAUGGCAGAAACCGCAGACGCGGCCUAACCUUCAUUUUUAAUUUGUAUCAAUUGGUAGUUUUUUAUAACUCUCUCUUUUCCCCUCUAUCAAUAAUGAAUGGUAUUCGCUAGAGAAACCGUAAGGGGACUAAUCAUUGUGAAAAGCACUAGGUGAUAACUAGCAGUUUCAAUUUGACAGCAAAGAAGCUGCUAAGGAAUCAAUUCUCUGUACAGCCACAAGCAUGGUUUUUCUGGAUUUGCCGCAGUCUUAACAGUCUCAAGCCAAGUUAACUGCAGGUGUUAUAAUGUUGGUGAAUGAAAUCUGUUUUAGCUGUCCAAAUUUGUUUUAUUAACCAAUAUUUUCUGUUGAUACGUUUUGUAUGAUGCAUUUGUGCAGAUCACCCUGCCGUGGUCUGUAUUGUACCAAAUAGGACACUCAGUUUGCACACAACCAAAAUGUUGUGAAUGAAAUUCCUUCAAAAGGCCAUUCAGGCGCUGGAAGUUAUUUUCAGAUUCAUGGAAAUAACUAUAAUACUGGUGGCAUUUAGUUUCCAAGUGAUCUUGGUAGUUCAAUAAGUUCUAGUUCUACACUUGUUUCCAAAGGUUUUGGUUACAUGAUGGUCUGCCCGUUGAAUUACAAACUUGUGAUGAUUUGUACAAGAGGAAAAAAUGUAUUGGUUGGAAUUUUUGUUUCAUAUGAUAUAACUCUGUGAAACAGCUUUACAUUUUGUGUUCAAGUUGAACAACAUACAAUUUGAACGAAGAUUAUUCAAUCAAAUUGAAGAUUUCUGUUUGAAUAUUUUGAAUGACAAAAUUAAAUUUACUUUCAUGCAGAUGCAGUAGCAUUUAAUCAAGUUCCUUGUGCUGUUGAAACAAAAAUAUAACAUCCUUGCUUGCAUUUCAACAUGAUAUGAUGCUACUCUUUUACUGUUAACCAACACACAUACAUCAUGUAGGCCUAAUGGCAAAUGUUGUAAUAUAUAACAUCAUGAUCCAUGGGCUUUGUAAUGAUGGGCAAAUGGACAAGGCAUCAUGAUCCCCCCCCCCCUCCUUUUUUGCUAUGGAUUGUAUUUCUUUUUUUUUCUACUUUUACUUGCGUUGACAAUUUGAGCUUGCUGUCUUGUGGUCUUAGAACCUGCUAAAGUAAGCGUGUAAGCGACAGUGAAGAAGGGGAAGGGUUUACUCGUCAUUUUCUUUUUGAAAGCAAUGCGUUUUAUGCGGUGAUAUUUUUUUUAUCUACGUUGUGAAAAAAUUUGACUGAUUUUGAAGAUCCUUAAAGAUCGUCCAUCUUGGUUCUGGCAUUGUUGCAGCCUUGAAGUUUGCAAAAUGAUUCCUGCUGGAUAAAUUGAACAGCUGCCUCUUUGAUGGAUUAUGUAAAUCUGGCAGACUUGAGUUUGCAUGUGAAUUGUUUCGUAGUUUGCCUCGUCGAGUCCUCGUGGCAGAUGCUGUAACAUAUAACAUCAUGAUCCAUGGGCAUUGUGACGACGGCCGAAUGGAUAAGGCACAUGAUUUAUUUCUUGAAAUGGAAGAAAAUGCUGUGGCACCCAAUGUGAUCACAUUUGGUACGUUUAUCCAUGGUUUUAGCCAAAUCAAUGAGCCAUCAAAAGUUAUUGACCUUCUUCACAAGAUGAGGGAGAAAAAAGUAAUGCCAGAUGCAUCUAUAGUUUCAAUCGUUGUGGACUUACUUGUAAAGAAUGAAAUUAGUCUGAACUCACUUCCGUCAUUUCCUGUCCAAGAGCGACAGGGGGAAGUUGAUGAGUGAAAUGUCAAGUUGUAGCAGCAUGUGCUUUCAGCCCAAAAUCCUGAUCCGCAGCAUCUCAUUCAUGUUACAAAAUGACAUGUUGGCUGGUGACAGCAUGUUCUCUCCGGUGCUGUUAAUGGAUUCUGAUUGUUCUUGUGAUCUGGAGAGUUUCAUUCAUAUUACAGAUCCUUAUCAGGACGAGCUAGCAUAUGUGAUCACCAACUGUACAUGGUUGUUGAUGCCAAAUUAAAUUAUGGUAUCAUGUUUUUCAACUUGUUAUUUAAUAUAGUGCUUCCAUUGAACGGCCACAAGAAACUGUAGAAUCACCGUGUCUUGUUUAGAAGCUAAUGAAUUAGUUGCACCUUGUCACUUUAUUGAGACUUGAUUGUCAUUUGUGCUUUGAAUUUACAGCAUAUUUUAUCCUUGCUGUACUCUUUGCAUAAUCACUUUUGAGGGCUGCUAGUAUGUAUAAUUGAAAAACCUUAUAUAAAUUGUAAGCAUUUUUAUUUAACUUGUUGUAAACGUCCAGUAUAUGUCUCUCCUGUGAAAUGAUUCAUUCUCCAUGCUGCUAGGGCCUAGGCUUAUGACUCUCUGAAAUGAUUUACCCUCACCUGCGCACAGACAUUUAUCACAUUCGAGAAAUCUUCAAACAAUGUGAAAAAAAUGCCUCAAACACGACAUAAACUUAGUUGUUUACAUGAAAAGUGGCAGAAACUUGGUGAAAUUACCGAUUAAACUUCCAAAUAACAUUUCAAAUGGUAUUGUGAAAAAUUUCACUCUUUUGGUAAUAAAAAAGAACCUUAUUUCUAGUUCUCUAUUAACAAUCUUACCACUAAGUUCUCUCUUAAGUAAACACAUAUAUAUGUUAAUUUAUUGUUAAUAUAAACAAAACUAAAUAUUUAUAACUUAAAAGAUAAGUGUUGAAUAGAGGCGUUCUCACAGGGAAAAAAAAAAAGUAUUUAAAAAUAGUGGUGAUAUCAUAAUUUUUUAUAUUGAUACGAGAAUAUCACACUAAAUUUUUAUACCAUGUAUUGGCAAGACAAAGUUUCUUGAAACUGACAAACUUUUCUCUAUGAAGAUUGAAGACAAUAUGAUAAGAUAAAAUUUAUCAAAAGCAUAUAUGCUUGCCAGGGCUGGACCUUUGAUUUUUAGUCCUCGCCUUUCGUUCUUGUUUCAUAUUCUUCUGCUAACAAAUCUUGAUCAGGAUGAGUCUCCUUUUUUCUUUAAAAAAAACCCACACGUAAAGUCUUGGCCAUAAGCCUCAAGACCUAUUGGCUGUUGCAGUGGUGAGUUCACUCUCAGGAAUCAAAUCUUUCAAAUUCAAGCGAAUUUGAAGAAGCUCGAAUUUGAAGAAAUUUCAAAUGCCUCGUGCAGGCCUAAUGCCAAAUGUUGUAACAUAUAACAUCACGAUUCAUGGGCUUUGUAACGAUGGGCAAAUGGAUGAGGUACAUGAUAUAUUCACGCUUCUGUCUAUAACACAUUAAUGGAUGGGUUUUGCUCGACGGGUAGAGUUAACCAUGCGGAGGAACUAUUUGGUUCUGCCAUUGUUGCAGCCUUGAAGUUUGCUAAACGUUUCCUGCUGGAUAGAUUGAAAAAGUUUGUCUGGAUGGCCUGGUUUUGAAUUGAUUUUAAUAGAAAACGAGCUUCAAGCAUGUGCUCCAACUACUCUGGCAUGAGGUAAUACUAUAAUUUAUUUAUUUUUAAUGAGUGAGGCUAUAAAUCCUGAAUUCCAACUUGACAUGGCAUUAAUCUGGUGAGUGGCAGAAUAUUAAUUAAAACAAAAUCAUUUUCAACUUAACUUUCACAUCAAACAGAGGGGCUAAUAUGCUUUCCGGAUUAUGAUCCGCUGGCAAUCGGAAAGCCAAAAAAUUAAUUAUUCCAUUAUUAAUUCCAAUAGUAUCGCUGUAUCAGCUAAAAAGCACAAGAUUAAAUUGAUUUACGCACUUGCACCAUUUAUUUAAGCAUACUGUUGGUUUAGCGUUUGCUUAAAUUUGAAAGUAGAGUGUUUCCAUGCCACAGUGCCAUGACAUUGGUGAUUGGCCAACAGUUUUUUUUUUUUUUUUUUUUGUGUAAUCUUUUUUGGUUGCAGUAAUAAAAUGUUAAUCCUUUCUUCUCAUGAAUGUUUUCUUGAACUGAAAUGUUAAUCAUUUCUUCAUGUUGAGGCAUUAAACUACUACAGACCUAGGGUGGCAAUAUAUGGAAGUAAAUGGUCGUUUAGUAGGACCCUUUAAUUAGGGUAUUAGCUGCUCAAUUUGGAGAUCUCAUGGACCAACAAUUUAUCUGGAAUGUCACAUUCACAUAUUUGAUUGAAAAAGGAAUUAAGGAAUUUCAGGUGGCCCGGAAACGCAACCAACUAUACCCGACAAUGGCAGAAGACAUUAUAGAUUAUCGAUUAUUGAGUUAAAUAUGAAUGGUGGGAUUUCAGGUGGCCUAAAAAGUUAAACAUGAAUGUUCUACAUAAGGUUAUCUGUAACUUGAAGUUCAACAAAAAGUUUUAAAACUAGAUAUUACAAUGGUGGGAUUUUGCCUUUUAUCUCUUGUUUCUCUUCCCUUAAUCGUUUCUUGGCAUGUUUUAUCAGCUCUUCCUUUGGGUCAUUUUGUAGGACGGGUUACACCAGCUAAGCACAUGGAAAGGUUAUGUAGACUGGACUCUGGAGGAAUAAACCUGCCCUGAGAGGCCGUCAUGGUGGCAUGCUUUGCUGCUUGUUUUGUCUUGGGUCGGUCUAUUUUUCCUAUUACUAAGGCACAUUUGCACCGUUAUGUCUUGCGAACGAUUAAACAUUUACACUUUAUAGUAAAAAAAAUUACAUAUUAAGAGAAAUAUUAUAUUUGCAUGCUGAUAUGAAUUAGCACUAGAAACAUGAGGCUUGCUAAUUAGAAUUGUUAUAUUGUCAAACUCAGCUGUGGAGGUACUGGAGAAUCCAGUAUAUCUGGCCAAUGCAAGCAACCUUGUGCUGUAUCUUUCAAAGUUUAUGCGUUUUUCACCAUCCAGCUCUGCAAACAUAGUUACCAAUUUCAUGGGUUCCUCUUUGCUCUACUUGGUGGCUUUUUUACGGUUGCUUUCUUCAACACCGACAGCAGCUAUGUCAUAAGUGAGCAAUAGAAUUCAUGGUAAGUUUUUUGUUAGGAUCAAACUUUUUAACUUGUUAAAUUUUUGUAAUUUCUUACUAAUAAGGCAGAGUUGCCUAUUUUUAUCCGAUUAUCAUGCCUCAUACAAUUUUCUUGGGAUUUGCUUCGAUGCCUCUGUGACUCACCAUGAAACUCAAAAACUUUCUAAAACUAGCUCCAAAUACACAUUUCUUUGGAUUAAACUUCAUUUGGUACUCCCUCAGCAAACCAAAUGUUUCUUUCAAAUGCUGCACGUGGUCACUCGAGUUGUGAGACUUUGUGAUAAUGCCAUCCUUAUAUGCCUCCAUUAUGUUCCCAAUCAGCAGCUUGAAGAUCUUAUUCACGAAUCUCUAGUAUGUUGCUCAAACAUUUUUCAAGCCAAAGGACACGACAUUAUAACAAUACAGCCCUUGGUUAGUAACAAAAGAAGUAUGCUCCUCAUCCUGCUCGAACAUCGGUACAUGGUUGUAAUCCAAAAAGGCAUCUACAAAGCUGAGAAGUCCAUGUCUAGUUGUGGAAUCGACCAACUGAGCUAUUUUAGGCAAUGGAAAAAUAUCUUUGAGGCAUACCUUAUUGAGGUUCAUGAAAUCCAUGCACAUUCUCCACCUCCUGUUCACUUUCUUCACCUACAUCACGUUCGAAAGCCGCUACGAGUUGUUUACCUCCUUGAUGAAACCUGCAUGUAAAAUUUUAUCCACUUCACUACUAAUGCCGUCAUACCUAUCCUAGUUAAAGCAUCUUCUGUUUUGUUUCAUCGGUCUCGCAUCUCUGCUCACUGCUAACUUGUGACAAGCCGCCUUGGCAUCGACCCCUGGCAUAUCUUUGUCCUGCAAGCCAAACACAUUAAAAUGUGGUUGCAACAACUCCACCAGCUUUGCUUCCAAAUCUUCCCCAUGGGUGGCUUUAAGUAUAGGCGAACAAGGCCGUCGCCUAAGCUCUCAUAUUUUAAGAAGACCUCAUUUUUUAAGUAUUUCCUUAAUAAUUCUCUAAUUAAUAAAAUAUUUUAAUAUAUAUUUUAAGAAAUUAAAAAGUUUAUUAGAUAUCUCUCUAUUCUUAAUUAUUCUAUAAUUAAGAAUUAUUUUUUAUAAAAAAAUCUAUAUUUGGGAACCUUAAUUUUAAAGAAAUAAUUAAUACUAUUCUUUAACCAUUAGUUCAUUCCUUUUCAAUUAUUCAAUGUUAGCAUAUUUGACUUUUAAUAUUUCUUUUAAUUUCUAUUAAAAACCUCAUAAUCUCAAGAAUUAGUAAAUGAAAAAAAUUUAUUGUUCGCUUCUCUACAAAUAAAAUUUUUAUAUUCGUUGGUUCAUUUAAAAUAAUUAGUUUCUUAAAAUAUAAAGUCCAUUUUUAUUUUUGAACAUCAAUUCAUCAUUUUAAAAUUUUUAUAUUCUAUCUUUCUAAAUAUUCUAUUUGAAAAUAAAAUUGUUUUUAUUUAUUUGUUUGUUUAUUUUUUAACGGUUUUAAUGGAAUAAAAAAAUUAUCUUCUUGACUAUUUUUUAGGUUUUAUUUUUUAAAUUUUUGAUUUUUUUAUUAUUGUUGAAAUUCAAGAAUUAAAGAUGGAAUAAAUUUUGAUCCUUUGUAUAUAUCUUUGAGUAUUAAAAUUACAAAACAAUAGAGGUCUCAUAAACAAAUUUCGCCUAAGGCCUCUCAAACUCUAAAGCUGGUCCUGAUCUUCCCCCUAGGGGUAGCCAUAAAUUUUGGGUUCGAUUUAGUUUAACCUUUAAAAUCCGAACAUGUUUAAACUUAGAACCUAUUCGUUUUUAAUUGUUUUGUCAAACUUUUAGGAGAUUAAAGGGGUGUGAAAGGACAUAAGAAGUCUUGUUAUGGCUUGGCCCUUUAUAAUAGAUAUUGGUGCACAUGCUCUUUUCUUCUAUAUUUUUAGAGAAAGAAAAUUAGUAUAUGAUCUGUUUGAAGUCGCCUGGAAUUUCAAAAAUCCUAUGCUUCAAUAUAUUAUUAAUCAAAUCCCCUUAUAUCUUGAUAAAAUCUUUUUUACUCUUUCAUUCGCAAGGAGCUGGAUGAUGGCUGGAAAUAAGGAAAUUCCUUUUUUUUUGUUUCACCCCAAUUGUUCUUGUAUUUGUAUAUUGCCAUAUAUCAUAAAAUACAAAUUUAUGUAUGUCAAAAUGAAAUCGAUCUUAAAAAAAGAAAAAAAAGAUCUCGCGUUACUGCCGCUUACACACCCCCAUGCCACAGCUGCUAUUAAUUCCGUUUGGCGCACCAGCAUUACAGCUUCUAGCUGUUCUUUCUUCCUUGAGUUGAUUUGGUUCCUCGUUCUAGGCUUCAAGUUAAUGUCGUCUUCAGCCAUUCUAGAGUCGUUUACUUUUGAUCUAGCUGUUGCUGUCUCUACCUCCUUCUUCAUUAAUUGCCAUCAGCCGCAUAAAGGAAGGAUGUGAGUUUAUGUUUACGAUUCCUAAUGGUGAUGAAUAAGACAUGGUGUAAGAGAUGUUGUUAACUGAAUUUAGUAUGCUUUCUAGGAUCAUAUGCAAUACAUAUGUAUUUCUUGUAUAAUUGUUGUUUGUAUAUUGUAUUUCAAUCGGGCAUGGCUAUCUUUGUCUUACUCUUGUACAUUUCUAUUACUUUAGAUAACUAUUAAGGUGUAGAUGGCUUUCACGGAUAAAUAAUAAGCAAUUUUAGGAGCUUUUCGUGUAAAAAUAUAGAACCUAUAUUGUUGAAAUGUCGAGUAUACUUAGUAGUUGAUAUUUGUUUAUAUUUUUACAUUAAUCUGGGAUGGGAUUUGAACUUUAUAACCGAAAUUGAAUCUAAACCAAAAUUAAGAUAAGAAUAUUCAAACUAAAUCGAUCCAAAAUGCAAACCUAAACCAAAUUGAGCUAAAUUAAAUUUGAUUUAGUUUGGUUUGGGUUUACUCUCUAAACCUGAUUGGAUUGACUUCUCCAACCCAAUUAAGUUUUAGCCCAAAUUGAAACCUAAACAACCUGAAUCAAAACCCGAUUUGCCCACCCUUAUGAUACGAACCCAUCCAAAAACUAACGCAACCCUAAUCAAUUUAAUCUCUAAGAUUAAAUAGAAGCACUACCCAAUGUUCAAUGAAAGCAUGAACCUUAGUAUGUGAGGAUGCUACAAUCAAUUAUGGAUGAUUUGAUUAUAAGUUAAGAGUUUGAAUGACACAGAAAUUUGAUAAAUUCAAAUAGUUUGUUUAAGAAUAAAAAAGAAUUAACUCUCUCACUAAUUGCAUCAAAAUUUAUUUGUCUUUGUUUAUUAGAUGCGAGUACAUUAUAUAGGAUUGGUUACAAAAAUUUUUAGAAAUAAAUCCUAAACCGAAAUCAAAUCAGAAUCCUAAUCUAAUGCAAAUAAGAAAAGAAUUUUAGUCAAAUCAUAAUCCUAAUCAAAGCAAGUAGGAAAGAAUCUAAAUCGAGUCAAAAUUAUAAUCUAAGUAAAUAGGAAAGAAUCUAAAUAAAAUCAUAAUCCUAAUCGGUUUAAAUAAAUUACAUCAAUUAAAAUAAAAACUCAACAAUUAAAAGAGAAAUAACUUCUUGUUUCUCCACCAGCAUCAUCCAGAAACGGGAAAGUAUUCAAAAAGAAAAGUAGCAUAUUUUUCAAAUGGAAAAGUAUAUGAAAAAGAAAAAUAAGAUAUUUUCUCGCCGUAAUGUGCAAGCCAACUUCCUAUUUUAUGGAAGUGAUUAUUUGGAAACUUUAAGAGCCGUAAUCAUGUAUUUAUCACGUGCAAUUCCUUCAAUAGGCCUCUAUAAAUUUGAUCGAGCCUCAAUUACUUGAAUAAACCCAUUAAACGCUUCUUUAAAUUUGUUUGUUCGAGCUCUAGUGACAGGUCCAACGAUAACUUGAAUAGGAUUUGAAUAUAUCUCAUCCCACGUGCUUGUGAUAGUUUUGUCCUCAAUCUAAUCAUUUUACUUCCCUAAUCUCGACCCAAUCUUUAAAAUUUUUUCAUGCUAGCUUGACUUUACUAUGACUGCCUUGAGAUUUUCAACUGGUUUUUAUCUCUCUUUCUUGAAAUCUCUUCAAGUGUCAAGUUAUCUACGUGGCUUCUUUAGUCGCGGACACAUAAUCGCACCUAACAAUUCUCUAGUCACCCUUUACAACUUUUGCCACACUAUUUACUCAUUCUUUGAGUGCCAUGUAAUGGUUAGACAUCAUGGACUUGCUAAUCCUCAUAAAGGGUCUUCCAAAAAUUAUUUGAUAUGGGCUGUCUUCCUCGACUAUUAUAAAAAAAACUGGCAUGAUGGUCUUUUCAAAUGGUCCAGAGCCGAUCGUUACUAGCAGCUCUAGGCAUUAAUUUUCCUCUUCUAUAUCCUUUCAAAGAACUGUUGGUGUGCUUGUUGGGUAAAAAUUCAAAUACUAUGGGUGUCAAUGUGUAAGUAUACACAACAAGUAAUAUAAUGAUAAAUAUACAAGAUCAUCUCCACAGGGGUUGAUGUUACGAAAAUUACUACAGCAAGCUUAACAAUUUUGGUUGAAGUGAAAGUAGAUUGAUCAAUUAAACAAAUAAACUACCUAAUAAAAUGCAAUAAGUAAAUAUGCAGAAAAGCAAACUCUCAGGUCAAACACAAAAAUAAAAUCAAUAGGAAUGAAGUAGUUGAGUGACUAAACUCUUUUAAUGGAAUUGACUAUUUCUUGCAAAUUUCGAUUCAGUUGCUGCAGCAUCUGCUACAGUACUAGGCAUAAUCCUCAUGCAUCAUCAGCUGUCGCAUGUUGGAUGUCUUAUAUCUAUAUGCAACCUAACAAUGACCAAUUGUUAUGCCAACAUAAUAUAUAUCAUUACACAUUUAGGUUCUAUUUACCCUAUAAGGUGAAUCCCUAUAUCUAGUUCAUCACUAAUUUUAGAUUAAGUAUGACCUUUUUUGGAAUCAAGUUGAACUCAAUCUAGGAACCCAAUCUAAAACUAAAUAUUAUUCUAAUAUGUUCCACUAAGAUAAGCCAUUUUGUGGCUCUUUCCUAGCUUGUACCAUUAAAUGGGUAGUCAGCUAAAAUAAUGACUUUAAAUAAAUACUAUCACAACAAAAUGUUAUAGCAAACAUGCAGCCAGGGACGUAGCCAGGAUUUUGAUCGAGUUGGGGCACAUUUAAAAUAAAAAAUGACUUGAAUGCGCGAUUGCUCGUGUGGUAAGUGUGGGCCCCACAAACUCCAAAUGGGAGCUUGCCACAUGUACAAUCGUGCUCCUUAUAGAGUGUUUCUGACUGCAUCUAAUUAAAAUGCUAUUAAAAUAUAAUACACUUCUAAAAAUUUAGAUGGAAAUAUAUAACAUUAUGUUGAGUGUUAGAAAAUGGAUAUUUAUAAAGGAGAAAAUCGUCAUUUUACAUUUCAAGUCUUACUAACAACCCUUACUUUUAUGUAUUUAAGCUUCUUGUAAUUUAAUUAUGUGUGUUUGAUUUUAAUUAAGUAUUUUAUGUAUUUUAGGGGCAUCAUAGUCAAUUCACAAUAAAUGAGAGAUCAAACGAUAAAACGGACAUCACUUUUGAACUCAGGACGGUCGAAAACCUUAAGAGAAGCAUAAAAGGAAAAAUGGCACUGUUCACAUGUACGGUACUAUUCAUAUGUACGGUACUGUCUACGUUACUGUUCACGACACUGUUCAUAUAGACGGAUCGAUGACGUGGCAUUGACCGAUGAUGUGGCAUUCACUGAUGAGGUGUCAUGAUCCUGUUGGACUAAAAUUCUUAUGUACUGUUGAUGGUGACGUGGCAGCAUAUUAGUGGACUAAAAAACGUGUGUACGGUACAUGCAACACAUGGGAAUAUUUUCAACCAAACCGCAUUACUGUUCAAACCGUGUCACUGUUCAAACCGCGUGGUCAAACCGUGUUACUGUUCAAACUGCGUACUGUUCACUGAUGACGUGGCACAAUCCUGAGCAUCCAAACUGUUUUCAAUCCGAUGGCCAUGAUUUACUCAAUGUAUCUAUAAAAAUGGGACUUCUCCCCCCGAACGCAUGCGAUUGCUCAUGAGGAAUAACAUACCUGCUGAUAUCUUUUGGUUAAUCGAGGUGAAAGUACGAUUGGCAGGUGAGUUACCUCCAAAAUUUAUUGCAUACAUGCCUGGUUGUGGUAAAGAAAAUUAUGCAAGAAAACGAUGAGCUCGAAGAAUUUCUGUUGCUUGUCAUAAGUAUGCCAGAAUGAGUUGCGAUAAAAAUCCAUAUUCUUUAGGAAUGGCGUCUGAUAACAGGGAAUAUAAGAUUCAAUUCAUUAGGGAUGACUUGAAUAAGGAGUCAUUGGAUGAUAUCCUUUUAUCUCUUGAAACGCAUCCCAUUAGAUAUGUGCAAGGAACGAUUAUUCAGUUAUGACCAUUAUUCCAGAAAGAGCAUGCACGAUAUAGUCUCGGGAAUCUGACUAUAAACGACCAUGUUUGCCAGUUUAUAAAAAAAUUGGAUGGGAAGCCUAUCCUAGACCCAUAAAGGGCGUUCAAGCCGUUUCUGGACGUAAAACCAGAGGAAGAUGUGAGCCACAGUCGCAACUACCUGUAAAUAUCCUUUUACUUUACUGUUAUUUUAUUUUACUGUUGUUUUAUUGUUUGUAUUAUUGUCUUUAAUAAUUUUAUUGUUGUUUGCUUUUUCCUUUUUACUGUUUCCUUUUUUACUCGCGAACCAUGUGCUUUACGCGUUAUUUGACACUGACAUACUACCUCAUACACAGCUGUGACCCACUGUCCCCAAGAUUCUUAAAUAUGAAUUUUUGUCAAGCACUCACAAAUUAUUUUUGAGAAGUAUCCCAAUGACAGCUACUCCACAUAGACAAUUUAAGAACAUUUGUGUGCUUUCUGGAUUUAACUAUGGCAAACCUAAAGAGUUCGUUGAGGCAGCCAUAGAUCUUGGUCGAAGCAUAGCAGAGAGAAAAUUACACUUGGUGUAUAGAGGAGGUAACUGAGGGUUAUUAAAAUUGGUCUCAAAAGCUGCUUUUGUCAGAGGAAGCCAAGUGCUAGGCAUCAUCCCAAGCGUCCUAAAACCUUUGGGCAGUUUGUCUGACUCAUCGACUGGAGAAGAGUUAGUCGACUCAGGUAUGCAAGCAAGAAUAACUGAAAUGCUUAAUCAUGCUGAUGUUUUUAUUUUCCUUCCAGGAGAUCUUACAACACUAGAGGCACUUAUCACACUAGCAUCUUGGGCCCAUCUGCACAUUCACCAGAAACCCAUCGGUUUGCUAAAUGUCAAUAACUUUUAUGAUGGCUUUAUCGCAUUUCUUAACCAUGCAAUAAAAAAAUAUUUCAUUCCUUCAAAUGCGAAAAAACUUUUUAUUUGUGCUCACACUGCUACUUGAUCUGUUACAAGCUCAUAGACCGGAGCCAAACCCCUGGACCUUUGUGUUGGAGCGUCCAAAUAAUGAUGGUAACAGUAGCAGCAGUAAGAAGUACAAAUUAGAUUUAACUCUCCGCUUGUAAAUAUUUUCUUUUGUGUUGCACCACUCAGGUGAUGCCUUCUACACUCUACUUCUUUCCUUUAAAACAUUGAGGACAAUGUUUCAUUCUGGUUGGGGAGAGGGAAUAGUCGACAAUUGUGGAAUCUUGGUUAAGUUUUUACUGAUUUUUUGUUGUAGAAACUAACUGUUGCUAACUUUUUAUGUUGAAGAUGGCUGAAUAUGGAGUGUAGUGACUCUAGAAACGCAUCUUCAUUGUUUGAAAAAAAUUAAAAAAAAAAAUCAGACAUUUUCUUUUUCUUUAUUAAGUUUUGAUGUUCAUUUUUCUUCUUCUUUUUAAUUUCUCCUCUAUAAAUAUACAUUUUCAAAUUGUUGAGUCGAAGAUGGCUGAAUAUGGAGUGUAGUGCCUCUAGAAACGCAUCUUCUUAGUAAAAAAAAAAAUUUCUUUUUCUAUCAUAUUAAGUGUAACUUUUCUAAUUAGUUUUUAUACAUCCUUUUCACAUUUCUGCAUGCAUAUUUUCCUUUCAUGUUUAGGAUAGGUUGGGGGGUAUAACGUUGUUUAAAAAAAAACAAAAACAAAAAAAAAAAUUUGUGUGAUUUGUUUUAAUAUUGGAUGACAUGAUUAAUUUCAUAUUUUAGUAUUUGUAUUAUCUUUGGUCUUAAGUGAUGUUACACUAUGUUUGCUACUCUACAUGUUGAUGUCGGAGAUAAAUAUGAGUUGCUUGAAGGAAUGAACAUGUCAUAAUAAGUACCAAGUGAGUUUUUGAGCCUAUCAUUUUUCUUGGAGAGUAACCCUUUCCCACAUUUUUUAUACAGCUUAACAGUUUAUUAUUUUAUACACGAUCUCUAGAUUUCUUUUGAGUUAACCCUUAAAACAAAAUUUGUAAAAAAAAGAAGAAAAAAAUGUGUGUUGCUACAUUUGGAGGUCCAUCUAACUAGUAGAUAUGGAAGAUUAUUUAGAGCCCUAAAAGACGGUGGAAAGGUCAUCUUUGAUCCGUUUGAGUCUUUCUACCCAUCCCUUUUAUGAAAUAUCUAUUGUUAACCCUUUUGAGCCUUUUAAAAAAAAAUUAAAAAAAAAAAACCUUUUCUUUGUCAACUUAUCAUCUUGACCCACUCUGAUUUGGAGUAUUAUCCAAUAUCUUACAAGUUCCAUCACCUAUUUAUGUUUGAGAAAAAUGUAAAUAAAUAUUUUGUACAGUGAAGUUAUGCCCAACAAAAGCAAAAACAAAAAAACAAAAAAUUGUUAUUUAAAAAAAAAAAGAAAAAAAUAACAAUAAAAGGUGAAAUCCACCUUACAACUUCAAAAAAAAAAGUUCUCUAUAGUUUUCUCAAACAUACACUUUGUUUUCCUUAUUUCCCUUCUUUGUUAGUCAUGUCCCUAGCCUACGUUACGUCCUAAUAAAAAUCCUUCUUGAUUUUAGGGAACUAUAGUCUGAAGUAAAUUGGGUUGACUACCAUUUUUGUUUGACUUGAGAUCGUAUUAUUUCUAAACUGAGGGCAUAUUUCUUUCAUCUUGGUGAGAGCAUGUGAUAUCACUUCUUUAUUAUUUUCUCUCAAUUAUCAUUCAUUGGAAUAACUAUUUUUAUUGGGUUUAAUUUCUUUGUAAGAGUGUCACUACUUCCAGUGAGAUUUUGGGGUUUGACAUGUCAUUCUUGAAAGUAACUGUGACAAUCUACUAAGCUGAUUCAUGUGGAUGGUUGAUGUGGGCGUGAUGUUCCUUUAGACUGGAGAUAAUGCUUAUACUUUUAUUUGAUUACUAUCAUUAGUCUGAUUAAAUAAACACGAGUGUUUAAAAAAAAAUCAUUUUGAAUUUGAAUUUUAUUUUCGCUUUAUUUGCUAGGGACUAGCAAUAAGUUGGUUGGGGGGUGUGUUGAGUAUUAGAAAAUGUAUAUUUAUAAAGGAGAAAAUAGUCAUUUUACAUUUCAAGUCUUACUAACAACCCUUACUUUUAUGUAUUUAAGAUUCUUGUAAUUUAAUUAUGUGUGUUUGAUUUUAAUUAAGUAUUUUAUGUAUUUUAGGGGCAUCAUAGUCAUUUCACAAUAAACAAGAGAUCAAACGGCAAAACGGACAUCACUUUUGAACUCAGGACGGUCGAAAACCUUAGGAGGAGCAUAAAAGGAAAAAUGGCACUGUUCACAUGUACGAUACUAUUCACAUGUACGGUACUGUCUACGUUAUUGUUCACGACACUGUUUAUAUAGACGGAUCGAUGACGUGGCAUUGACCGAUGAUGUGGCAUUCACUAAUGAGGUGUCAUGAUCAUGUUGGACUAAAAUUCUUAUGUACUGUUGAUGGUGACGUGGCAGCAUAUUAGUGGACCAAAAAACGUGUAUAUGGUACAUGCAACACAUGGGAUUAUUUUCAAUCAAACCGCGUUACUGUUCAAACCGUGUUACUGUUCAAACCGCGUGGUCAAACCGCGUACUAUUCACGCAUAUUGUUGACUGAUGACAUGGCGCAAUCUUGAGCGUUCAAACUGUUUUCAAUCCGAUGGCCAUUAUUUACUCAAUGUAUCUAUAAAAAUAGGACCUCUCCCCCCUAAUUUGGAUCUCUGAAUCCAUUUUUGGACUCUAUUUUAUGUAAUUCCUUCUCCAUCUUGUAUUUUCUACGUAUUUUAAUAAAUUCUCAUUUUGCCCCUAGUUCAAUUAUGAGUGGCUAAUUUUCUUUCAAGUUUGGGUUGAAGGUGAAGUCUCAACAUGUGUCAUGGGCUUUAUUUGGUAAAUUUAUUUUCUCUUCCCCUCUUGUUUUUGUGGAUGUUUUGACUUUUCGUUGACAAAUAAUAAUAAUCUUGUCUAGUACCGCCCUGGUUUCACCGGCUCCCUAGUAUAAGAUUAUUAUUAUUUGGCACGAUAAGCCCUUAGCACCAUAUUGAUUAGAGCGUGGUUCAUGAGGUGUGGAUUCCCCCCUCAUGAUUUAAUUGGCAUUAAUAAGGAUUAUUUAGCCCAUGAUGCAUAUUGAUACGGAUCCAGAUACUCAAGUACGUCAUUUCAAUAGAUUUUCACUUCAAUUUAUUCUUGCCAUUUCAAUUCCAAUUUUAGGAUCAUUUAAGUCACUUUCACCACAAAAUCCAACCACUUCAUACAAAAUUAAUUCUACAUAUAACUAAAAUCCACCUCCUCGUGGGAUCGACACUCGUCACCAUUAGUCUAUUCUACAAUAGAUUCGUGCGCUUGCGAGUUCAAUAAAAUUUGCACAACACAUUACAACUAUAAUAUUCAUUGCUAAUAAAUUUACUUAGUAUAAUUGGUCUCAGUGAAAACUUCUCAAUGCGAUUUUAUGAGUUGCAAAUAAUGCAUUAUCAAUAUAAGCACAAAUAUAUUUUUCAAUAUACAAGACUAGGUUAUAGCUUAAUUUGCUCUUAAAAUCUUUUAAUAAUAACAAAAAAUAUUUAUAUAUUGUAACACACAAAACAAAAUGAAUGCUAGAUAAAAUUCUAGAUUUUAAAACUAGACAAAAGAUUAAUCAAAAAAUUAAAAAUUAGAAUUGGGUAGACUUACAACUUAUGGUUCAAUGUCGAAAUACCAACUAUUUGAUUUUGCUUGAAUAAAAAACAAAACGAUUAAAGACUGGUCCAUUAACCAUUUUACUAACAUUUUGUUGUGAUUGUUUUUCAUUUUAAUAUUUGUUCUUGUGUCUUUAAUCCAGUUUCAUGAAAUGUUAAUAACUAAUUAAAUUAUUUAUAAUUAGAAAUUUAAACUAUGGACAAUAUGAAAUAUUUUAAAAUUACUAGAGUCAGUUUCAAAUUUUACAAUUCAGCUGGGGUAUUUUUCAUAAAUAACAAAUAAAAUACAUUUUUUUAGUAUAAUUAUAAAAAAAAUUUAAAAGCCAGCAGGGGCAUGUGCCCCACUCGUCCCAUGCUGGCUCUGUCUCUGCAUGUAGCAACAUAUAAAUUCAGUUAAUGAGCCAUUAAAGUUGUUUAUCACUCAACCACAAGGAAUAUUAGUUCAUGAUUUUCAAAACGAAACUAAACAACAAAGUUUCAGCCGGCAAAUACAUUCUCAUGUCAAAGAAUAAAAAUAAAUCAAAAUAAGAAUAAGAAAGACUGAAUUCCAAUUGAUUCCGGCAAACUUCUCCACUGAUGCAGUCUUGAUUCUUGCUCUUGAAAUCUAUUUUUCCUUGUUUCUUUUCUAUUUAUGAUCUUGGUUGACGGCCGCCUUUUUUCUUUUGUACAUGUGCCUCUGUUAUAGUCCAAAAUUAGGGUAAACGGAAGUUCAGAGCGCGCAUCUUCCCAAUUAGGAAAUUGCAGAUUGCAAUCCGUUAAGUAUCUUGCGCGAAAUCUUCUCUGUCAUUGUUCCCGAAUUGCUACAUCACGGUUUUCUACAGCAAUAGCUACAGUAUAUGCACUGUUCCAAAUUUACUCCAAUUCUUCUAUAGUCGUAUUCUUUUGUCCUUUUUGCAAACCCAUUGCUACAACAUCCUUCCCAUGAAAAUUUAACUUCAGGUUACCUACAAUUAUGCAUAUGUUUUAAGGACACAAUUAUUAGAAAUCAAGCAAAUUUUAUUAAACUUAAACUAAAAUGAAUGUUAAUGUAAACUAUCAUUAAAUGCACUAAAACACAUCAAUUACCCUCUAAGUAAUCUUGAUUUUAAGUCUAAAAGUAUCAUGAUAAUCUUAUUUCAUAGAGUUUUCAAUACUCUAACUUCAAGUUGCACGAAUCUAUAAGGAUUCUUAUGAAUUCUUUGCUCGUUACAUUAGCUUUUAACACCAAAACAUCUUCAUGCAAGUAUAGUAUCCCUUCCUCAUCGUAUUAUGUCCAAAUGAUUGGAACUUGCUUGGUUCUUGCUCAUUUUGUCAAUGAAGCAUUGAAGAGAAUAUCAUGACUUGUUAUUGCAUACCUUUUGUAGUACUUCUAGGCUUUGUUAGAGUUAUUUACUAGAGUUGGCCCUCUUACAAUAACUCUAGCUACUGGCUCUUCAAAAAUCAUAUCACCAGUAUUCUUUUUUGCUGUAUGCACUGUUGAUCUGUCAUUGGAUAAGAACUGUCAAUAUACUUAUUCAAAUAAUAAUUUCUUACUAGAACUUCUACUUGUUUUUUUAAGUCGUGACACUGUGGUUUGGUGUGGCCAUGGGUGUUAUUCAUCAGCAUUAUCCUAUCUCUUAGGAAAUUUUGGCAAGUAAGGACUAAUGAAGGUAGGUUUUGGUUUUGGUUUAGUUGACCUUGUAUUUUGAGUUGGGUUAACUUGGAUCAUUAUAGUGAGGAUGGCUAUCAACUAGUUAUAUCAUUUCAAGUAGCUCUAUUUAGAGAGGGGUGGGGUUAAUUUCUUUUUACAUAGUAUGGGAGAUAAGAGUGGCCAAAAUCAAAUUUAGAUUGGAUUCGGAUCAAUUUGAUCAUAUAUUAAAUUUUUCGGAUUGACUAAAAAAACUCAUCUGAAUGUACUCGAACUUGAAUCUAAUAUGAAUAUAUUUGGAUAGGAUGAAUAAUUUGGCUUAAGUUAGAUUUGGAUCGGUUUGGUAAAUCUCAAAUUUAAUUUUAAUUUACAGGUCACUAUACUCAAUGGAUAAGACAUAAUUUGUAUAUCUCUGUAAUAAACAUUCAAUUUUGAUAUUCAACUACAUAGAUAGAAGAAAAAUAAGUCAUUUACAUUACAAUUGUGGUGCAUAUCACUGAAAAGUAUCAUAAUAAUUCAUAUUUUUCCAACCAAAAUGAAAAGAAACCAUAAUUUAAACAACAUAAUAAGCAAAUAGAAUUUCUAAAGAAAAGGAAAAAGAGUAGAUGUAAGCUAGAAAAAGAGAAAUCAUGUAUUAGAGAAGAAAAGAGCAUUUUUGCACAAAAACAACUAAUACCAAAACUAAUAAAAAAAUCUCAUAUUCAUUUUCCAAUUUUCUCAUAAGCUUACGCAAUUCUUCCUCUUCUACUCUUCAAAAUCAUUUGCCAAUUUUCUCAAUUUUCUCAUAAGGUGAUCUUUGGUCUUUUGAUGAGAAAAUUACUUGAGUAACUUACAACUGGUUAGGUUUGGGAUUUUGGGGAAAACAAGUUAGGUUUACACAUUACAAACUUCACUAGUCAAAUUGUCGAAUUACAUCCGAAUUAGAUUUGAUCCGAUUAUAAUCUCAUCGGAUUGGGUUGUUUCUAUUUAAUCAAAUUACAACAAUAAUCCAUAUUCAAUUUGAAUAUGUUUGGAUUGAAUCAAAUCCAAUCAAUCUAAAUCCAAUUCGAUGCUAACCCUUAUGGGAAUAAGUAGCCAUCCUUAUUAUGACCGCUCUACUCACUGAUGGUUUGUCAUGAAGCCUAACUAGUCCACUUAUUUUUUAGCUCUCCUUUCAUUUCGUUUUAACUCCACAAGUUACUCGUCUCUAACUCUUGCUGCUUUUUCCUCCUCGAUUUCAAUAUCCACCUUCACCUAGUCAUAAGCAGUUGAAUAAGAGUUUAUUAUUGGGUUCCUUAAGUUAUACCACAAUUGGCCUAUCUUUACUCCCUCUUUUAAUCCCUUCAAGGCCUGAAGAUGAUUGAAAGCUCCAUAGUCAAGGAUUGCUUGGUGAUAUCUCUUGAAAAAUCUCUUAGAGUUUGAUUUUCUUCCUACUCGAGCCUCAUUGGCUCUAUCAUGUCAUCCUCUGGUGUUAUUGCUCCUAAAAAAUGUUCAGCAAAGUCUCCAUGCAAUUGAUUAGAAGUUCUGAUGCUUCCCUAUGGCAAUUUGCGAUACCAAUCAUGUGCAUGCUAUUCUAAUGUCAAUGGAAACACUCGACACCACUGUAGUGGUGUCAAACCAUGUACUCUAGUCAUCUCAUUAAAUCGUUCUAUAUGCAUAAAGAGUCACUCUUUCUGGAAUAUUUGAGGUUUAAAACUAAUCCCUUGAUAUUGUUGUGCUCAUGAUUUUUGCUGAGAGUAAGAUUCAUUAUCCAUAAUUAUUCUCCAGCUCAGUGCUCUUUCAAUCCUAUACUUCUUCAAUAAUUCGUGCUAACCUAUGCAUCUUAUCUUCUAAUUUCCCAACGCGACUUGGGUUCUACACCCUUAUCUACUUGCAGUCAGCGUUCUGUUUAUUCCAUAGAUUUUCACCGAAGUACGUUUUGGUUGCUCUCCAAAAAAAUAAAAAAGAAAGAAAUCACCUAAUACUUUUGGGGCAAGGCAAGCUUCCAAAUAACAUUGCAAAUGAUUUGGUGAAAAAGCUUUCAUCUAUUCCGGUAAUUUAGAAGCACUUUAAUUCGAUUCUCUCUUAAGAGUCCUAUCACUUUAGGAUGAUUUUUAAGUAAAAUCCUUGUAUAUAUUAUAUUUUUGUUAAUAUAACAAACACUAAAUAUUUAUGAUCUGAAAGAUAGUUGUUGAAUGGAGAUCGUUUCACACAAAAAAAGUAUUUAAAAAGAAUGUGGUAUUGUAAUAUUAAAUAAUUUUUUGUAGUGAUAUAAGAGUAUCACACUAGUUUUUUUUUUGCAUUCCAAAAAAUUGAAAAUAAGAUCUAAGUAAUUUCAAGAAUAAAUUAGCAAUAUUAGGAACAAGUUUUACAAAAAGCUUCUGGGACAUGUUAUACAAAUUUGUUAUAUAAGAAAGUCUCUACUAGAUCUUCUUUCCACAUUACAAAAAUUAGAAAUGAGAUCUAAAUCGACCAAUUAUAAAUUUUAUAGUGAGUGGGUCCUAUAUGAAAACAAGGUUUUUUUUUAUUAUAGUGUAGUCAAUUAUCAGCCAUCUACCCUAAGUUUAUUUUAUAUUAAAAAAAUACUAGGAAGAAUUAAUUUGUUUAGUUUUUUACUUUAAUUUUAUAAUUUGUAUUAGUUGUCUAUUAAAAAGAUAGAAUUAUCCUUACUAAAUGACAAAAUAGAAACAAAUACAAAUAACAACUAUGGUCAUUUUGUAAGGGUAAUUCUAUCUUUUUGGCAUCGAAUUGCAUAUUAAACUAUUUUAAGUACUUAAAAUAAUAUAAGUUCUUUAUCAAAUAAAUAAAAUUUUAAACUAUGUAUUUACCAAACAUUUUAAAAUCACAGCUCCUCUACUACAUCUCCAAAUAAAUUCUUAAAAUCAUAAAUAACUAAAUUAAUGGGGUUUUAAAAGGACUCUCCGGAUUUUGCAUGAUUUCUUUAUAUAUAGGUGCUGGGUGAUCAUGUUGGUUCCUAUAGGUACCAUCAGCCACACUUUUUGUUAGUGGUGAAAAAACAAUUUUGGGUACAAUUUGUGAUUUGUAUAACGUGCGGUAUUAAACAUUUGAAACAUACACCGACAGUAAUCUAAUCAAUAAUUAAAAAAAAUUGUAUAAAAUACAUAUGUCGUAGGCAACUCAGAUCCUUUUCUUUAUAAUUCCAUAUCAUGUGAUUAUCAAAAAACUUCUUGAGAUUUUUAAAUUUUGUAAUUGCACUAUCCUUGAAUUAUCAAAAGACUCUUGAUAAUGUUCUUCUUCUUAAAGAUGCCCUUAAUCCGUAAAUGGUCCAAUAAUUAGUUCAUAAAACGAAUUUAUUACUUUAGACAAGUCUCAAAUAUGCAUACCUCUUAUAACUCCGUAUUGCAUAAUUCCUUACUUAAAUGCAUUUGUUUCCUUUCUCUAAAUUUUAGAAUGGCCUUGUCUACUAAAUUUCCUCUUUAAAUUUGACUGCCAACUAGGAAUUUCGCCAAAAUUUCCACCCCAUCUUACUCUCUGAAAUAUGUCUUCCACGUUACUAUAGCAAAUUUUACAUCUAGGAUACUGAAACAUUUUUUUUUUUUCAAUUUUCAAAUAUUUAGCUGUUGACAAUAGGUCUUUAGCUGCUCACCAAGAGAAAAUUUUCAUCUAAAACUUUUUUUGAUAAGGCAAGCCUCCAAAUAACAUCCAAAUGGUUUGGACAUUCAGUUCUACUCAAAAUUCAGAUUAAUUCACACAUAUUUAGAUUUUAGACAAGAAACAUAUGCCACCUAAAUAUUUAUGACUUAAAAUUAUUUAAUAAUCAUGGCACAUUUAACCUAUCUAAACAUGAAAUCUUGUGGAGACUUAUGUUUAAGCAGGAGGAUAACGUGAGAAAAUUGACACAUUAAUUUACAAUUUGUACGCCAACUGAAUAAUUUUUGUUUGUUUUUUGUUUUUGAUAAUAAAACAAGCCUCGCAAGAGCUUAGGUUUUUAGCCAACUGAAUAAAUUUCCCCACUCAAAUUAGAAACAAUAAAAUCUAAUAAUUAUGUUAUGAGCCCAUCAGACAAAUAGUGAGACAUCAUAUUGUUAAUACCUACUCGUAAAAUUAACGGGAUAACGCGGUUUAUACGGACAGAUUAUCAAGGUAUUGUUAAUACCUUCUGUACCGGUAAUUCUUUUUUUCUUCUUUUUCAACCCCAAAUAAUCAAAAGCUCUCCAAUGGCUUUUGUAUCCACAACUCGUCCAUUUCAUUUUACUUCAAUUUCAGUAUCAGCUCUUAGAUGUAAUUUCUCAUCUUCGUUCCCUCAUACCAGAAAACCCACAUCUUCAAUUUCGGAAAAUGAACCCUCAGAUCCGACUACAACAGCUAAACUGAAGGAGUCGCUACGACUGACAGUCAAAGACGGAGCCUCAAUCGAAAAAUUUCUUAAAGAAAGGUGAAAAUCAUCAGGUCAAGGUGAUAUUAAUCUUAUUACUCCUAAUGAAGCCUUGUGUAUCUUUGAUUACAUGCUCCGUAUGCACCCUUCUCCGCCUCCGGUUUCUUCCUUCAAUAUUUUGUUUGGUUGUCUUGCUAAGAAUAAACAUUAUGAUACUGUCCUUUCACUCUUCAAGAGACUCAAUUCAACUGGGUUGUUUCCAGAUCUUUAUACUCACAGUAUUUUGAUUAACUGGUAGAGUUUCUCAUGGUUUUGUUGUUCUUGGGAGAAUCAUCAGGUCUUGUUUUACUCCAGAUGCUGUGACCUUUACUUCUUUGAUUAAAGGUUUGUGUGCGGAUAGUAGAAUCAUGGAGGCCGCCGCAUUGUUUACAAAACUUAGAGUGUUUGGUUGUGAGCCUGAUGUUUUUACAUACAAUACGUUGAUUAAUGGAUUGUGUCGAACUGGCCAUACAAUUGUUGCUCUAAAUUUAUUUGAAGAGAUGGCUAAUGGAAAUGGGGAAUUUGGUGUCGUUUGUAAGCCAGACACUGUUACAUACAACACUAUCAUCGAUGGUGUUUGUAAGGAAGGUUUCGUGGACAAGGCCAUGGAACUGUUUCUGCAGAUGAAGGAUGAGAAUAUUAACCCCAAUGUGGUUACUUAUAACUCUUUGAUUCACUAUUUCUCUCAUGCUGAUGAUUGGAAUGAGGCUAAACGUUUGUUUAUUAAGAUGAUGGACCAAGGUGUGCACCCUAAUGUUGUGACUUUCAGUGUGAUCGUGGAUGAGCUCUGCAAGAAUGGGAAGAUGGAAGAAGCAAGUAGGUUGUUGGACCUGAUGAUUCAGAUUGGUGUGCAUCCAAACACUUUUGUCUAUAACACAUUAAUGGAUGGGUUUUGCUUGACGGGUAGAGUUAAUCGUGCAAAGGAACUAUUUGUUUCUAUGGAGAGUAACGGGUGCAUGCAUGAUGUUGUUAGUUACACCACAUUAAUAAAUGGGUACUGCAAGACUAAGGAUGUAGAGGAAGCUUUAAAUCUUUAUAGGAAAAUGCUGUCUAAAGGAAUUAGGCCAACAGUUGUUACAUAUAGCACCUUGUUUCUUGGCCUUUUUGAAGUACACCAGGUUGAGCAUGCUUUAAAACUGUUUGAUGAGAUGCAGCAUAAUGAUGUAGCAGCCGAUACAUAUAUAUACAAUACCUUUAUUGACGGGCUCUGCAAGAAUGGUUUUGUUCUAGAGGCACUGGAAUUAUUCUGUGCUAUAGGAAAUAGCAAGUAUGAACUUGAUAUCAUAUCCUACAGCUGCCUCAUUGAUGGAUUGUGUAAAAUAGGCAAACUGGAAACUGCUUGGGAACUGUUUCAAAGUUUGUCUCGUGUAGGCCUAUUGCCAAAUGUUGUAACAUAUAACAUCAUGAUCCAUGGGCUUUGUAAUGAUGGGCAAAUGGACAAGGCACAUGAUUUGUUUCUUGAUAUGGAAGCAAAAGGUGUGGAACCCGAUUGUGUCAUAUUUAAUACGAUUAUGCUGGGUUUCAUCCGCAAUAAUGAGACAUCAAAAGUUAUUGAACUCCUUCAGCGAAUGGAUAAUAGAAAUGUAAUGCCAGACGCAUCUAUACUUUCAAUUGUUGUGGACUUGCUUGUAAAGAAUGAAAUUAGCUUAAACUCGAUUCCACAAUUCAAGAGUCAAUGAGUUUAAUGCUGAUUACUUGCAUGUUUUUUUCUGCCUAAAAUCUGGAUCUGGAGAAUCCCAUUCUUAUUACAACAUGUAAAGGAGUGUUGUCUAAUGUUGGCAUGUUCCUAGGUUCUGUCCAUGGAUUCUGUUUGCAGACAUGGCUAACUUCUUGUUCAACAGAUAAGUUUUAAAGUCUUUGAACUUAAUGUUGUAAAAUAACUUUUUUAUUAUUCAAUUCAUGAGUUUUUCUUCUAUAGCACAUCCUUCUCAUUAGCUGGAAGUGCAAAUUUUUUAGGCUUUUCCUGUAUGGCCUCUUUUUCUGUUCUAAAUAAAAUGGCAUUUUAUUUCCCUCCUGUGAGGGUACAACGUUUAUGUUUAAACUUUCUGUUAGUUAAAUUGGUUGUCUUUGAUAUAGGGAACUUCCAGUUGAACUGAUUUGUAAUUCGAGUAUAUGAGAUUACCAACUGUAAUGGGAAUUGAUGCCAAAUUAAUUAUGUCAUCAGGUUUUCCAAUCAGUGUUCAUCAUUUAUUUCUGUUAACAAUUAAUAGCACAGCUUGUCUUCGCAGCUUCAUUGGUUCCUCUCAAAAAAGUAAUGCCAGAUGCAUCUAUAGUUUCAAUCGUUGUGGACUUGUAAAGAAUGAAAUUAGUCUGAACUCACUUCCGUCAUUUCCUGUUCAAGAGCAGCAGGGGGAAGUUGAUGAGUCAAAUGUCAAGUUGUUGGAGCAUGUGCUUUCAGCCUAAAACCCUGAUCUGCAGCAUCUCAAUCAUGUUACAAAAGGACAUGUCGCCUGGUGACACCAUGUUCUCUACAGCGCUGUUAAUGGAUCCUGAUUGUUCUUGUGAUCUGGAGAGUCUCAUUCAUAAUACAGAUCUUGAUCAGGACGAGCUAGCAUAUGUGAUCACCAACUCUACAUGGUUGUUGAUGCCAAAUUAAAUAUGGUAUCAUGUUUUUCAACUUGUUAUUUUCUAUAGUCCUUCCUUUGAAUGGCCACAAGAAACUGUAAAAUCACCCUUUGUCUUGUUCCCUCUUAAUGAUCGAUCACUUUGGGAGCUAAUGAAUUAGUUGCACCUUGUCACUUUAUUGGUGCUUGAUUGUCAUUUGUACUUUGAAUUCACAGCAUAUUUUACCCUUGAUGUACUCUUUCCAUAAUCACCUUUGAGGGCUGCUAGUAUGUAUAAUUGAAAAACCUUAUAUAAAUUCUAAGCAUUUUUAUUUAACUUGUUGUAAACCUCCAGUGUAUGUCUCUUCUGUGAAAUGAUUCAUACUCUAUGCUGCUAGGACCUAGGCUUAUGACUCUUCUGUGAAAUGAUUUACCCUCACCUGCACACAGACAUUUAUCCCAAUCAAGAAAUCUUCAAACAAUGUGAAAAAAAUUGCUUGAAACACGACGCAGACUUAACCGAUUAAAAUGUCCCUACUGUGAGGAAGGAUGCUAUACAACUGACUCGGAAAAUGUAAAAUGGAUAACGUACGCCCAAGAUGAUCAACUAGAAACACAAUUCAAAACUCGGGCUGCUUUUGGCUGCCCGGCCUUCAGAAGUCAAUAUUUAUAUGAACUUUUGAGGAGAAAUUAUAUGAACUUUUGAGGAGAAAUUAUACUAAGGGUUCAGAAGUCAAUAUUUAUAUGAACUUCAGAAGUCAAUAUUUGGCUGCCCGGCCUUCAGAAGUCAAUAUUUAAAAACUUGGUGAAAUUACCGAUUAAAAUGUCCCUACUGUGAGGAAGGAUGCUAUACAACUGACUCGGAAAAUGUAAAAUGGAUAACGUACGCCCAAGAUGAUCAACCAGAAAGUGAGAGAUUAGGAUCACCAGUCAGUCAGAUUUGGAUAGAAAGUGAGAGAUUGCUAUGCCGUGCCAUUGCUUCAAUCCUAAAUGCUUUCAUCUCCCUGAAAAGUAUACAAAUGUAGGGGUUAAAACAGAAUAGAUGAAACCGUAUUGAGGAACUCAACUGAGACAGAUGAUAAAUGAAAACUAACCAACCUUCACGCAAAACUCGUACAUCUCCCUUUAAGAGCUGACUUUCUGAGAAGAGAUCACCACAAUCGUUCACAUCAAAAGUCUCCACUUGAAAAUUUUAUAACCAUAGUACUCAUUCCAUUCAAACCAGAUCCUUGAGAUCAGUUCCUUCUUCAGGCAAGUGGCAUGAUCUUCCUCUUUAGGAGACUCAGCAGCAACCAGUCUAUAUGCACAAACUUUCUUUGUUUGGCCUGGCCGGAAAGCCCUGCUGAUUGCCUGGCGGCUCACUGAUGGAUUAAAGAGAACAUCCAGAAUAAUGAUUCAAAUUUUUGUGGAAUUACUUGUAAAGAAUGAAAUUGGUUUAAACUCGAUUCCACAAUUCAAGAGACAAAACUAAGCAGACGGGUUGAAUCUUUGAUUGAGUAGCAUGUCUCUUCUGCUUUAAAAGCAGAUCUGGAGAAUCCCAUUCUUAUUACAACGUGUGAAGGAGUGUUGUGUAUUGUUGGCAUGUUCCCAGGUUCUGUUCAUGGAUUCUGUUUGCAGACAUGGCCGACUCUUUGUUUCAUCGGAUAAGUUUCAAAUAAUUCUGGCAAAUUUUUGUUGUAAAAUUACUUUUUUAUCAUUUAAUCCAUAUGCCUCUUUCUCAUUACCUGCAAGUGCAAAAUUUUUAGGCUCGUCCUAUUAGACCUCUUUUUCUUCUCUAAAUAGAUAAAACGGCAUUUCAUUUUUCUCUUGCGAGGGUGCAGGUUUAUGCUGAAACUUUCGGUUAGUUAAAUUGAUUGUCUUUGAUAUUGGAACUUGUAGUUGAACUAGUUUGCAUUUAGAAUAUAUGAGAUUACCAACUGUAACGGGAAUUGGUGCCGAAUUGAUUAUGUUAUCAGGUUUUUCAGUCUGUGCUCAUCUUUUAUUUCUGUUAAUAAUUAAUAGCACAGCUUGUCUUCUCUGCUUCUUUGGUUCCUGUCUAUUGUCAAAUAUAAACUUGUAGAGACAUUUUGUUUUGGCAUGGCACAUGCUAGAUUUUGUUUUUGGUUUGAAUGAUACUACACAUCUAAGUGAUUGUCCAGAUUUUUUUUCAUUCCUAGUGACAUGGCACUCAAUUGAAUGGUGACUCGUGAAUCAUGAUUGUGUGUGUUGGUCUUUGUUAUACUACGUGUUGGCAAGACAAAGUCUUUUGAAACUGCCAAACUUUUCUAUAUGAAUAUUGAAGACAAUAUGAUAAGAUAAAAUUAAUCAAAAACAUAUAUACUUGACAGGGCUGGAACGUCUGUUAUUAGUCCUCGCCUUCCAUUCUUGUUUCAUAUUCUUCUGCUAACAAAUCUUGAUCAUGAUAGUCUUCUCUGUUAUUAAUCCUUUUUUUUUUUUUUUUGGCUUUUGGAUUUUGUUUCCUUUAUAUAUAUAUAUAUAUAUAUAUAUAUAUAUAUAUUGUAUACAGUUAUUAGCAUCGACAACUUGAGCUUGCAGUCUUGUGAGUUUAGAGCCUACCAAAGUAAGCAUACACAUGACAAUGAAGAAUUGAAGAUUGUGAACGGUUUACUUGUGCGGCUAUGUUAGAAAAAUUUGACUGAUCGUGAAGAUAUUUAGAGAUCGUCCAUCUUGGUACUGCUAUUGUUGGAGCCUUGAAGUGUCAACUUCUCAUCGUUGCCUACAGUUGCCUCAUUGAUGAAUUGUAGGCAAACUGAAAAUUGCUUGGGAACUGUUUCAAAGUUUGCCCCGUACAGGCCUAAUGCAAAAUGUUGUAACAUAUAACAUCAUGAUUCAUGGGCUUUGUGAUGAUGGGGCAAAUGGAUAAGACACAUGAUUUAUUUCUUGAUAGACCAUUCUCAGGGCACAAAGGGUGUGGUGCCCAAUUGUGCCAUAUUUACUAUGCUUAUGCGAAAGAAUGAGACAUCAAAAUUUUCAUCACUCAAUGGAUAAAAGAAAUGUAAUGCCAGCUGCAUCUAUAGUUUCAAUUGGUGUGCGCUUACUGGUUAAGAAUGAAAUUAGUUUAAACUUGAUGCCAGAAUUCAAGAGACGGUUAAUUAGAUGAGUUGAAUGUUGAUUUAGUAGCCUUGAAGUUUUGCAAAUGUUUCCUGAUGGAUAAAUUGAACUUGUAUGCACACAUGUAAACUAAAAGAAAAAUUAUUUUAAUAGAAAACGUGCUUUAAGCAUGUCCUUCGGCAUGAGGUAAUACUAUAAAGUUUUUUUUUAAGUAAGGUUAUAAAUUCUAGCAAUUGAGUCUCAAUUUGAUAUUAUAUUCAUCUGGUAUAGGGUAGAAUAUUAAUUUUUUCAAUUAUAAAAUUUACUAUCUAAUAGAUGAACAACACUUAACAGUUGAGAAUGAAAUGGAGACUCAAUUGUUGGGAGUCCAAUCACUUUUUUCUCUUUUAACUUGCUAUUUUUGUUGUCCGAAAUUAUCUGAAGUUCCAUGCUUGCUCCAAUAGAACAAAUAAGAUAGGUUAUGAUCAACUUUUUUUUUUUCCAAAUAAAGGAACCACCUGCAUCGAUACUCCAUAAGCAAGUUUUUUCUUUUGACUGCCCCUUAUAUUUGUCACACUCCUUGUACUAGUGCCCAAUGAAACCACAACAGAAGCAAAAAUAUGGCAAUCUCUCAUAUACUACUGUAAUUGGAACAUCGUCUUCACCUUCAAGUUCUAAAUAACCAAUUUUCUUUAGUGGUUGUGUGAUAUCAAUUGAGAUACUUACUCUGGCAUACUAACCAAUGCACUCUCCUUCCACGUCCACAUCAACUUCUUCAACUAUACCAAUUGCCUCUCCCAAUGCUUUGAUUAUUUGCUGGUCUAUACACCCAACUGGGACAUUAUGAAGUUGUACCCAAAGGCAGCAUGAGUAAAUGAUUGUUUUGUUAUUUCCCCAAUUCCACUUGCCUCUUUUAGAACUAUUAGAGCUCGUUCAAAAUGCCACUGCCCACUUGAUAAAAUUCUCAUCUUAUCAACUUCAAAGGCAAAUUUAACUUAAAAAUCUUACUCCCCAGAUUUUCAAUUUCACCUAUUCUACUAUUCUGCAUACUUGUUGUAAUGCUCACUUGAGACCCUCUCUAGUAACUCCUCUUAGAUGUAAGACUUUGCCCAGAAAACAGCCCUCAACUAGCUCUCUCUCAUUCCCUUUCAUGACAUUACCAACAACUUCUUUACUCUAUUUUCCUUCUUCUAAUAUAAUAACUUUACACUUGCAAAUUAGUUCUUCUGUUUUCAUUAGGCACUAAAAUAUAAAUCCAUUGUGAUAACUCUUGAGUAUCUACCACUUCCUCUGUAAUUAAGACUCAACAACUCAAAUGAAAAACUUAAAAGUAAAAGAGACACCCAACUCGUGAGCAACUUUCGCAAUCUUAUGGGCUACUACCAUUUCAUUCUAGAUUCUCGCUCAUAGGGGGAGAACCUGUGAAGAAAGACUUCUACAGGUAGGAGACCGCUUACACAGUAGAUUAUUUAUAUUUCUUUGGACUAACUUUUUACUUUAUCAAAGACAAAAACAACAUAAACAAAGACAGAAGAUUAACAAAAGCAUCAAUUGCCAAAGAGUAGAGAGUAUUAUUAUAUUUUAGGAACAUAGGUUAUGACCAACUUAAAAGAAGCAGUUAGGGCUUGUUCAGUACUGUUUUAAAAGCCUUAUUUUCAUUUUUGUUUUGGGAGUACAAAUAUAAUACAUAUUUAGUGGGUUGAAUCCAAAAAUUAAAUCAUAAAAAAGAAUUGAUAUUCACUUUUACAGUUAUAAAAUUAAGAACCUAUUGAACAUGUUCUCAAACAAAUUACAAAUUAAAUUAAAACAUAAACCCCAAAAUAAAAUCUAAAAAGUUAUCUUCCUCUCCUAAAAUCUUAUCUCCUCCCUCUCGUUAUCUCUUCACAACUCUUCCUUCUUCAUGGUAGAUACUUCUCCUCUAACCACAACCCACCUGAACUGUGCACCGAUCUCUCUCUCCCCAUCCCCUUUAUCUAGGUCUACUUCACAGUUCUCUUCCUCUCAGUGGCUGUUACUUGUUCAUCAACCGCAAUCCAUCGUCGUAAGGUACUACGUCGGAAUAUUUUACCAAAAACAUGUCAAGACAAAGUGAUGUCUAUCAUGGUUUAUUACUGCAAGUGCAUUAUUUUCUUUGUACUAAAGUGAAUCUUUGAUGUAUUUAUUAAAUUUGGUGGAGCAAUCUUAGUUAAUUUUGAUGAUUUAUAUAUGCAUUUAAUUUCAUUUUUAAUAAUUCAUGUGCAGGAAAUAUGGAUUCUUGGCUUUGCUUGGACUGAUGGUUUGGGCAAUUUCAUUUGGAAUCAAUCAACUUCGAGGAUAAACACUUGUAGUUCAUCCUUUGUUCUCUAAUUUUGUUCAUGGGACUUGCUUUUCUUCCAUCCAACUUUUUUGUUCUCUAUUUCUAUGGUAGCAGUUUUAUGUUUUGUGUUGGUGGGAAACUUCAUGCUGCAAUUUUGUCAAAUUCUGUUGACAUACCCUAAUCAGUAAUGACUUUGCUGCAUGGCGAAAGCAUAAGCUCAUAGUUGACAUUGUUGUCAUUAGAGCUUGUUUCCAUAAAAAAAAAGUGUAAUUUGAAAGUACAUUGUACACUAUUGAAUUUGAAUUAUCUCCAACAAGUGUUGAUGCAUGAUGUCCAUCAUGUAAUUUUUUUAUAAUUAUUUUGUUUAACUUAUAUGUGUUGUAAUAUAUAGCUUAAUUAUAGUGUAAAAACAAUGGCAAUGUAAUUUUUUUAUUAAUGCUAAUACUAAAACUUUAUCAUCAUGCAAUGUUUUAUAAUUAUUUUGAUUAAAUUAUUUAUGGUAUAUUUUUGUAUUAAUUAAAUAAACAAUUAGUUUUUAUUAAAAAAAUUAUGACUUACAUGUUUAGUAAAAAUUGUUCAUGAAAAUAGUAUUACCGAACACAUUUUCUCUGUGUUUAUCUUUUUCAAUUGUGUUUACGGAACACAUGUUACUGUUUUCAAUUUAGAAAAUACAAGAUAUAGAAAAUGAUAUUAGAUGUCUAUUUAAUUCAAAAUGCAGCAACUGCAAAACACUAUUUUUACUCUCAUUUUUCUUUUUAGAAAAUACUAAUUUAGAAACAAUACCAAACAAGAACUUAGUUUUAGUACGAAUAAUGUUGUGUUAGUUUUAUAGGUUUACAUGCACCCUUAGAUUUAUUAGAAGUAUCAGCCCAACCCCCUAGUUACUGUUGACUAAUAUCGAACCCGCUGCCCGAUGUUGACUCUUGAAAGUAACUAUAACAUCUAUAUUGUAAUCUCACUUUAUUAACUAAUAAAUUUUAAAAAUAUAAACAGAUCAAUAAUAACAAAAUAAUUAAAGUUGAAAUCCAAGAAAUUACACAAAAAACCACACCUAAACCAAACCUGAAAACCAAAAUGCAUAAAAUUUCAUUAAUUUAGGUUGUGACAAUGAGUCGUCUACAUUAUAUGAUGAAGGAACAACUUCUAUCAUUUUACCAAGUUAUUAAUACUAUGUUUACGUACUAGAGUGGGCCUGAGAAGUAUAGAUUCCUCACACACUAGAGUUUACUUGCAUAUUCUAAGAGGUGUGGGAAUCUCACUCCGUUGAUCCCACCCAAUUUUGAAGUAGGGAGUGUGAUUUCCACUCCCACAAGGGAAGGUCCACUCCCACAACUUUAUUUUUUACCUUUCUUUUAUUAAAUUUAAUACAAUCAUAUUUAGUAAAAUAAAACAAAUAACAUCAUAUUUAUUUAAUAAAUAUUAUUAUAUUAUUUUAUAAAAUUCUAUUUAUUAAAAAGAAUAAUAUUAAUCUUAUUUAGAUAAAGUUAUUAUUAUAUUUAUUUAAAAAUAAUAGCAUUAUAUUUAUUUAAUAUUAAUAAUUAAUAUUAAUAAAUAGUUUAUUCUAAGAAAAUAUUUAUUUUGCACUAUAUUAUUAAUAAGAGAUAUUAUCAUUUUUCCACCAAAAUUAUUCUGAUACAUCAUGUUAGUAGCACGGUUUGGUAAAAACAUCAUUUUACCACCAAACGUUUAAAUUGUUAGUAUUUUUCCACAAUUCCGUUAAAACUCAGUUAAUAUUUAAUGGAAAAUGCAUAAAAAGUCAAUUUUACCCCUGGAGCAUAAAAGAUAAUUUUACCCUUUAAAAAGGAAGAACGACAAAAGAUGAUUUAAUUACAAAAUUACCCCCAAAAGACGACAAGACAAUUUUACCCUUUAAAAAGGGAGAACAACAAAAGACGAUUUAAUUACAAAAUUACCCCCAAAAGACGACACUGCUGCGAGAGUGAGAGAGAUAUGGGUCAGUGACAGUAAGCGAGAGAGGACGAAGAUGGAACAAGAAACGAGAGAGAGGGGGGUUGAUUUCGAUUUUUAGGGCUUCCAUAUCCAAAUUGCUUGUUUUUUUACAAUUGCAAAACACAACGUUUUGCCUUCGCAUGAGAUGUCCAAAAUGCCCUUAUGAUGUCAACAUAAUUUUUAUUUAGUUAACGGAAUGGUGGGAAAAUACUAACAGUAUAAAUGUUUGGUGGUAAAAUGAUGUUUUUAUAAAAUCGUAGUACUGAAAUGAUGUAUCAGAAUAACUUUGGUGGGAAAAUGAUAAUAUCCCUAUUAAUAAUAAUGUUUUAUUUGUGUUGCUCUUAUCAAUAAUUUUUAAUUUAAAUAAUUAAAAUUAAAACUAAUAAAAAUUUAUGAUUUACAUAAUUAAUAAUAUUAAUAAUUAUUGUUAAUUUACAAAUAUAGUGAAAUAAUAUAUUUUAUUUCAAAUAUAUUUUUUUAUUAAUUUUGUAAUUAAAAGGUACAAUUCUUUAAAUAAGUGUAAAACCGUAAUUUGAAACCAUUUACUCCCUUCUCAUUCUAGUGAGAGGAAACAACUUGCUCCCACUCCACACUCUUAAUCACAAGAUUCUCACUUCUCAAUAUUCCCACUAUAAUUUAAAAUGUAAACACCGUUUAAAACAUCAAAUAAAAUUCUCAAUUAAGUAAACCAUAAUGUGAUUGCAUAUAAAAAAAAAUUAAUAAUAUUAAUUUUCAUAAGAAUUUAUGCUCGUAGUAUUACUUUACUUUUUAUUAACCGUUGCUUCAACUUAUGGUAGAUUGUAACAUAUGCACUUUAAUUUUCUUAAUUAAGUGUAUUAUUUAAUUUUUCUCAUUCGAUGUUAAUUUUAAAUUUGUUUUGACAUAAAAUUGAGACAAUUCGAAUACGAUUCAAUGGCCGUGUAGCUGGAUUUUAUUUCAACAUGGGUCAGGCAUUAGCUUAGUUAGUAGUAAUCUUUAAAAAAAAAAGCUAGUUUAUAUAAAUGGAAAAGGGGGAGCUGAUUUCCAAAAGAGGAAAGAAAGAGGGGCACGCGAGAGAAAAUGAGAGAGAGAGAGAGAGAAGUUGACCCGUUUAGCCCGACCCGACCCGACCCACAAGACCGACCCGGCUCCAACUCCCGUUUCUGGCCACCAUUCCAAUCAAGCUUGGUACCAAUCUGAAGCUUGAGCGACGCUGGCCAUAUCCCCGCUGUCAUCGUCACCGAAAAACAGCCACAACGCCGGUGAUCAUCGUCAAUCUCGCUGGAAUUAGGUUGCACCACCGGCUGGGUUCGACUCCUCACAUCACCAGCUUUCAUUUCCGACUAACCCCGCCACCUGAAACCUCUGUUUUGGCCCUGAAUGACCACCGGAAAGCUCACGGCUUUGGGAGCACGAUCCGCCGCCAUCUCCGCGUGUGGGAGGUCACCGUCGACGCCAUUGGGCUCACCGAGGUUAGAACUAUCAUACUUGAGCUUUCCGUCGCCGUUGACUGAAGUCCGGUCACCGUUGAGCAGUGGGGGCAAUUUGGUAAUUUCACAAGACUUUAAGGUGGAUUUUUAAUUUGGUAAUUUUAGGUUAGGGCAGUGAGGUAAUUUAAGACUUUGAGGGUAAUUCGGUAAUUUAAGUUAUUAAGAGCAUUUUGGUAAUUUCGCACUUUGAGGGUAAUUUCUUAAAUUCAAAACUUGUGAUUAAUUUUGUUAUCCGAAUUGAGGACAAUUUGGUAGUUUAAGAUAUUGAAGAUGAUUCGAUAAAUUAUGAUUCCGAUGGUACUUCGGUAAAUUUCGGUGUCAGGGGCAUUUUGGUAAUUUUUGGACAUAAGGGUAAUUUUGAAAUUUUAUGUAUCCGGGAGUUUGGUUUUGAGCUUUAUUUCAUACUGUUAGUCGUAUUUCAUGAUACAGAUAAUAAUUAUGUCGUUUAUUUAAUUAGGAGGACUCGCGAGCAAAAAUCAACCAGCGGACGUUAGUGAUACCGAGUCUGGACAUCGUCACUGUGAGUGGAAUAUACAAAACUUAUUUUCAUGGUAUAUUCUGAUUUUACCAUACAGUACAACAUGUUUUGAUAAUAAGUAUUUGAUGCUUUGAUUUAAUGAUUUUCUAGAAAUUUGAUUUUCAUUCUACGUGCUGAUAUUUAUUAUUAUUGAAAAUGAGUUUGAUUAAUGAUUUUAUUAUCAUUUUUUUUGAGUAAAUGCAUGAUAUUAGAAUUGAGUGGAUUUGAGAUAUGUUGAAUAAAAAGGAAAUGGGAUUUUAUAUGUGAUUAUAUGUUUGCGUGCAUGUGCAUAAAAGAUUGUUUGGAAAAUCAUUGGAAGUACCUUUCCCCUUUUAGAUACAGAGAUACAUAUAAUAUGAGAUGAAUACAGUGAUACAGAUGAUAUGAGAUGAGAGGUUUUUGGGGCCCGUCUGAACACACACAAAGACUUUGGGCCGUGUGUUUGGGCGCUUUUGCCUUUUGGGGGCUUAUGCAUACAGUAUGAUGAUUACAUAAAUACAGAUGUUGAGAUACAUGAGAUAUGAGAUGACAUUUUCCUAUAUAUCCAUUGUAACUCCAGGGCAUGAUGGUUCCCUGAUUGUCCGUCCGUUGAGGUCCGAAUAUGAUGAGAUUAUUCCGCUGGAUACUUGUUUGAUGAUAGUUUUUUGUAUCUAGUAUUUGAUAUUAUAAGUAUUAUGAUUUCAUUGAUUUUAUGCAGAUUUAUGUAAUAUUGUUAUUUCAGUGCAUGAAUUAAAUUAAAUAAGUUUAUGUAAGUUCUUAUGAUAUUUUGAUGAAAUUAACUUGGAAAAGAUUAAAUCAUUUUAAAUAAAUUUAUUUUUCCAAAAACUACUAUCCACUCACUGAGCUCACUGAGUUUUAUAUUCACCCCGUUUUUAUUAUAUUUUUCCUCCUAUAGGAAAUUUGCAGGUACAUCAGUCGACCCAGCAACGAUAGUUAGAUUGAAAUUAUGGCCACGUGAUGGUGUUAGAAAUCAUAGAUGUUUUGUUGGGACAUGUUGAAUUGUAUAAUUUAUUACUUAUUUGUGAUUAAGGAUAAAUCAUUAUAUUCUUGACAUUAUAUGAUUGAAGGAUACUGAUAUUUAAAUUGAGGAAGUUGGUUGUGGAUGUUGAUUAAAUAUUGUAUUAUUUUUUGGAGUAUUAAUUGUAUAAAUUGUAGGUUUGGGGAUGUCAUAAUUAUAUAGAAAACUGUCGAAUUUUUUGUAAAAUUCUUAGAUAUCAGAAUUAUUAUUAGUUUGAUUAGGCGAGAUUAGAUAGACUCGUCCUGGGGAUUCGGGGCGGGUCGUUUCAUAGAUAUUAAGAGAACAAUAAUAAUAUAGCUAUAAAUGGUUGCAUACUAUCAAUCAACUUAACACUAUAAUUACCAACAAAUCCUUAAUACUAUAAAUAAUUAAAUUAUUGGGGUUUUAAAAUAACUCUCCAAACUUUGCAUGAUUUCUUUAUAUGUAGGUGCCAUGGUUCCUAUAAGUAAUAUCAGCCACACUUUUUGUUAUUGUUAAAACAAAUUUAUAAGUACAAUUUGUGAAUUUGUACAAAAUGUGGUAUUAUACAUUUGAAGCAUGAACCGAGAAGACAAUGUUGUGUCACUAAUAAAGAAAAAAAAAUUGUAUAAAAUACAGAUGUUGUAGUGUAACUUGUAUUCUUUUUAUUUAUAAUUGUACCUAUCAUGUGAUUAUAAAAAAAACUGAGAUUUUAAAAUUUUGUAAUUGCACUAUUUUUGGAUUAUCAGAAGGCUUCCUCUCCUUAGUGAUGCCCUUAAUCCAUAAAUGGUCCAAAAAAUAAUUCAUGAAAUGAAUUUAUUAUUUUAGAUAAGUUUCAAGUACGCAUACCUUUACUAGCUCCAUAUUGCAUAACUCCUCAUUUCAAUCAAUGGAUACAUUUGUUUACUUUUUCUUUCUUGUAAAUUUUUGAAUGGCCACAAUUCUAUAGAUAAUUAAUUAAGUGUUAUUGUUAUCAUUAUUUUGUAGAUUUAUAUGUGAGGUGGGGACGUUGGGGGGCAUGUAUCUCAAUAUAGCAGAGGGCCAUAAUAUUUAUUCUUUAAGAGGAACCACAACCAACAUCAAUGCUUUAAGUUCCAUUCCAUGUUCCUUCUAUGCACCAGAUUGCAUAAACAACAUUGAUUAUCCAAGGUCAAAGUCUCUCAAAGACUCUAGUUACAAUACAAAGCAUGGGUUAGCGGCCAAAAUUUUCUUGCAAUGAAAGGCUCGUAAACUGAUGAUAGCUGUUGGAUGGUUUUGGGCCCCAAUGGUUUUAAUAUUAUUCUCUUAAAAACAUAUAUGUUGAUUAGAGACGAGAGGAAAAAUAUAAUCUGAUUCAGCAAGCUGCAGAGGAAAGAGCACGCAGUGGAGUUCAGAUUUUGAAUUCUCUUGUUAAAUUGUUUUUAAUUUACUACAAGGUAGAAUACGUUGCAGUGUUAAAAAAACACUUUGAACAUCCUAUUUUUGUAUUACAAAUAUACCAAGAUUUAAAUUAUUAUUUUUCUUUAUUAGUAUAAACUAAAUUUUGCCUGAAUUCUCAUCCUUGUAAGUGGAAUUUUAUUGUGAAACUAAUAGUCAUUCCUAGUUGAACUAUCACUUUGAACAUAUGUGUCCUCUCUAAUAACAGCUUCCAAACCUGCAGCUACCUGCUUCUCAGCAUUAGAAGUAGCCAUAAUUAGGAGGAGGGCAAACUUCCAAAUAACAUUCCAAAUGGUAUUGUGAAAAAAUUUCACCCUUUUGGUAAUAAAAAAUAACCUUAUUUCUAACUUUCUAUUAACAAUCUUACCACAAAGUUCUCUCUCAAGUAGAAACAUUAUAUAUAUAUAUUAAUUUUUUGUUAAAAUAAACAAAACCAGUGGCGGAUCUACAGCUGGGCUAGGUCUAGAAAAAAUCAUUUAAACCCCUUGUCUUUUGAUUCAUUUUACAUAAGGAUAGACUUUUUAUUUUAUUUUUAUAUAAGUCCCCAAUUCAGUUACAAUUAUGUUUUUGUCAAAUUUCAUAGAAUAAUAGAGUUUUUACUUUAUUUUCAAAUAUUUCCUUAACUCAAUUAUAUUUUUUUCCCAACUGAAAUUAAUGACUUAUUUUAUAAAAUAAUUAAAUUAUAUAUUUAUUGAAUAGAUUGAAAACAUUAGGGGUUUAAAAUGUUAUUUUUAAUUUGUUUUUAAAAAAUUUAAUUUAACAAAGUAUGUGAAUGUAAUAUAACAUCGUCACUAUUAUUAAAAAUACUAAAAACAUAUAUAAUAAAAAUUAUUCAUAAAUUCAUAAAUUUUUUAUGUAAAUGUUAACAUUUUAUUUAUUAUUUACAUUAACUUAGAGGAUAAGUUAGAAAGUAAAAUUUGAGUAUUUUAAUCUGAUUUUUUAAAGAGAGUCAGAGUGUCUGGCAAAGAAAUAACGGCACGCAAGUACCUUUUUGCUAGGUUAGAGUUUAGUUUAUUAUUGAAACUCUUGACGACUAAUAUUUUUAUAAUUUAAAAAGAUGAAUAGAUUUUAAUUGUUUAAUUUAUUUAAGCUUGGUAACUAAGGUGGCAUUUGUUUUUUAACUUAAUGACUUAAAGUGACUUAACUUAAUUAAUUAAGUUAAUUAGAAGUGUUUGUUUUUAUAACUUAGACUUUUUAGAUAAUUUUGACUUAAUAAAAUAAGUCAAUUUUUUUGGCUUUUUACUUAAUGGAGAAAUUUGAAUUAAGUCAAUUACUUACUAAUGUCAAAAAUAUCCAUGUUUUAUAAUUUAUUUUUCAUAUCUAUCCCAAAACUCACCCAUAGAACAUUUACCCCACAUAAAAAUAUCCUUAUUUUUUAUUUCUUAUAUUAUAUACGAUAAAAUUUGAAAUUUAUGGUAUUUUAUAUAUUGAAAUUCUAAAAUAAUUAUGUAUUCACUUGAAUAUAGUUUUACUUAUAAAUGUUAAAAUAUUGUGGUAUUUAAUAUAUUAUUUAUUUGACAUUCAAAUUUAAUAAGGAUACGAAUGUAAAAGUACAUAUUUUUAGCUUUUUCAGUUGAAAAAAACAAACAACUCAAUACUUAUUUUCCGAGAUUCAAACGAAAAAACAAACAUAUUAUUCAGAUUCAGACAUACAGAUCUAUUCAGAAUUCAGACUAAUUCAGGUCUAUUCAGAUUUCAGACAAAAAAACAAACGCCACCUAAGUAUUUUUCAAACAUAAAGUUGUACUUGCACUUUUUAAAUGAUUAUAAUUACAUUUAUUGACUUAUUCUAAUUUAAAAUUCUUAAUAGAUUUAUUAAUUCUUAUAUAAUUAGAUGUUAUUAUAGGUUGCAAUGUUAGAUUUAAUAAUUAAAAAUAGUAUUUUUAUAUUUGAAUUAUCUUUUGUUUUUUAGUAUUUUUGUACAAUUAUUUUUGUUUAGAGUAUAUAUUCGUAGAGUUUUUCGUGUCCCCAUUAUUUGAUGUACUUCUUUUUACUUAUGAAUAUUUAUGUUCACUUCAAAAUAUAAAAUUUUAAAUUUAGCCCGGGGUAAUAUAAAUUCUUAGGUCCGCCCCUAAGCAAAACUAAAUAUUUAUGACUUAAAAGAUAGGUGUUGAACAGAGGCAGUCUCACAGAAAAAAAAAAAAAAAGUAUUUGAAAGCAGUGGUGAUAUCAUAAUUUUUUGUAUUGAUAUGAGAGUAUCAUACUAGAUUUUUUUCCGCAAUACAAAAAGUUUGUAUUCAAGAAUAAAUAAGCAAUUUCGGGAACAAAUUUUACAAAAAGCCUCGAGGCCAUGUCGUAUGAAUUUGUGAUACCAAAAAUAGUAUACUAGUCAAUAUAUCUUCUUUCCACAUUACAAAAAAUUAGAAAUGCAAUCUAAAUCGAUAUCAAUUAAUAAUUUUAUAGUACACGAAAUCAAGGUAUUUUUUCAUAAUUUAAGAAAUUAUUAGUCAUUUACCCUAAAUUUACUUUGUCUCCAAAAAUACUACGAAAACUUUAACUUGUUUAGUUUUUUACCUUAAUUUAUAAUUUAUAUCAAUCGCUCACUAAAAAGAUAAAAUUAGCUCAUAAAAUGACAAAAUAAAAACAAACACAAAUGACAAUACCAGUAAUUUUAUAAGGAUAAUAAAGUCCUUUUGGCACCAAAUUACGUAUUAAAAUAAUUUAAAUAUUAUAAAUUAUUUUCAGAUUGAGUGAGGAACCCUGGUCAUUUUAACAAUUAUGGUCAUUUAAUCUAUCUAAACAUGAUAUUUCAAGUAGACUUAUGUUUGCGUGGGAGGAUAAUGUAAAAAAAGUGGCACUUUUAUUCAACUGAAUAAAUUUCACAAUUUAAAUUAGAAAAGGAUAAAAUUUAAUAAUUAACUAUUUUUUUAACUAAUUCAAUCGGGAGCCAUUAUUUGUAGGCUGUAGCGGUCCCAAAAGCAUGACAUUAUUGUGAGUAAUGUAUCCUACUUGCAAAAUAAACGGCAGAAUGCGGUUUGGGGACGGAUUAUCGAGGUAUUUGUUAAUAUUCGGAAAUGAGAAGAAAAGGUCAAAUAAAAUUUUAACUUAUUAUUAUUAUUAUUAAAGAUUGUAACUCAGAUGAUUAGACAAAUAAAGGAACUUAAGGCCACUUGGCGGCUUCACUAGGAGCUGUUUGAGUUUAAUUCUAUUGGUAAAAUUCUAUUUUGGUAAUUCUAUUCUUCUUCUUUUCAACCCCAAAUAAUCAAAAGCUCUCCAAUGGCUUUCGUAUCCACAACUCGUCCAUUUCAUUUUACUUCAAUUUCAGUAUCAGCUCUUAGAUGUAAUUUCUCAUCUUCGUUCCCUCAUACCAGAAAACCCACAUCUUCAAUUUCGGAAAAUGAACCCUCAUAUCCGACUACAACAGCUAAACUGAAGGAGUCGCUACGACUGACAGUCAAAGACGGAGCCUCACUCGAAAAAUUUCUUAAAGAAAGGUGCAAAUCAUCAGGUCAAGGUGAUAUUAAUCUUAUUACUCCUAAUGAAGCCUUGUGUAUCUUUGAUUACAUGCUCCGUAUGCACCCUUCUCCGCCUCCUGUCUCUUCCUUCAAUAUUUUGUUUGGUUGUCUUGCUAAGAAUAAACAUUAUGAUACUGUCCUUUCACUCUUCAAGAGACUCAAUUCAAUUGGGUUGUUUCCAGAUCUUUAUACUUAUAGUAUCUUGAUUAACUGCUUUUGCAAAAUGGGUCGAGUUUCUCCUGGUUUUGUUGUUCUUGGGAGAAUCCUCAGGUCUUGUUUUACUCCAAAUGCUGUGACCUUUACUUCUUUGAUUAAAGGUUUGUGUGCGGAGGGUAGAAUCAUGGAGGCCGCUGCAUUGUUUAUGAAACUUAGAGUGUUUGGUUGUGAGCCUAAUGUUUUUACAUACAAUACUUUGAUUAAUGGAUUGUGUCGAACUGGCCAUACAAUUGUUGCUCUAAAUUUAUUUGAAGAGAUGGCUAAUGGAAAUGGGGAAUUUGGUGUUGUUUGUAAGCCAAACACUGUUACAUACACUACUAUUAUCGAUGGUCUUUGUAAGGAAGGUUUUGUGGACAAGGCCAAGGAACUGUUUCUGAAGAUGAAGGAUGAGAAUAUUAACCCCAAUGUGGUUACUUAUAACUCUUUGAUUCACGGUUUUUGUUACGCUAAUGAUUGGAAUGAGGCGAAGUGUUUGUUUAUUGAGAUGAUGGACCAAGGGGUACAGCCGAAUGUUGUGUCUUUUAAUGUGAUCAUGAAUGAGCUUUGUAAAAAUGGGAAGAUGGACGAAGCAAGUAGGCUGUUAGAAUUGAUGAUUCAGAUUGGUGUGCGUCCAAAUGCUUUUGUCUAUAACACAUUAAUGGACGGGUUUUGUUUGACAGGUAGAGUUAAUCGUGCGAAGGAACUAUUUGUUUCUAUGGAGAGUAUGGGUUGCAAACAUAAUGUUUUUAGUUACAGUAUUUUGAUAAAUGGUUACUGCAAGAAUAAGGAAAUAGAGGGAGCGUUAAGCCUUUAUAGCGAAAUGCUCUCUAAAGGUAUUAAGCCAGAUGUUGUUAUAUAUAACACCUUGUUUAUUGGCCUUUUUGAAAUACACCAGGUUGAGCGUGCUUUCAAGCUGUUUGAUGAGAUGCAACGUCAUGGCGUGGCAGCUGAUACCUGGGCGUAUAGAACCUUUAUUGAUGGGCUCUGCAAGAAUGGUUAUAUUGUAGAGGCAGUUGAACUAUUUCGUACUUUGAGAAUUCUCAAGUAUGAACUUGAUAUUCGAGCCUACAACUGCCUCAUUGAUGGAUUAUGUAAAUCCGGCAGACUCAAAAUUGCAUGGGAACUAUUUCGUAGUUUGCCUCGUGGAGUCCUAAUAGCAGAUGUUGUAACAUAUAACAUCAUGAUCCACGCGCU
RNAcentral lists this long non-coding RNA (108305 nucleotides) under Citrus maxima (pomelo). Its description in RNAcentral is "long non-coding RNA (CMAX_LNC003366)". The record is from RNAcentral. Lineage: Eukaryota; Viridiplantae; Streptophyta; Magnoliopsida; Sapindales; Rutaceae.